This 110028-nucleotide long non-coding RNA is filed under the name Triticum aestivum (bread wheat). RNAcentral describes it as "long non-coding RNA (TAES_LNC022433)". The record is from RNAcentral. Lineage: Eukaryota; Viridiplantae; Streptophyta; Magnoliopsida; Poales; Poaceae.
UUGCUGGUCUUAGUGUCUAGUUCCUUUAGAGUUUCGAGUUCUGUUCACAUUAGUCACGCAGCCGCUGCAUCAUUAUCCCAUCCGCUGUCCACCAUCCCAUCCACCAAUUUCCACCACGUGCUACGCAUUGUUUAUUGUCAUAAUCAUAGUUGAGGUCACUCACAUCUUCGCCUGAUCGAAUCUGCAUCUUAUCUAGUUUGUCUUGGAAAGAGGGAGAAAAAGAAUAUAAAGAAAAAAAAGAGAGAAAAAAGGAAAGAAAAAAAAAAGAAAAAGAGGGAGAAGAAAAAGAAAAAAAAAGCGUGAGAAAAAAAAGAGAGAAGAAAAAAAAUUGGAUCUAUGUAGAAUCAAUCUCGUACCUGAAUUCGGAUUGGAAUCUGUUUUGCGCACUGUUCAGUAAAACAGGUGUAUCUUCCUCAUACGAAGUCCGUUUUGGCUCCGUGAGUACUCAAAUUGAAGAUAGCGACGAGCCGCAUCUAAAUAGUUACAGAAGCUAGUUCAAUAUUUGACACCUCAAAAUCGGCUUCUAAAUAGGUCUUUUUGCCCUCUGAAGUUCGUGAACACACCUUGUUCCAAUUUUUCAGGCCAGUUUUAGAAUUCUUUGACUCCUCAUAUCAACUCGGAAUUGAGUGAUUAUUUUUGCAUUGGAAAGCUUGAGUUAGUAGCAUUCUUUGAAAGAAUUUAUCAGAAAAUUGUCUCAAACUUUUUAAGAGGAAAGUUGGAGAGAGAGUUGUUGUAUAUCCUGCUUGGCAGUUGUUUUUCAUCAUUAUCUUCACUUAUAUCUUGCUGUCAAGAGCUACUUAGUAUCCUUCAUUGAUGCUAGUUGUGCUACACCGUGACCUCAUUAGUGUUCUAGGCUCGCGUCUCUAGUCCGGUCUAGCCUAGGACCAGCACAGUACCGUCGUUGAGCGUUUAUUCAACAUUGCAUCUUUGAAUUGAUUAUUGCUAAUCUUUUGCUACCAUAUAUAGCCAACCCAGCUCCACAUAUUUCUACACCGUGUAUACGUACGCUCCCCUGGCAAUCGCUUUACUCAAUAUUCGGAGUUACUUGACACCGCUGGUUGCCGAUCACCGCCUGCUGCAUGGUAAGAACUUGUAAGACAUUGAUAUUUGCUUUACUGUGAGCGUUUUACCACCACAUCCUAGUAGUUAUAGGAACAUUAUUUUUGGGUUUUGUUUCUUGUUCUACUAAUCAUGACAGGAUCCAGAGUCAAUUCAUGGGCUUUGUUGAUGAGGACAUGACUACCUUGGAUAUGACCAAAAAUAUUGCAUAUAUGCAUAUUUGUCAGGUGAUUUCUAGUGCAAACUAUUCAAUAAUCUAUUUAUGUUAUCCAGAACAAAAAUACUUCACACACUUUUGUGUUUUGUCUAAUUGCAGGUGUAUGGGACAUUUGUACAAUCCACAUAUGAAGAUAAGGAAGAAAGAGAUGUUUAUUUGCUGUCCAAAAAGUUCUCUCACGUCACUUUUGGCCCAAGAGAAGAUAGAGUCCAAGUCUCUCACGUUCUGGAUUCAGAUUCGGACUGCACAGACACACCUGACUCAAAACGCACACAAGUUUUUCAUACGGACUCCGAAUUGGGUGAUUCUUUUUUUUGUUGGAAACUAGAUUUCGUGCACUUUCCAACCCAAUUGGAAUCACCUUUAAAUUCGUCCGGAGCGUUGAGUUGUGGAUGAAACAAUCUGAUGCUGCAGCAGAAUCCGAGUCAAACUACAAGUCCAAAGGUGUUACAUCACCUCCACUUGGGCCCAUUGGCCUUGUACGACCUAGAUUUAGUUUCAGGCUGCCUUGGGACGUCCUCCCACCUCCUUGGCCUCCACCCCUUGCUCCUAUAUAAGUAGAUCCAUCUAGUAGCUUUUCCUUAGGAUUUGUUUAGUUAAAAGUUAGCCAUUGCAACUUCGUGUGCUUCGUUUGUGUCCAACGACCAGACCAAGACCACUUUUCGGACCCCCACCAUUAUCAAUACCUCAUACAUAUUCGCGAUAUUCAGAUUGCUUUAUCAUAUUCUUGCUCGUUCUUCGAUUGCUUGCAGGAAUAGACCUUCGUGGUCAGGCUGAUCGUGCUUCCGGCAUCGUCAGUAACCUCAGGAGAUUGGUUUAGCGAUUGCUAAGGCGCAACGUCGUGCACGUUUGUAGUCGGAUCGUCAAAGUCGUCUCCACCAAAUCGAUAGUUAUCAUCUCAUCGAAAGAUCGGGACACCCUCGCCUCUAUCAAGUGGUAUCAGAUUUCCAGGUUGCUCGGUGAGAUUUUACAGUUUUUCGUAGUUUGGAUCGAGUCUGUUCUUCAUACCUAUAGUCCACGAAAAAGCCACAAAAAAAAAAUUAGGGUUAGUUCAUCAUAUCCGAACCAAUCUGAGCCUUGCAUAAUCUUUUUAGGGUUUUGCUUUGUUGAAUUUGCGGUUGCAUCGUCGUGUCUAGUUGCUGGUCUUAGAGUCUAGUCUUUUAGAGUUUCGAGUUUCCUUGCCGGAGUAGGUUUCGGAAAAAAAAAAUAGUCGGGUAGCCACGCUCCGUUUAGGCCCAAAAUUUUUCGAAAACGCAUUUUUCGAAAAAAUUUCUGGCUAUCCUAUUUUUAGGUGUUUCUGAGUGUUUUGAGACAGGUGCCAUUAUAGGAAGUUUUUUUUGACCCGUUUCCAGUUUUUGGGUCCGGGCAGUCGAAAAAAAAAAAAUUUGGUCGAAAAAAUUUCGUGCCCAUCCUGUCAGUUUGAGCUAGGAAGAGUUUUGAGACACUCGCCAUUAUAGUGAUUUUUCGCAAAAAAAAAAGAAACAGCGCAAAAAAAAAGAGCGCAAAAAAAAAAGAGCGAAAAAAAAAUUCAGAGUGUGCUUUUCCCUUGUUUACGUGCCGCGCCGUGAUUUUGUUAGUGUUCUAGGCUCGCGUCUCUAGCACAGUCUAGCCUAGGACCAGCACAGUACCGUCGUUGAGCGUUUAUUCAACUUUGCAUCUCUGAAUUGAUUAUUGCUGACCCUUUUUGCUACCAUAUUAUAAGCCUUCCCAGCUCCACAUACAUCUACGUCGUGCGUUUGACUCUCCCUGGUAAUCGCUCUAUCCAAGCUUUGAGAGUUUUUGACUACAACCGUUGCCGAUCACCGCCUGCUGCUGGGUAAGAACUGGUAAGAAUUUGAGAUUUGCUUGACGGAUUUGUGACACCCACCACCACCACUUGUUCGUAGUCUGUAGGAUCAUAUUCUUGUGUGUUUCUAUUUGCUGCUAACCAUGCCAGGAUCACAAGCCGACGAGAUUGACUGGGAGAAUUUAUCGAACAAGGAGCUUCAUGAUAAGUUUCAGCAAAUGAUGACUGAACAGGUGCAAGAUGUGCUGAACAAUUUUGAAGAGGCCAUGGAGAAGAUCACUGGCCUUGAGAAGACGUUCGAAACAAAGCUCGAUAACAAGUUUAAUGAAUUGCUCGCGCGUCUUCCACCACCACCACCCGCUGCACCUAACGCACCUCUCCAACAACAACAACAACGACUACCUCCACAUCGCGAAGCAGACCUCCGCCGAGCAAGCCGUGUUCCUCUUGCGUUUGGCCAAACUGUUGGUGCUGCUGUUGAUACUUCUGUGGCUCCUGCUGCUGAUGCGGAGGAGGAUGAUUAUGUGGGAGAUUAUGAGGAUGAGGUUGAUCAAAAUCAACACUACGUGCAGCCACCUGUACCACCACCAGCAGGUCGACCUCAGGUAUAUAUUCGUAAUGGUAGGCCUGCACCACCACCUCAGGUACGAGAUGAUGUCCAUAUUCCUAAACUGAAAUUGAAUAUUCCACCAUUUGAGGGUAGAUAUGUUCCUGAUAUAUAUCUUACUUGGGAGUUAGAAACUAAACAACGAUUUACAUGUUUACAAUAUCCUGAGGAGAGACGAGUUGCUGCUGCCGUUUGUGCUUUCACUAGUUUUGCAUGUGUAUGGUGGUCUGAACAUUGUAGAUUAUAUCCUAUUCCAACUACUUGGGCUGCUUUGAAAACUGCUAUGCGUACGCGUUGGGUUCCACCAUAUUAUCAACGUGAAUUGCUUCAAAAAUUGCAGCGUUUAAGACAAGGGAAAAAUUCUGUAGAAGAAUAUUAUCAGGAAUUACAAACUGGCAUGAUUAGAUGUGGUAUUGUUGAGGAGAAUGAAGCUAUGCUUGCACGUUUUCUGGGUGGAUUAAAUAGAGAGAUUCAGACCAUUCUAGACUAUAAGGAGUAUACUAAUAUCACUCGUUUAUUCCAUCUUGCUUGUAAAGCUGAACGUGAAGUGCAGGAUCGACAAGCAUUGGGGCGAACUAACUUUUCUGCAGGCCGACCUUCAUCAUGGACACCACGUGCAUCUUCUACUUCAACUGCACCAGCACCUCCAUCCGGUGCCACCUCCAGCCGUGAUACAAGAAAACAGGCACAGCCACCAUUAUCUUCCAAGAGCGCACCUGCGGGUCCUGCACAGCGUUCUUCUUCUUCCAUGGCAUCAACAGGGCACACACGUGAUAUUAUUUGUCGUCGUUGUAAGGGAGGAGGUCAUUAUGCGAGGGAAUGCAAAUCUCCGCGUGUGAUGAUUGCUACCGCGGAUGGUGGAUAUGAGUCCGCUAGUGACUAUGAUGAGGAGACAUUGGCUCUUAUUACACGUGAAGAACAUGGUGGAGAUGAUUCUGAUCAUGAGACGCAAUACAUGGCUCCUGAAGACGCUGACAGGUAUGAAUGUUUAGUUGCUCAACGUGUUUUGAGUGUGCAGGUCACACAAGCUGAGCAAAAUCAGAGGCACAAUUUGUUCCAUACCAAGGGAGUUGUGAAGGAACGUUCUGUGCGCGUCAUAAUAGACGGAGGGAGCUGCAACAACUUGGCUAGCAUGGAGAUGGUGGAGAAGCUUUCUCUCACCACAAGACCACAUCCACAUCCUUACUACAUCCAAUGGUUCAACAACAGUGGCAAGGUUAAGGUAACACGUACUGUUCGUGUGCAUUUUUGAUGAGGACAUCAAUACAAUUGUUACACCCACAGCCCCUGCUGCUAUACAUACUGGACCAAUUACUAGAGCUCGUGCACGCCAACUAAAUUACCAGGUACUUUCGUUUCUUGGUAAUGAUUCUAAUGUUCAUGAGAAUAUGAUGCUGCCUAAAUUGGAUACAUUUGUUUUGCUUACAAAUGAAGGGCCUAGCUUGGAGAAGGAUGAACAUUGGAGCAAGAACAAGCAUGGAGAUGAUGGCAUGCGCAAGGGAAACAAGAACGGAGUUACAAGUGAUGAUUUCAGGACUUUGAAGCCACCAUAAUGGGUGCAUGAAGCCUUGGACGAAAUAUACAAGACGCCACUUCAUAAAUUUCGUCCCGAGGCUAUUUUAGGUGCUGCGUCACCUUAUUAUUGGGCCAGGCCCAUGUAAUUUCGAAAUACAUAAGUAUAGGCUAUUUGAUGAGGACAUCAAUACAAUUGUUACACCCACAGCCCCUGCUGCUAUACAUACUGGACCAAUUACUAGAGCUCGUGCACGCCAACUAAAUUACCAGGUACUUUCGUUUCUUGGUAAUGAUUCUAAUGUUCAUGAGAAUAUGAUGCUGCCUAAAUUGGAUACAUUUGUUUUGCUUACAAAUGAAGGGCCUAGCUUGGAGAAGGAUGAACAUUGGAGCAAGAACAAGCAUGGAGAUGAUGGCAUGCGCAAGGGGAACAAGAACGGAGUUACAAGUGAUGAUUUCAGGACUUUGAAGCCACCAUAAUGGGUGCAUGAAGCCUUGGACGAAAUAUACAAGAUGCCACUUCAUAAAUUUCGUCCCGAGGCUAUUAUAGGUGCUGCGUCACCUUUUUAUUGGGCCAGGCCCAUGUAAUUUCGAAAUACAUAGGUAUAAGCUAUUUUUAGAGUCCGUAUGUGUGGGGAAACAAGAGAUAGGGUUGAUUUCGGACCCCUCCACCAAGGGCCACGAAAUUCCCCCUCUCUUCCUCCAUAUAUACAGCCCUUAGGGCACCGUUUAGACUUUGGGUUUUGUUUAGAUUAAAAGUUCGCCAUAGCUGCAACUUCGCGUACUUCGUUUGUGUUCAACGACCAGACAAAGGCGUCACAGAACCCCACCUUGAUCAAUAAAGCUUUCAUCUUAUAUUCGCAAUAUCCAGAUUGCAAUCUCAGUUUCUUGCUUGUUCUUCGUUUGCUCGCAGGAAACAGACCCUCAUGGUCAGGUUGAUCGUGCUCCGGCGUGGUCAAUAACCUCUCGGAGUUGGUUUAGCGAUUGCUAAGGCGCGACGUCCUCGCACGUUCGUAGUCGGAUCGUCAAAGUCGACUGCCACCAAAGCGAUAUCCAGCAUCUCAUCGAAAGACGGGACACCUUUGCCUCUAUCAGGUAAGAACUGGUAAGAAUUUGAGUUUUGCUUGACGGAUUUGUGAGACCCACCACCACCACUUGUUUGUAGUCUGUAGGAUCUUAUUCUUGUGUAUUUCUAUUGCUGCUAACCAUGCCAGGAUCACAAGCCGACGAGAUUGACUGGGAGAAUUUAUCGAACAAGGAGCUUCAUGAUAAGUUUCAGCAAAUGAUGACUGAACAGGUGCAAGAUGUGCUGAACAAUUUUGAAGAGGCCAUGGAGAAGAUCACUGGCCUUGAGAAGACGUUCGAAACAAAGCUCGAUAACUAGUUUAAUGAAUUGCUCGCGCGUCUUCCACCACCACCACCCGCUGCACCUAACGCACCUCUCCAACAACAACAACAACGACUACCUCCACGUCGCGAAACAGACCUCCGCCGAGCAAGCCGUGAUCCUCUUGCGUUUGGCCAAACUGUUGGUGCUGCUGUUGAUACUUCUGUGGCUCCUGCUGCUAAUGCGGAGGAGGAUGAUUAUGUGGGAGAUUAUGAGGAUGAGGUUGAUCAAAAUCAGCACUACGUGCAGCCACCUGUACCACCACCAGCAGGUCGACCUCAGGUAUAUAUUCGUAAUGGUAGGCCUGCACCACCACCUCAGGUACGAGAUGAUGUCCAUAUUCCUAAACUGAAAUUGAAUAUUCCACCAUUUGAGGGUAGAUAUGUUCCUGAUAUAUAUCUUACUUGGGAGUUAGAAACUGAACAGCGAUUUACAUGUUUACAAUAUCCUGAGGAGAGACGAGUUGCUGCUGCUGUUUGAGCUUUCACUAGUUUUGCAUGUGUAUGGUGGUCUGAACAUUGUAGAUUAUAUCCUAUUCCAACUACUUGGGCUGCUUUGAAAACUGCUAUGCGUACGCGUUGGGUUCCACCAUAUUAUCAACGUGAAUUGCUUCAAAAAUUGCAGCGUUUAAGACAAGGGAAAAAUUCUGUAGAAGAAUAUUAUCAGGAAUUACAAACUGGCAUGAUUAGAUGUGGUAUUGUUGAGGAGAAUGAAGCUAUGCUUGCACGUUUUCUGGGUGGAUUAAAUAGAGAGAUUCAGACCAUUCUAGACUAUAAGGAGUAUACUAAUAUCACUCGUUUAUUCCAUCUUGCUUGUAAAGCUGAACGUGAAGUGCAGGAUCGACAAGCAUUGGGGCGAACUAACUUUUCUGCAGGCCGACUUUCAUCAUGGACACCACGUGCAUCUUCUACUUCAACUGGACCAGCACCUCCAUCCGGUGCCACCUCCACCCGUGAUACAAGAAAACAGGCACAACCACCAUUAUCUGCCAAGAGCGCACCUGCGGGGCCUGCACAGCGUUCUUCUUCUUCCAUGGCAUCAACAGGGCACACAAGUGAUAUUAUUUGUCGUCGUUGUAAGGGAGGAGGUCAUUAUGCGAGGGAAUGCAAAUCUCCGCGUGUGAUGAUUGCUACCGGGGAUGGUGGAUAUGAGUCCGCUAUUGACUAUGAUGAGGAGACUUUGGCUCUCAUUACACGUGAAGAACAUGGUGGAGAUGAUUCUGAUCAUGAGACGCAAUACAUGGCUCCUGAAGACGCUGACAGGUAUGAAUGUUUAGUUGCUCAACGUGUUUUGAGUGUGCAGAUCACACAAGCUGAGCAAAAUCAGAGGCACAAUUUGUUCCAUACCAAGGGAGUUGUGAAGGAACGUUCUGUGCGCGUCAUCAUAGACGGAGGGAGCUGCAACAACUUGGCUAGCAUGGAGAUGGUGGAGAAGCUUUCUCUCACCACAAGACCACAUCCACAUCCUUACUACAUCCAAUGGUUCAACAACAGCGGCAAGGUUAAGGUAACACGUACUGUUCGUGUGCAUUUUAGUAUCUCUACAUAUGCUGAUUAUGUUGAUUUUGAUGUGGUACCUAUGCAAGCAUGUUCCUUAUUACUUGGUAGACCAUGGCAAUUUGAUAAAAAUUCUGUACACCAUGGUAGAAACAAUCACUAUACUCUUGUUCAUAAGGAUAAAAAUAUUACUUUGCUUCCUAUGACUCCUGAUUCCAUUUUGAAAGAUGAUAUUAAUAGAGCUAAUAAAGCACAACAGGAGAAGAAUAAGAGUGAAAAUCAGAUUGUGGCAAAAGAAUUUGAGCAACAAAUGAAGCCUAAUAAUAAACCAUCUAGUGUUGCUUCUGAAAUUAAAUUGAAAAGUGCAUGUUUAUUUGCCACCAAAUCUGAUAUUAAUGAGCUAGAUUUCAGCAAAUCUGUUUGCUAUGCUUUUGUGUGCAAAGAGGCAUUAUUUUCAUUCGAGGACGUGCCUUCCUCUUUGCCUCCUGCUGUCACUAACAUUUUGCAGGAGUUCGCUGACGUUUUUCCACAAGACGUGCCACCGGGAUUACCGCCUAUUCGAGGGAUUGAGCAUCAGAUUGACUUAAUUCCCGGUGCUUCACUGCCAAACCGUGCACCAUACCGUACCAAUCCAGAGGAGACGAAGGAGAUUAUGCGUCAAGUACAAGAGCUUCUCGACAAAGGUUAUAUAAGCGAAUCCCUUAGUCCUUGUGCUGUUCCUAUUAUUCUAGUGCCGAAAAAGGAUGGUACAUCACGUAUGUGUGUUGAUUGUAGAGGCAUUAAUAAUAUUACUAUUCGUUAUCGUCAUCCUAUUCCUAGGCUAGAUGAUAUGCUUGAUGAAACUAGUGGCUCUACAAUAUUCUCCAAAGUUGAUUUGCGUAGUGGCUACCAUCAAAUUCGUAUGAAAUUGGGAGAUGAAUGGAAAACAGCAUUUAAAACUAAGUUUGGAUUAUAUGAGUGGUUAGUCAUGCCUUUUGGGUUAACUAAUGCACCUAGUACUUUCAUGAGAUUAAUGAACGAAGUUUUACGUGCUUUCAUCGGACGAUUUGUGGUAGUUUACUUUGAUGACAUAUUGAUUUAUAGCAGAUCUUUGGAAGAACAUUUGGAACAUUUACGUGCUGUUUUUAUUGCUCUACGUGAUGCACGUUUGUUUGGUAACCUUGGGAAGUGCACCUUUUGCACCGACCGAGUAUCUUUUCUUGGCUAUGUUGUUACUCCACAGGGAAUUGAAGUUGAUAAAGCCAAGAUUGAAGCUAUUGAGAGUUGGCCGCAGCCCAAAACGGUCACACACGUGAGGAGUUUUCUUGGCCUCGCUGGAUUCUAUAGGCGUUUUGUGAGAGAUUUCAGCACCAUUGCUGCACCUCUCAAUGAGCUUACAAAGAAAGAUGUGCCUUUUCUUUGGGGUACCGCACAGGAAGAAGCCUUCUCAGUAUUGAAAGAUAAGUUGACACAUGCUCCUUUACUCCAACUUCCUGAUUUUAAUAAGACUUUUGAGCUUGAAUGUGAUGCUAGUGGAAUUGGAUUAGGAGGUGUGUUAUUACAAGAUGGCAAACCCGUUGCAUACUUUUCUGAAAAAUUGAGUGGGCCUAGUCUGAAUUAUUCUACUUAUGAUAAAUAAUUAUAUGCUCUUGUUCGGACUUUAGAAACAUGGCAACAUUAUUUAUGGCCCAAAGAAUUUGUUAUACAUUCUGAUCAUGAAUCUUUGAAACAUAUUAAAAGUCAAGCUAAACUGAAUCAUAGACAUGCUAAAUGGGUUGAAUUCAUUGAGACUUUCCCUUAUGUCAUUAAACACAAGAAGGGAAAAGAAAAUGUUAUUGCUGAUGCAUUGUCUCGUCGCUAUACUAUGCUUUCACAACUUGACUUCAAAAUAUUUGGUUUGGAGACCAUCAAAGAUCAAUAUGUGCAUGAUGCUGAUUUUAAAGAUGUAAUGCAGAAUUGUAAAGAAGGAAGAAUGUGGAACAAGUUUGUCGUUAACGAUGGAUUUGUGUUUCGUGCUAACAAGCUAUGCAUUCCAGCUAGCUCCGUUCGUCUUUUGUUGUUGCAGGAGGCGCAUGGAGGAGGAUUAAUGGGACAUUUUGGCGUGAAGAAGACGGAGGAUGUACUUGCUACACAUUUCUUUUGGCCAAAGAUGAGACGGGAUGUUGAGCGUUUUAUUGCUCGAUGCACUACAUGUCAAAAAGCUAAGUCACGACUCAAUCCUCAUGGUUUAUAUAUGCCUUUGCCUGUACCUAGUGUUCCUUGGGAGGAUAUAUCUAUGGACUUUGUUUUAGGUUUACCUCGAACAAAGAAGGGGAGGGAUAGCAUAUUUGUUGUCGUGGAUAGAUUCUCGAAAAUGGCACACUUUAUACCAUGUCAUAAAAGCGAUGAUGCCGUUAAUGUUGCUGAUUUGUUCUUUCGUGAAAUUAUUCGCUUGCAUGGUGUGCCAAAUACUAUUGUUUCAGAUCGUGAUACUAAAUUUCUUAGCCACUUUUGGAGAUGUUUAUGGGCUAAGUUGGGGACUAAACUGCUUUUUAGUACUACUUGUCACCCCCAAACUGAUGGACAAACUGAAGUAGUCAAUAGAACGUUGUCUACUAUGCUUAGGGCUGUUUUGAAGAAUAAUAAGAAAAUGUGGGAGGAAUGCUUGCCUCAUAUUGAAUUUGCUUAUAAUCGUUCAUUGCAUUCUACUACUAAGAUGUGCCCUUUUGAAGUUGUGUAAGGUUUCCUACCUCGUGCACCUAUUGAUUUGUUGCCUCUUCCAUCUUCGGAGAAGGUUAAUUUUGAUGCUAAACAACGUGCUGAAUUGAUUUUAAAAAUGCAUGAGUUAACUAAGGAAAACAUUGAGCGCAUGAAUGCUAAAUAUAAACUUGCUGGAGAUAAGGGUAGAAUUUAUCUUACUUGGGAGUUAGAAACUGAACAACGAUUUACAUGUUUACAAUAUCCUGAGGAGAGACGAGUUGCUGCUGCCGUUUGUGCUUUCACUAGUUUUGCAUGUGUAUGGUGGUCUGAACAUUGUAGAUUAUAUCCUAUUCCAACUACUUGGGCUGCUUUGAAAACUGCUAUGCGUACGCGUUGGGUUCCACCAUAUUAUCAACGUGAAUUGCUUCAAAAAUUGCAGCGUUUAAGACAAGGGAAAAAUUCUGUAGAAGAAUAUUAUCAGGAAUUACAAACUGGCAUGAUUAGAUGUGGUAUUGUUGAUGAGAAUGAAGCUAUGCUUGCACGUUUUCUGGGUGGAUUAAAUAGAGAGAUUCAGACCAUUCUAGACUAUAAGGAGUAUACUAAUAUCACUCGUUUAUUCCAUCUUGCUUGUAAAGCUGAACGUGAAGUGCAGGAUCGACAAGCAUUGGGGCGAACUAACUUUUCUGCAGGCCGACCUUCAUCAUGGACACCACGUGCAUCUUCUACUUCAACUGCACCAGCACCUCCAUCCGGUGCCACCUCCAGCCGUGAUACAAGAAAAUAGGCACAACCACCAUUAUCUGCCAAGAGCGCACCUGCGGGGCCUGCACAGCGUUCUUCUUCUUCCAUGGCAUCAACAGGGCACACAAGUGAUAUUAUUUGUCGUCGUUGUAAGGGAGGAGGUCAUUAUGCGAGAGAAUGCAAAUCUCCGCGUGUGAUGAUUGCUACCGCGGAUGGUGGAUAUGAGUCCGCUAGUGACUAUGAUGAGGAGACAUUGGCUCUUAUUACACGUGAAGAACAUGGUGGAGAUGAUUCUGAUCAUGAGACGCAAUACAUGGCUCCUGAAGACGCUGACAGGUAUGAAUGUUUAGUUGCUCAACGUGUUUUGAGUGUGCAGGUCACACAAGCUGAGCAAAAUCAGAGGCACAAUUUGUUCCAUACCAAGGGAGUUGUGAAGGAACGUUCUGUGCGCGUCAUAAUAGACGGAGGGAGCUGCAACAACUUACUUUCAUGAGAUUAAUGAACGAAGUUUUACGUGCUUUCAUUGGACGAUUUGUGGUAGUUUACUUUGAUGACAUAUUGAUUUAUAGCAGAUCUUUGGAAGAACAUUUGGAACAUUUACGUGCUGUUUUUAUUGCUCUACGUGAUGCACGUUUGUUUGGUAACCUUGGGAAGUGCACCUUUUGCACCGACCGAGUAUCUUUUCUUGGCUAUGUUGUUACUCCACAGGGAAUUGAAGUUGACAAAGCCAAGAUUGAAGCUAUUGAGAGUUGGCCGCAGCCCAAAACGGUCACACAAGUGAGGAGUUUUCUUGGCCUCGCUGGAUUCUAUAGGCGUUUUGUGAGAGAUUUCAGCACCAUUGCUGCACCUCUCAACGAGCUUACAAAGAAGGAUGUGCCUUUUGUUUGGGGUACCGCACAGGAAGAAGCCUUCACAGUAUUGAAAGAUAAGUUGACACAUGCUCCUUUACUCCAACUUCCUGAUUUUAAUAAGACUUUUGAGCUUGAAUGUGAUGCUAGUGGAAUUGGAUUAGGAGGUGUGUUAUUACAAGAUGGCAAACCUGUUGCAUACUUUUCUGAAAAAUUGAGUGGGCCUAGUCUGAAUUAUUCUACUUAUGAUAAAGAAUUAUAUGCUCUUGUUCGUACUUUAGAAACAUGGCAACAUUAUUUAUGGCCCAAAGAAUUUGUUAUACAUUCUGAUCAUGAAUCUUUGAAACAUAUUAAAAGUCAAGCUAAACUGAAUCGUAGACAUGCUAAAUGGGUUGAAUUCAUUGAGACUUUCCCUUAUGUCAUUAAACACAAGAAGGGAAAAGAAAAUGUUAUUGCUGAUGCAUUGUCUCGUCGCUAUACUAUGCUUUCACAAAUUGACUUCAAAAUAUUUGGUUUGGAGACCAUCAAAGAUCAAUAUGUGCAUGAUGCUGAUUUUAAAGAUGUAAUGCAGAAUUGUAAAGAAGGAAGAAUGUGGAACAAGUUUGUCGUUAACGAUGGAUUUGUGUUUCGUGCUAACAAGCUAUGCAUUCCAGCUAGCUCCGUUCGUCUUUUGUUGUUGCAGGAGGCGCAUGGAGGAGGAUUAAUGGGACACUUUGGCGUGAAGAAGACGGAGGACGUACUUGCUACACAUUUCUUUUGGCCAAAGAUGAGACGGGAUGUUGAGCGUUUUAUUGCUCGAUGCACUACAUGUCAAAAAGCUAAGUCACGACUCAAUCCUCAUGGUUUAUAUAUGCCUUUGCCUGUACCUAGUGUUCCUUGGGAGGAUAUAUCUAUGGACUUUGUUUUAGGUUUACCUCGAACAAAGAAGGGGAGGGAUAGCAUAUUUGUUGUCGUGGAUAGAUUCUCGAAAAUGGCACACUUUUUACCAUGUCAUAAAAGCGAUGAUGCUGUUAAUGUUGCUGAUUUGUUCUUUCGUGAAAUUAUUCGCUUGCAUGGUGUGCCAAAUACUAUUGUUUCAGAUCGUGAUACUAAAUUUCUUAGCCACUUUUGGAGAUGUUUAUGGGCUAAGUUGGGGACUAAACUGCUUUUUAGUACUACUUGUCACCCCCAAACUGAUGGACAAACUGAAGUAGUCAAUAGAACGUUGUCUACUAUGCUUAGGGCUGUUUUGAAGAAUAAUAAGAAAAUGUGGGAGGAAUGCUUGCCUCAUAUUGAAUUUGCUUAUAAUCGUUCAUUGCAUUCUACUACUAAGAUGUGCCCUUUUGAAGUUGUGUAUGGUUUCCUACCUCGUGCACCUAUAGAUUUGUUGCCUCUUCCAUCUUCGGAGAAGGUUAAUUUUGAUGCUAAACAACGUGCUGAAUUGAUUUUAAAAAUGCAUGAGUUAACAAAGGAAAACAUUGAGCGUAUGAAUGCUAAAUAUAAACUUGUUGGAGAUAAGGGUAGAAAACAUGUUGUGUUUGCACCUGGAGAUCUUGUUUGGUUACAUUUGCGUAAGGAUAGAUUUCCUGAUUUGCGCAAAUCAAAGCUAAUGCCACGUGCUGAUGGUCCCUUUAAGGUGUUAGAGAAAAUAAAUGAUAAUGCAUAUAAACUUGAGCUGCCUGCAGAUUUUGGGGUUAGUCCCACUUUUAACAUUGCAGAUUUGAAGCCUUAUUUGGGUGAGGAAGAUGGACUUCCGUCGAGGACGACUUCAUUUCAAGAAGGGGAGGAUGAUGAGGACAUCAAUACAAUUGUUACACCCACAGCCCCUGCUGCUAUACAUACUGGACCAAUUACUAGAGCUCGUGCACGCCAACUAAAUUACCAGGUACUUUCGUUUCUUGGUAAUGAUUCUAAUGUUCAUGAGAAUAUGAUGCUGCCUAAAUUGGAUACAUUUGUUUUGCUAAUGAAGGGCCUAGCUUGGAGAAGGAUGAACAUUGGAGCAAGAACAAGCAUGGAGAUGAUGGCAUGCGCAAGGGGAACAAGAACGGAGUUACAAGUGAUGAUUUCAGGACUUUGAAGCCACCAUAAUGGGUGCAUGAAGCCUUGGACGAAAUAUACAAGAUGCCACUUUUUAAAUUUCGCCCCGAGGCUAUUUUAGGUGCUGCAUCACCUUAUUAUUGAGCCAGGCCCAUGUAAUUUCGAAAUACAUAAGUAUAGGCUAUUUUUAGAGUCCGUAUGUGUGGGGAAACAAGAGAUAGGGUUGAUUUCGGACUCCUCCACCAAGGGCCACGAAAUUCCCCCCUCUUCCUCCAUAUAUACAGCCCUUAGGGCAUCGUUUAGACUUUGGGAUUUGUUUAGUUAAAAGUUAGCCAUUGCAACUUCGUGUACUUCGUUUGUGUCCAACGACCAGACCAAGACCGCUUAUGGAUCCCCACCAUUAUCAAUACCUCAUAUAUAUUUGCAAUAUUCAGAUUGCUUUAUCAUAUUCUUGCUCGUUCUUCGAUUGCUUGCAGGAAUAGACCUUCGUGGUCAGGCUGAUCGUGCUUCCGGCAUCGUCAGUAACCUGAGGAGAUUGGUUUAGCGAUUGCUAAGGCGCAACGUCGUGCACGUUUGUAGUCGGAUCGUCAAAGUCGUCUCCACCAAAUCGAUAGUUAUCAUCUCAUCGAAAGAUCGGGACACCCUCGCCUCUAUCAAGAACCCAAUUAAAUUGCAAAGGAACUCCAUUUCUCUAACCCUUCCGACCUAAUGCUCUAAAAUAAAAUUUUCCUCUAACCUAGCCAACCUACUUAACCUAGCUUGUUAAUCCAACGAACCUAAUUAACCUACCUAUUAAACCUAGUUAGUUAAUCUAGUUUACCUAGAUAAUUAACCCUAAUUAAACUAGUUAACACAGCUAGUUCUCUGUCAAAGCCCUAAAUAAAUUUUUGCACUAAUUAACCUAGAUAAUUAACCUAAUUAAACUAGUUAACCUUACUAGUUCUCUGUCAAAGCCCUAACUAAAUUCUUGCACCAACCUAGAGAAUUAACCUAAUUAAACUAGUUAACCUAACUACUUCUUUGUCAAAGCCCUAACUAAAUUUUUGCCCUAACCUAGAUAAUUAACCUAAUUAAACUAGCUAACCUCUGCAUGAGAGAGAGAGGAGGGGUGGGGGCUUACAGAGGAUGGCUCCGGUGGUGGCGACGGAGGCAGUGGUGGCGAGGGAGGCAGGGGCGUCUCCAGUGACGGCGAGGGAGGCAGUUGUGGCGAGGAAGGAUCCAGUGGCGUCGACGGCAGCUCCGGUGGCGUUGAUGAGGCCGCGUGGCUCCGUGGCAUUGGGGGCGGCUCCGGUGGCGUCGACGGCGCACGGCUCUGGUGGCGUCGACGUCGGCAGGAGACGGCGGCGAAGUGGGGCGACGGCGAAUCAGGGAGACGGCAGCGCGUGGGGUGGGUUGAGGGAUUUGGGGGAGAAGUGGUGGCCGGGGGGAAAACGGUUUUUUGGUUAAGUCAAACUUAGCGGUAGCGCGUUUGGUAAAAUGCGCUAUAGCUAAGAUAGCUAUAGCAGUUUUUACAAAACGCGCUGCUGCUAUAGCUUUGUAAUUUUCUUCCAUUUUUAAUUUCCUUUUCUGUUUCUAUACCAGGGGUCUAGGACACGCGCUGCAGCUACGUUAGCUAUAGCACCUCUUACGAACACACGCUACUGCUAUGCCUUCGUCCGUUUUUUCGCUUUUUCAUUUAUUUUGCUUUACAUUUUAUUUUUUCCUUUCUCCUUUUUCUAUUUCUUUCAUUUUCAUUUACUUUUCUAUUUGUUUUUCAUCUUAUUUUAUUUCCGUUAGUAGUGGCGCUCUUCUUAGGAAACGCGCUACUACUUAUGCCCUAUCGGUAGCGCGCUUCUUCCAAGCCCGCUACUGCUAUGCGUAGCCUAUCAUUCUAGCAAUGGGAAUAUUAGUAGUACGCUUUUGCCACUACACGUGCUACUGCUAAGGUUGUAAGCGCAGUUUUUUCUCAAACGCUACUGCUAUCUAGCACUAGCGCCCUUUUUUGACCCGCGCUGUUGCUAAAUUUCUGUGUAUAAGGUUUUCCCUAGUAGUGUAGGCUGCGGCGGUCGAGAACUCGGAUGGCGAGGGUACCACCCAUCCCCCUGAGGUCGCCCCCAAGAAGAAGAAGCAGCUCCCCCUCAGGGGCCCUCAGGAGGCUGGGGUGCCUAAUGAUCGCGCUUCAUGCCUCUCGCCCUUUGCUAGGGCGCCUUUCCCUCUCGCAUAGGAAGGUACGCCUGAUGAGGACAUCAAUACAAUUGUUACACCCACAGCCCCUGCUGCUAUACAUACUGGACCAAUUACUAGAGCUCGUGCACGCCAACUAAAUUACCAGGUACUUUCGUUUCUUGGUAAUGAUUCUAAUGUUCAUGAGAAUAUGAUGCUGCCUAAAUUGGAUACAUUUGUUUUGUUUACAAAUGAAGGGCCUAGCUUGGAGAAGGAUGAACAUUGGAGCAAGAACAAGCAUGGAGAUGAUGGCAUGCGCAAGGGGAACAAGAACGGAGUUACAAGUGAUGAUUUCAGGACUUUGAAGCCACCAUAAUGGGUGCAUGAAGCCUUGGACGAAAUAUACAAGAUGCCACUUCAUAAAUUUCGUCCCGAGGCUAUUUUAGGUGCUGCGUCACCUUAUUAUUGGGCCAGGCCCAUGUAAUUUCGAAAUACAUAAGUAUAGGCUAUUUUUAGAGUCCGUAUGUGUGCGGAAACAAGAGAUAGGGUUGAUUUCGGACCCCUCCACCAAGGGCCACGAAAUUCCCCCCUCUUCCUCCAUAUAUACAGCCCUUAGGGCAUCGUUUAGACUUUGGGUUUUGUUUAGAUUAAAAGUUCGCCAUAGCUGCAACUUCGCGUACUUCGUUUGUGUUCAACGACCAGACAAAGGCGUCACAGAACCCCACCUUGAUCAAUAAAGCUUUCAUCUUAUAUUCGCAAUAUCCAGAUUGCAAUCUCAGUUUCUUGCUUGUUCUUCGUUUGCUCGCAGGAAACAGACCCUCGUGGUCAGGUUGAUCGUGCUCCGGCGUGGUCAAUAACCUCUCGGAGUUGGUUUAGCGAUUGCUAAGGCGCGACGUCCUCGCACGUUCGUAGUCGGAUCGUCAAAGUCGACUUCCACCAAAGCGAAAUCCACCAUCUCAUCGAAAGACGGGACACCUUUGCCUCUAUCAACUUGUCACCCCCAAACUGAUGGACAAACUGAAGUAGUCAAUAGGACGUUGUCUACUAUGCUUAGGGCUGUUUUGAAGAAUAAUAAGAAAAUGUGGGAGGAAUGCUUGCCUCAUAUUGAAUUUGCUUAUAAUCGUUCAUUGCAUUCUACUACUAAGAUGUGCCCUUUUGAAGUUGUGUAUGGUUUCCUACCUCGUGCACCUAUUGAUUUGUUGCCUCUUCCAUCUUCGGAGAAGGUUAAUUUUGAUGCUAAACAACGUGCUGAAUUGAUUUUAAAAAUGCAUGAGUUAACUAAGGAAAACAUUGAGCGUAUGAAUGCUAAAUAUAAACUUGCUGGAGAUAAGGGUAGAAAACAUGUUGUGUUUGCACCUGGAGAUCUUGUUUGGUUACAUUUGCGUAAGGAUAGAUUUCCUGAUUUGCACAAAUCAAAGCUAAUGCCACGUGCUGAUGGUCCCUUUAAGGUGUUAGAGAAAAUAAAUGAUAAUGCAUAUAAACUUGAGCUGCCUGCAGAUUUUGGGGUUAGUCCCACUUUUAACAUUGCAGAUUUGAAGCCUUAUUUGGGUGAGGAAGAUGAACUUCCGUCGAGGACGACUUCAUUUCAAUAAGGGGAGGAUGAUGAGGACAUCAAUACAAUUGUUACACCCACAGCCCCUGCUGCUAUACAUACUGGACCAAUUACUAGAGCCCGUGCACGCCAACUAAAUUACCAGGUACUUUCGUUUCUUGGUAAUGAUUCUAAUGUUCAUGAGAAUAUGAUGCUGCCUAAAUUGGAUACAUUUGUUUUGCUUACAAAUGAAGGGCCUAGCUUGGAGAAGGAUGAACAUUGGAGCAAGAACAAGCAUGGAGAUGAUGGCAUGCGCAAGGGGAACAAGAACGGAGUUACAAGUGAUGAUUUCAAGACUUUGAAGCCACCAUAAUGGGUGCAUGAAGCCUUGGACGAAAUAUACAAGAUGCCACUUCAUAAAUUUCGUCCCGAGGCUAUUUUAGGUGCUGCGUCACCUUAUUAUUGGGCCAGGCCCAUGUAAUUUCGAAAUACAUAAGUAUAGGCUAUUUUUAGAGUCCGUAUGUGUGGGGAAACAAGAGAUAGGGUUGAUUUCGGACCCCUCCACCAAGGACCACGAAAUUCCCCCCUCUUCCUCCAUAUAUACAGCCCUUAGGGCAUCGUUUAGACUUUGGGUUUUGUUUAGAUUAAAAGUUCGCCAUAGCUGCAACUUCGCGUACUUCGUUUGUGUUCAACGACCAGACAAAGGCGUCACAGAACCCCACCUUGAUCAAUAAAGCUUUCAUCUUAUAUUCGCAAUAUCCAGAUUGCAAUCUUAGUUUCUUGCUUGUUCUUCGUUUGCUCGCAGGAAACAGACCCUCGUGGUCAGGUUGAUCGUGCUCCGGCGUGGUCAAUAACCUCUCGGAGUUGGUUUAGCGAUUGCUAAGGCGCGACGUCCUCGCACGUUCGUAGUCGGAUCGUCAAAGUCGACUUCCACCAAAGCGAAAUCCACCAUCUCAUCGAAAGACGGGACACCUUUGCCUCUAUCAGGUAUAUAUUCGUAAUGGUAGGCCUGCACCACCACCUCAGGUACGAGAUGAUGUCCAUAUUCCUAAACUGAAAUUGAAUAUUCCACCAUUUGAGGGUAGAUAUGUUCCUGAUAUAUAUCUUACUUGGGAGUUAGAAACUGAACAACGAUUUACAUGUUUACAAUAUCCUGAGGAGAGACGAGUUGCUGCUGCUGUUUGUGCUUUCACUAGUUUUGCAUGUGUAUGGUGGUCUGAACAUUGUAGAUUAUAUCCUAUUCCAACUACUUGGGCUGCUUUGAAAACUGCUAUGCGUACGCGUUGGGUUCCACCAUAUUAUCAACGUGAAUUGCUUCAAAAAUUGCAGCGUUUAAGACAAGGGAAAAAUUCUGUAGAAGAAUAUUAUCAGGAAUUACAAACUGGCAUGAUUAGAUGUGGUAUUGUUGAGGAGAAUGAAGCUAUGCUUGCACGUUUUCUGGGUGGAUUAAAUAGAGAGAUUCAGACCAUUCUAGACUAUAAGGAGUAUACUAAUAUUACUCGUUUAUUCCAUCUUGCUUGUAAAGCUGAACGUGAAGUGCAGGAUCGACAAGCAUUGGGGCGAACUAACUUUUCUGCAGGCCGACCUUCAUCAUGGACACCACGUGCAUCUUCUACUUCAACUGCACCAGCACCUCCAUCCGGUGCCACCUCCAGCCGUGAUACAAGAAAACAGGCACAACCACCAUUAUCUGCCAAGAGCGCACCUGCGGGGCCUACACAGCGUUCUUCUUCUUCCAUGGCAUCAACAGGGCACACAAGUGAUAUUAUUUGUCGUCGUUGUAAGGGAGGAGGUCAUUAUGCGAGAGAAUGCAAAUCUCCGCGUGUGAUGAUUGCUACCGCGGAUGGUGGAUAUGAGUCCGCUAGUGACUAUGAUGAGGAGACUUUGGCUCUUAUUACACGUGAAGAACAUGGUGGAGAUGAUUCUGAUCAUGAGACACAAUACAUGGCUCCUGAAGACGCUGACAGGUAUGAAUGUUUAGUUGCUCAACGUGUUUUGAGUGUGCAGGUCACACAAGCUGAGCAAAAUCAGAGGCACAAUUUGUUCCAUACCAAGGGAGUUGUGAAGGAACGUUCUGUGCGCGUCAUAAUAGACGGAGGGAGCUGCAACAAUUUGGCUAGCAUGAAGAUGGUGGAGAAGCUUUCUCUCACCACAAGACCACAUCCACAUCCUUACUACAUCCAAUGGUUCAACAACAGCGGCAAGGUUAAGGUAACACGUACUGUUCGUGUGCAUUUUAGUAUCUCUACAUAUGCUGAUUAUGUUGAUUGUGAUGUGGUACCUAUGCAAGCAUGUUCCUUAUUACUUGGUAGACCAUGGCAAUUUGAUAAAAAUUCUGUACACCAUGGUAGAAACAAUCACUAUACUCUUGUUCAUAAGGAUAAAAAUAUUACUUUGCUUCCUAUGACUCCUGAUUCCAUUUUGAAAGAUGAUAUUAAUAGAGCUAAUAAAGCACAACAGGAGAAGAAUAAGAGUGAAAAUCAGAUUGUGGCAAAAGAAUUUGAGCAACAAAUGAAGCCUAAUAAUAAACCAUCUAGUGUUGCUUCUGAAAUUAAAUUGAAAAGUGCAUGUUUAUUUGCCACCAAAUCUGAUAUUGAUGAGCUAGAUUUCAUCAAAUCUGUUUGCUAUGCUUUUGUGUGCAAAGAGGCAUUAUUUUCAUUCGAGGACGUGCCUUCCUCUUUGCCUCCUGCUGUCACUAACAUUUUGCAGGAGUUCACUGACGUUUUUCCGCAAGACGUGCCACCGGGAUUACCGCCUAUUCGAGGGAUUGAGCAUCAGAUUGACUUAAUUCCCGGUGCUUCACUGCCAAACCGUGCACCAUACCGUACUAAUCCAGAGGAGACGAAGGAGAUUAUGCGUCAAGUACAAGAGCUUCUCGACAAAGGUUAUAUACGCGAAUCCCUUAGUCCUUGUGCCGUUCCUAUUAUUCUAGUGCCGAAAAAGGAUGGUACAUCACGUAUGUGUGUUGAUUGUAGAGGCAUUAAUAAUAUUACUAUUCGUUAUCGUCAUCCUAUUCCUAGGCUAGAUGCUAUGCUUGAUGAAUUGAGUGGCUCUACAAUAUUCUCCAAAGUUGAUUUGCGUAGUGGCUACCAUCAAAUUCGUAUGAAAUUGGGAGAUGAAUGGAAAACAGCAUUUAGAACUAAGUUUGGAUUAUAUGAGUGGUUAGUCAUGCCUUUUGGGUUAACUAAUGCACCUAGUACUUUCAUGAGAUUAAUGAACGAAGUUUUACGUGCUUUCAUUGGACGAUUUGUGGUAGUUUACUUUGAUGACAUAUUGAUUUAUAGCAGAUCUUUGGAAGAACAUUUGGAACAUUUACGUGCUGUUUUUAUUGCUCUACGUGAUGCACGUUUGUUUGGUAACCUUGGGAAGUGCACCUUUUUCACCGACCGAGUAUCUUUUCUUGGCUAUGUUGUUACUCCACAGGGAAUUGAAGUUGAUAAAGCCAAGAUUGAAGCUAUUGAGAGUUGGCCGCAGCCCAAAACGGGCACACAAGUGAGGAGUUUUCUUGGCCUCGCUGGAUUCUAUAGGCGUUUUGUGAGAGAUUUCAGCACCAUUGCUGCACCUCUCAAUGAGCUUACAAAGAAAGAUGUGCCUUUUCUUUGGGGUACUGCACAGGACGAAGCCUUCACGGUAUUGAAAGAUAAGUUGACACAUGCUCCUUUACUCCAACUUCCUGAUUUUAAUAAGACUUUUGAGCUUGAAUGUGAUGCUAGUGGAAUUGGAUUAGGAGGUGUGUUAUUACAAGAUGGCAAACCUGUUGCAUACUUUUCUGAAAAAUUGAGUCGGCCUAGUCUGAAUUAUUCUACUUAUGAUAAAGAAUUAUAUGCUCUUGUUCGGACUUUAGAAACAUGGCAACAUUAUUUAUGGCCCAAAGAAUUUGUUAUACAUUCUGAUCAUGAAUCUUUGAAACAUAUUAAAAGUCAAGCUAAACUGAAUCGUAGACAUGCUAAAUGGGUUGAAUUCAUUGAGACUUUCCCUUAUGUCAUUAAACACAAGAAGGGAAAAGAAAAUGUUAUUGCUGAUGCAUUGUCUCGUCGUUAUACUAUGCUUUCACAACUUGACUUCAAAAUAUUUGGUUUGGAGACCAUCAAAGAUCAAUAUGUGCAUGAUGCUGAUUUUAAAGAUGUAAUGCAGAAUUGCAAAGAAGGAAGAAUGUGGAACAAGUUUGUCGUUAACGAUGGAUUUGUGUUUCGUGCUACCAAGCUAUGCAUUCCAGCUAGCUCCGUUCGUCUUUUGUUGUUGCAGGAGGCGCAUGGAGGAGGAUUAAUGGGACACUUUGGCGUAAAGAAGACGGAGGACGUACUUGCUACACAUUUCUUUUGGCCAAAGAUGAGACGGGAUGUUGAGCGUUUUAUUGCUCGCUGCACUACAUGUCAAAAAGCUAAGUCACGACUCAAUCCUCAUGGUUUAUAUAUGCCUUUGCCUGUACCUAGUGUUCCUUGGGAGGAUAUAUCUAUGGACUUUGUUUUAGGUUUACCUCGAACAAAGAAGGGGAGGGAUAGCAUAUUUGUUGUCGUGGAUAGAUUCUCGAAAAUGGCACACUUUAUACCAUGUCAUAAAAGCGAUGAUGCUGUUAAUGUUGCUGAUUUGUUCUUUCGUGAAAUUAUUCGCUUGCAUGGUGUGCCAAAUACUAUUGUUUCAGAUCGUGAUACUAAAUUACUUAGCCACUUUUGGAGAUGUUUAUGGGCUAAGUUGGGGACUAAACUGCUUUUUAGUACUACUUGUCACCCCCAAACUGAUGGACAAACUGAAGUAGUCAAUAGAACGUUGUCUACUAUGCUUAGGGCUGUUUUGAAGAAUAAUAAGAAAAUGUGGGAGGAAUGCUUGCCUCAUAUUGAAUUUGCUUAUAAUCGUUCAUUGCAUUCUACUACUAAGAUGUGCCCUUUUGAAGUUGUGUAUGGUUUCCUACCUCGUGCACCUAUUGAUUUGUUGCCUCUUCCAUAUUCGGAGAAGGUUAAUUUUGAUGCUAAACAACGUGCUGAAUUGAUUUUAAAAAUGCAUGAGUUAACUAAGGAAAACAUUGAGCGUAUGAAUGCUAAAUAUAAACUUGCUGGAGAUAAGGGUAGAAAACAUGUUGUGUUUGCACCUGGAGAUCUUGUUUGGUUACAUUUGCGUAAGGAUAGAUUUCCUGAUUUGCGCAAAUCAAAGCUAAUGCCACGUGCUGAUGGUCCCUUUAAGGUGUUAGAGAAAAUAAAUGAUAAUGCAUAUAAACUUGAGCUGCCUGCAGAUUUUGGGGUUAGUCCCACUUUUAACAUUGCAGAUUUGAAGCCUUAUUUGGGUGAGGAAGAUGGACUUCCGUCGAGGACGACUUCAUUUCAAGAAGGGGAGGAUGAUGAGGACAUCAAUACAAUUGUUACACCCAUAGCCCCUGCUGCUAUACAUACUGGACCAAUUACUAGAGCUCGUUCACGCCAACUAAAUUACCAGGUACUUUCGUUUCUUGCUAAUGAUUCUAAUGUUCAUGAGAAUAUGAUGCUGCCUAAAUUGGAUACAUUUGUUUUGCUUACAAAUGAAGGGCCUAGCUUGGAGAAGGAUGAACAUUGGAGCAAGAACAAGCAUGGAGAUGAUGGCAUGCGCAAGGGGAACAAGAACGGAGUUACAAGUGAUGAUUUCAGGACUUUGAAGCCACCAUAAUGGGUGCAUGAAGCCUUGGACGAAAUAUACAAGAUGCCACUUCAUAAAUUUCGUCCCGAGGCUAUUUUAGGUGCUGCGUCACCUUAUUAUUGGGCCAGGCCCAUGUAAUUUCGAAAUACAUAAGUAUAGGCUAUUUUUAGAGUCCGUAUGUGUGGGGAAACAAGAGAUAGGGUUGAUUUCGGACUCCUCCACCAAGGGCCACGAAAUUCCCCCCCUCUUCCUCCAUAUAUACAGCCCUUAGGGCAUCGUUUAGACUUUGGGAUUUGUUUAGUUAAAAGUUAGCCAUUGCAACUUCGUGUACUUCGUUUGUGUCCAACGACCAGACCAAGACCGCUUCCGGAUCCCCACCAUUAUCAAUACUUCAUAUAUAUUUGCAAUAUUCAGAUUGCUUUAUCAUAUUCUUGCUCGUUCUUCGAUUGCUUGCAGGAAUAGACCUUCGUGGUCAGGCUGACCGUGCUUCCAGCAUCGUCAGUAACCUCAGGAGAUCGGUUUAGCGAUUGCUAAGGUGCAACGUCGUGCACAUUUGUAGUCGGAUCGUGAAAGUCGUCUCCAUCAAAUCGAUAGUUAUCAUCUCAUCGAAAGAUCGGGACCCUCGUCUCUAUCAAGUAGUACUUGACGCAUAAUCUCCUUCGUCUCCUCUGGAUUGGUACGGUAUGGUGCACGGUUUGGCAGUGAAGCACCGGGAAUUAAGUCAAUUUGAUGCUCAAUCCCUCGAAUAGGCGGUAAUCCCGGUGGCACGUCUUGUGGAAAGACGUCAGCGAACUCCUGCAAAAUGUUAGUGACAGCAGGAGGCAAAGAGGAAGGCACGUCCUCGAAUGAAAAUAAUGCCUCUUUGCACACAAAAGCAUAGCAAACAGAUUUGCUGAAAUCUAGCUCAUCAAUAUCAGAUUUGGUGGCAAAUAAACAUGCACUUUUCAAUUUAAUUUCAGAAGCAACACUAGAUGGUUUAUUAUUAGGCUUCAUUUGUUGCUCAAAUUCUUUUGCCACAAUCUGAUUUUCACUCUUAUUCUUCUCCUGUUGUGCUUUAUUAGCUCUAUUAAUAUCAUCUUUCAAAAUGGAAUCAGGAGUCAUAGGAAGCAAAGUAAUAUUUUUAUCGUUAUGAACAAGAGUAUAGUGAUUGUUUCUACCAUGGUGUACCGAAUUUUUAUCAAAUUGCCAUGGUCUACCCAGUAAUAAGGAACAUGCUUGCAUAGGUACCACAUCACAAUCAACAUAAUCAGCAUAUGUAGAGAUACUAAAAUGCACACGAACAGUACGUGUUACCUUAACCUUGCCGCUGUUGUUGAACCAUUGGAUGUAGUAAGGAUGUGGAUGUGGUCUUGUGGUGAGAGAAAGCUUCUCCACCAUCUCCAUUCUAGCCAAGUUGUUGCAGCUCCCUCCGUCUAUUAUGACGCGCACAGAACGUUCCUUCACAACUCCCUUGGUAUGGAACAAAUUGUGCCUCUGAUUUUGCUCAGCUUGUGUGACCUGCACACUCAAAACACGUUGAGCAACUAAACAUUCAUACCUGUCAGCGUCUUCAGGAGCCAUGUAUUGCGUCUCAUGAUCAGAAUCAUCUCCACCAUGUUCUUCACGUGUAAUAAGAGCCAAUGUCUCCUCAUCAUAGUCACUAGCGGACUCAUAUCCACCAUCCGCGGUAGCAAUCAUCACACGCGGAGAUUUGCAUUCCCUUGCAUAAUGACCUCCUCCCUUACAACGACGACAAAUAAUAUCACUUGUGUGCCCUGUUGAUGCCAUGGAAGAAGAAGAACGCUGUGCAGGCCCCGCAGGUGCGCUCUUGGCAGAUAAUGGUGGUUGUGCCUGUUUUCUUGUAUCACGGCUGGAGGUGGCACCGGAUGGAGGUGCUGGUGCAGUUGACGUAGAAGAUGCACGUGGUGUCCAUGAUGAAGGUCGGCCUGCAGAAAAGUUAGUUCGCCCCAAUGCUUGUCGAUCCUGCACUUCACGUUCAGCUUUACAAGCAAGAUGGAAUAAACGAGUGAUAUUAGUAUACUCCUUAUAGUCUAGAAUGGUCUGAAUCUCUCUAUUUAAUCCACCCAGAAAACGUGCAAGCAUAGCUUCAUUCUCCUCAACAAUACCACAUCUAAUCAUGCCAGUUUGUAAUUCCUGAUAAUAUUCUUCUACAGAAUUUUUCCCUUGUCUUAAACGCUGCAAUUUUUGAAGCAAUUCACGUUGAUAAUAUGGUGGAACCCAACGCGUACGCAUAGCAGUUUUCAAAGCAGCCCAAGUAGUUGGAAUAGGAUAUAAUCUACAAUGUUCAGACCACCAUACACAUGCAAAACUAGUGAAAGCACAAACAGCAGCAGUAACUCGUCUCUCCUCAGGAUAUUGUAAACAUGUAAAUCGUUGUUCAGUUUCUAACUCCCAAGUAAGAUAUAUAUCAGGAACAUAUCUACCCUCAAAUGGUGGAAUAUUCAAUUUCAGUUUAGGAAUAUGGACAUCAUCUCGUACCUGAGGCGGUGGUGCAGGCCUACCAUUACGAAUAUAUACCUGAGGUCGACCUGCUGGUGGUGGUACAGGUGGCUGCAUGUAGUGUUGAUUUUGAUCAACCUCAUCCUCAUAAUCUCCCACAUAAUCAUCCGCCUCCGCAUCAGCAGCAGGAGCCACAGAAGUAUCAACAGCAGCACCAACAGUUUGGCCAAACGCAAGAGGAACACGGCUUGCUCGGCGGAGGUCUGCUUCGCGACGUGGAGGUAGUCGUUGUUGUUGUUGUUGGAGAGGUGCGUUAGGUGCAGCGGGUGGUGGUGGUGGAAGACGCGCGAGCAAUUCAUUAAACUUGUUAUCGAGCUUUGUUUCGAACGUCUUCUCAAGGCCAGUGAUCUUCUCCAUGGCCUCUUCAAAAUUGUUCAGCACAUCUUGCACCUGUUCAGUCAUCAUUUGCUGAAACUUAUCAUGAAGCUCCUUGUUCGAUAAAUUCUCCCAGUCAAUCUCGUCGGCUUGUGAUCCUGGCAUGGUUAGCAGCAAUAGAAACACACAAGAAUAUGAUCCUACAGACUACUAAGAAGUGGUGGUGGUGUAUCACAAAUCCGUCAAGCAAAUCUCAAAUUCUUACCAGUUCUUACCCAGCAGCAGGCGGUGAUCGGCAACCGUUGUAGUCAAAAACUCUCAAAGCUUGGAUAGAGCGAUUACCAGGGAGAGUCAAACACACGACGUAGAUGUAUGUGGAGCUGGGAAGGCUUAUAGUAUUGAUGAGGACAUCAAUACAAUUGUUACACCCACAGCCCCUGCUGCUAUACAUACUGGACCAAUUACUAGAGCUCGUGCACGCCAACUAAAUUACCAGGUACUUUCGUUUCUUGGUAAUGAUUCUAAUGUUCAUGAGAAUAUGAUGCUGCCUAAAUUGGAUACAUUUGUUUUGCUUACAAAUGAAGGGCCUAGCUUGGAGAAGGAUGAACAUUGGAGCAAGAACAAGCAUGGAGAUGAUGGCAUGCGCAAGGGAAACAAGAACGGAGUUACAAGUGAUGAUUUCAGGACUUUGAAGCCACCAUAAUGGGUGCAUGAAGCCUUGGACGAAAUAUACAAGACGCCACUUCAUAAAUUUCGUCCCGAGGCUAUUUUAGGUGCUGCGUCACCUUAUUAUUGGUCCAGGCCCAUGUAAUUUCGAAAUACAUAAGUAUAGGCUAUUUUUAGAGUCCGUAUGUGUGGGGAAACAAGAGAUAGGGUUGAUUUCGGACCCCUCCACCAAGGGCCACGAAAUUCCCCCCCUCUUCCUCCAUAUAUACAGCCCUUAGGGCAUCGUUUAGACUUUGGGUUUUGUUUAGAUUAAAAGUUCGCCAUAGCUGCAACUUCGCGUACUUCGUUUGUGUUCAACGACCAGACAAAGGCGUCACAGAACCCCACCUUGAUCAAUAAAGCUUUCAUCUUAUAUUCGCAAUAUCCAGAUUGCAAUCUUAGUUUCUUGCUUGUUCUUCGUUUGCUCGCAGGAAACAGACCUUCGUGGUCAGGUUGAUCGUGCUCCGGCGUGGUCAAUAACCUCUCGGAGUUGGUUUAGCGAUUGCUAAGGCGCGACGUCCUCGCACGUUCGUAGUCGGAUCGUCAAAGUCGACUUCCACCAAAGCGAAAUCCUCCAUCUCAUCGAAAGACGGGACACCUUUGCCUCUAUCAACGCCUGGCACCCCCCUCGGGUUGGGCUCAGGGGCUCUCCUCUGGAGGGCCUCUAACUAGGCCGGCGACACAAGUAAGGCGUUCGGGCACCAUGUGGAGGCGUGCUUCAACGCGCGCUUCCGGGAGCGAGGCAUAGGGCGGGAAGCACCAAGCGUGCAAGAGUUCAUCACCAGGGUAAUUGGGAAUCUUCAGGAGGCGCGAGCCAUGCAAGGCGAGCGACAGCCCACGUUGCUCAAUGUAGCUUCCGCCUAGGACACAAGCGGUGAGUUACGCGUCUACGUCAACAUCCCGGGCCUCAACAGGGCUGCUUCCCAGGAGCUCUUCUGGCUGUCCCGUGUUGGCCGGUGUGGAGGCCACCCCCACAGCUACGUUUGCAUGCCGUUCGGCCUGCCGGGCGCGGCUGUCUCGCUCCAGCGGUGCAUGCAGGGCAUCCUGGCGUUUCAUGAUGCUAGGCGCCAGGCAAUCCCGACGGAGGAGGAGCCAGAGCCUCUGGAGCCCCCCAAAGCUCAGGAGUCUACUGGCUCAUGAGGAGCAACUUCCACGGCGCGCAUCUCCAGCUACUUCAACACUUCUGCCCCAACAGUGCCAGGUGACUUUUUAGUUUGUUCAGUUGAGGGCGCCCCUCGGGCUGCAUUAUCCUCAAGCUGUAUGGGUCCUCCCUGCAGCGUGUAUCAUUUUGCGCAUCUAUCAGAACUGGCUUCGCCUUUGCAUGAGUUGCUUUAUAUUAUUAUCUGCAUGUCCGGUGCAUCGCCACCACAAAUGUUAUGCGCCCUUACGAACCCGCCCACGACUACCUCAGGAUUAAGGGCUGGCACGGUGUCUGUGCUCGGGUCCGUCCCUGCAUCAUUGCUAAACCCAAGUGGCUGAGCUGUGUCUCGCGGGCCAGCCCCGUGUACGUCACCUCCCGUGGCCCUUGGUGAUUUUUUCUUGCAUGAGCUAAUCGUGGGCAGAUAAGUUAGGGUGCGCGGCAUGGUGCCUCACCACCGCGGGAGCCGCACGCUGACUGUCUAGGAUCGAUGCAUGAGAAGAUUGGGCAUGGCGUCUGUGCUCGGGUCCGUCCCUGCUGCUUCGACAAAUCCAGCGGCCGAGCUUUGUCUGGCGGGCCGGCCCCAUUCACGUCACCUCCUGGGGUCGCUGGUGUUUAGCCUUCUCCUGCAAUAUCCUUUAGAGAUUCACUCGGCGCAGGUGACCUAACCAUUGAUGUCUACUACACAACCUUCUUCUUGUAGACGUUGUUGGGCCUGCAAGUGCACAGGUUUGUAGGAUAGUAGCAAAUUUCCCUCAAGUGAAUGACCUAAGGUUUAUCAAUCCGUGGGAGGCGUAGGAUGAAGAUGGUCUCUCUAAAACAACCCUGCAACCAAAUAACAGAGAGUCUCUUGUGUCCCCAACACACCCAAUACAAUGGUAAAUUGUAUAGGUGCACUAGUUCGGCGAAGAGAUGGUGAUACAAGUGCAAUAUGGAUAGUAGAUAAAGGUAUUUGUAAUCUGAAAAUAUAAAAACAGCAAGGUUACUAAUGAUAAAAGUGAGCGUAAAUGAUAUUGCAAUGAUAGGAAAUAAGGCCUAGGGUUCAUACUUUCACUAGUGCAAGUUCUCUCAACAAUAAUAACAUAGAUAGAUCAUAUAACAAUCCCUCAACAUGCAACAAAGAGUCACUCCAAAGCCACUAAUAGCGGAGAACAAACGUAGAGAUUAUGGUAGGGUACGAAACCACCUAAAAGUUAUUCUUUCGGAUCGAUCUAUAAAAGAGUUCGUGCUAGAAUAACACCUUAAGACACAAAUCGACCAAAACCCUAAUGUCACCUAGAUACUCCAUUGUCACUUCAAGUAUCCGUGGGCAUGAUUAUACGAUAUGCAUCACACAAUCUCAGAUUCAUCCAACCAACACAAAGUACUUCAAAGAGUGCCCUAAAGUUUCUACCGGAGAGUCAAGAACGUGUGCCAACCCCUAUGCAUAGGUUCAUGGGAGGAACCCGCAAGUUGGUCACGAAGACAUACAUCAAGAGGCACAUGAUAUCCCAUUGUCACCAUAGAUAAGCACGGCAAGACAUACAUCACAUGUUCUCAUAAAAGACUCAAUCCAAUAAGAUAACUUCAAAGGGGAAACUCAAUUCAUCACAAGAGAGUAGAGGGGGAGAAACAUCACAAGAUCCAACUACAGUAGCAAAGCUCAGCAUACAUCAAGAUCAUGCCAUAGAGGGAACACGAGAGAGAGAGAGAGAUGAAACACAUAGCUACUGGUACAUACCCUCAGCCCCGAGGGUGAACUACUCCCUCCUUGUCAUGGAGAGCACCGGGAUGAUGAAGAUGGCCACUGGUGAUGGAUUCCCCCUCCGACAGGGUGCCGAAACGGGCUCCCGAGAGGUUUUUGGUGGCUACAGAGGCUUGCGGCGGCGGAACUCCUGAUCUAUCUUUUUUUCUGAUGGUUUUAGGGUACGUAGGCAUAUAUAGGCGAAAGAAGUCGGUCGGGAGGUGCUCGAGGGGCCCACGAGACAGGGGGGCGCGCCCUACAGGGGGGCAUGCCCUCCUAUCUCGUGGCUGCCUCGAGGAUCUUCUGACGUGGACUCCAAGUCUCCAGGAUCAUAUUCUUCCAAAAAAUCACGUUGCCGAAGGUUUCAUUCUGUUUGGACUCCGUUUGAUAUUCCUUUUCUUUGAAAUACUGAAACAGGGAAUAAAACAACAAUAUGGGCUGGGCCUCCGGUUAAUAGGUUAGUCCCAAAAGUAAUAUAAAAGUGUGUAAUAAAGCCCAUAAUCACUCAAAACACAUAGUAAUAUAGCAUGAAUGCUUCAUAAAUUAUAGAUACGUUGGAGACGUAUCAACAUCCUGAUGAGGACAUGACUACCUUGGAUAUGACCAAAAAUAUUGCAUAUAUGCAUAUUUGUCAGGUGAUUUCUAGUGCAAACUAUUCAAUAAUCUAUUCAUGUUAUCCAGAACAAAAAUACUUCACACACUUUUGUGUUUUGUCUAAUUGCAGGUGUAUGGAACAUUUGUACAAUCCACAUAUGAAGAUAAGGAAGAAAGAGAUGUUUAUUUGCUGUCCAAAAAGUUCUCUCACGUCACUUUUGGCCCAAAAGAAGAUAGAGUCCAAGUCUCUCACGUUCUGGAUUCAGAUUCGGACUGCACAGACAUACCUGACUCAAAACGCACACAAGUUUUUCAUACGGACUCCGAAUUGGGUGAUUCUUUUUCUGUUGGAAACUAGAUUUCGUGCACUUUCCAACCCAAUUGGAAUCACCUUCAAAUUCGUCCGGAGCGUUGAGUUGUGGACGAAACAAUCUGAUGCUGCAGAAGAAUCCGAGUCAAACUACAAGUCCAAAGGUGUUACAUCACCUCCACUUGGGCCCAUUGGCCUUGUACGACCUAGAUUUAGUUUUAGGCUGCCUUGGGACGUCCUCCCACCUCCUUGGCCGCCACCCCUUGCUCCUAUAUAAGUAGAUCCAUCUAGUAGCUUUUCUUUGGGAUUUGUUUAGUUAAAAGUUAGCCAUUGCAACUUCGUGUACUUCGUUUGUGUCCAACGACCAGACCAAGACCGCUUACGGAUCCCCACCAUUAUCAAUACUUCAUAUAUAUUCGCAAUAUUCAGAUUGCUUUAUCAUAUUCUUGCUCGUUCUUCGAUUGCUUGCAGGAAUAGACCUUCGUGGUCAGGUUGAUCGUGCUCCAGUAUGGUCAAUAACCUCUCGGAGUUGGUUUAGCGAUUGCUAAGGCGCAACGUCGUGCACGUUUGUAGUCGGAUCGUCAAAGUCGUCUCCACCAAAUCGAUAGUUAUCAUCUCAUCGAAAGAUCGGGACACCCUCGCCUCUAUCAAGUGGUAUCAAAGAUCUGUUCACAUUAGUCACGCCGCCGCUGCAUCAUUAUCCCUUCCGCUGUCCACCAUCCCAUCUAUUAAUUUCCACCACGUGCUACGCGCUGUUCAUUGUCAUAAUCAUAGUUGAGGUCGUUCACAUCUUUGCCUGAUCCAAUCUGCAUCUUAUCUAGUUUGUCUUGGAAAGAGGGAGAAAAAAAAGAGAGAAAAAAAGGAAAGAAAAAAAAGAAAAAGAGAGAGAAGAAAAAGAAAAAAAAAAGCGUGAGGAAAAAAAGAGAGAAGAAGAAAAAAAUCGGAUCUAUCUAGAAUCAAUCUCGUACCUGAAUUCGGAUUAGAAUCUGUUUUGCGCACUAUUCAGUAAAACAGGUGUAUCUUCCUCAUACGAAGUCCGUUUUGGCUCCGUGAGUACUCAAAUUGAAGCUAGCGACGAGCCGCAUGUAAAUAGUUUCAGAAGCUUGUUCAAUAUUUGACACCUCAAAAUCGUCUUCUAAAUAGGUCUUUUUGCUCUCCGAAGUUCGUGAACACAACUUGUUCCAAUUUUUCAGGCCAGUUUUAAAAUUCUUUGACUUCUCAUAUCAAUUCAGAAUUGAGUGAUUCUUUUUGCAUUGGAAAGCUUGAGUUAGUAGCAAACUUUUCAAGAGGAAAUUUGAAGAGAGAGUUGUUAUAUAUCCUACUUGGCAGUUGUUAUUCAUCAUUAUCUUUACUGCCGUUGUGAUUUUCACUUAUAUCUUGCUGUCCAGAGCUACUUUGUAUCCUUCAUUGAUGCUGGUUGUGCUACGACAUGACCUCAUUAGUGUUCUAGGCUCGCGUCUCUAGUUCGGUCUAGCCUAGGACCAGCACAGUACCGUCGUUGAGCGUUUAUUCAACAUUGCAUCUUUGAAUUGAUUAUUGCUUAUCUUUUGCUACCGUAUAUAGCCAACCCAACUCCACAUUUUGUACACCGUGUAUACGUACGCUCCCCUGGCAAUCGCUUUACUCAAUAUUCGGAGUUACUUGACACCGCUGGUUGCCGAUCACUGCCUGCUGCAUGGUAAGAACGUGUAAGACAUUGAUAUUUGCUUUACUGUGAGCGUUUUACCACCACAUCCUAGUAGUUAUAGGAACAUUAUUUUUGGGUUUUGUUUCUUGUUCUACUAAUCAUGACAGGAUCCAGAGUCAAUUCAUGGGCUUCGUCGAUCGCGGGAGACGUGCCACCACCUUUGCAAAUACCACAACCGUCACGAGAGGUGCACAAACAUCCAAAUGCACAUGAUCAGGAUAAUGUAUCUAUACCACCAUUUAAUGGCCGUUUUAAACCUGCUUUAUAUAUUGAAUGGGAGUUCGACAUAAAAUGAUAGAGGCAAAGGUGUCCCGUCUUUCGAUGAGAUGAUGGAUAUCGCUUUGGUGGAAGUCGACUUUGACGAUCCGACUACGAACGUGCGAGGACGUCGCGCCUUAGCAAUCGCUAAACCAACUCCGAGAGGUUAUUCACCACGCCGGAGCCCGAUCAACCUGACCACGAGGGUCUGUUUCCUGCGAGCAAACGAAGAACAAGCAAGAAACUAAGAUUGCAAUCUGGAUAUUGCAAAUAUAAGAUGAAAGCUUUAUUGAUCAAGGUGGGGUUCUGUGACGCCUUUGUCUGGUCGUUGAACACAAACGAAGUACGCGAAGUUGCAGCUAUGGUGAACUUUUAAUCUAAACAAAACCCCAAAGUCUAAACGAUAACCUAAGGGCUGUAUAUAUGGAGGAAGAGGGGGGAAUUUCGUGGCCCUUGGUGGAGGGGUCCGAAAUCAACCCUAUCUCUUGUUUCCCCACACAUACGGACUCUAAAAAUAGCCUAUACUUAUGUAUUUCGAAAUUACAUGGGCCUGGCCCAAUAAUAAGGUGACGCAGCACCUAAAAUAGCCUCGGGACGAAAUUUAUGAAGUGGCAUCUUGUAUAUUUCGUCCAAGGCUUCAUGCACCCAUUAUGGUGGCUUCAAAGUCCUAAAAUCAUCACUUGUAACUCCGUUCUUGUUCCCCUUGCGCAUGCCAUCAUCUCCAUGCUUGUUCUUGCUCCAAUGUUCAUCCUUCUCCAAGCUAGGCCCUUCAUUUGUAAGCAAAACAAAUGUAUCGAAUUUAGGCAGCAUCAUAUUCUCAUGAACAUUAGAAUCAUUACCAAGAAACGAAAGUACCUGGUAAUUUAGUUGGCGUGCACGAGCUCUAGUAAUUGGUCCAGUAUAUAUAGCAUCAUGGGCUGUGGGUGUAACAAUUGUAUUGAUGUCCUAAUCAUCCUCCCCUUCUUGAAAUGAAGUCGUCCAUGACGGAAGUUCAUCUUCCUCACCCAAAUAAGGCUUCAAAUCUGCAAUGUUAAAAGUGGGACUAACCCCAAAAUCUGCAGGCAGCUCAAGUUUAUAUGCAUUAUCAUUUAUUUUCUCUAACACCUUAAAGGGACCAUCAGCACGUGGCAUUAGCUUUGAUUUGCGCAAAUCAGGAAAUCUAUCCUUACGCAAAUGUAACCAAACAAGAUCUCCAGGUGCAAACACAACAUGUUUUCUACCCUUAUCUCCAGCAAGUUUAUAUUUAGCAUUCAUACGCUCAAUGUUUUCCUUAGUUAACUCAUGCAUUUUUAAAAUCAAUUCAGCACGUUGUUUAGCAUCAAAAUUAACCUUCUCCGAAGAUGGAAGAGGCAACAAAUCAAUAGGUGCACGAGGUAGGAAACCAUACACAACUUCAAAAGGGCACAUCUUAGUAGUAGAAUGCAAUGAACGAUUGUAAGCAAAUUCAAUAUGAGGCAAGCAUUCCUCCCACAUUUUCUUAUUCUUCUUCAAAACAGCCCUAAGCAUAGUAGACAACGUUCUAUUGACUACUUCAGUUUGUCCAUCAGUUUGGGGGUGACAAGUAGUACUAAAAAGCAGUUUAGUCCCCAACUUAGCCCAUAAACAUGAUAGAGGCAGAGGUGUCCCGUCUUUCGAUGAGAUGAUGGAUUUCGCUUUGGUGGAAGUCGACUUUGACGAUCCGACUACGAACGUGCGAGGACGUCGCGCCUUAGCAAUCGCUAAACCAACUCCGAGAGGUUAUUGACCACGCCGGAGCACGAUCAACCUGACCACGAGGGUCUGUUUCCUGCGAGCAAACGAAGAACAAGCAAGAAACUGAGAUUGCAAUCUGGAUAUUGCGAAUAUAAGAUGAAAGCUUUAUUGAUCAAGGUGGGGUUCUGUGACGCCUUUGUCUGGUCGUUGAACACAAACGAAGUACGCGAAGUUGCAGCUAUGGCGAACUUUUAAUCUAAACAAAACCCAAAGUCUAAACGAUGCCCUAAGGGCUGUAUAUAUGGAGGAAGAGGGGGGGAAUUUCGUGGCCCUUGGUGGAGGGGUCCGAAAUCAACCCUAUCUCUUGUUUCCCCACACAUACGGACUCUAAAAAUAGCCUGUACUUAUGUAUUUCGAAAUUACAUGGGCCUGGCCCAAUAAUAAGGUGACGCAGCACCUAAAAUAGCCUCGGGACGAAAUUUAUGAAGUGGCAUCUUGUAUAUUUCGUCCAAGGCUUCAUGCACCCAUUAUGGUGGCUUCAAAGUCCUGAAAUCAUCACUUGUAACUCCGUUCUUGUUCCCCUUGCGCAUGCCAUCAUCUCCAUGCUUGUUCUUGCUCCAAUGUUCAUCCUUCUCCAAGCUAGGCCCUUCAUUUGUAAGCAAAACAAAUGUAUCCAAUUUAGGCAGCAUCAUAUUCUCAUGAACAUUAGAAUCAUUACCAAGAAACGAAAGUACCUGGUAAUUUAGUUCGCGUGCACGAGCUCUAGUAAUUGGUCCAGUAUGUAUAGCAGCAGGGGCUGUGGGUGUAACAAUUGUAUUGAUGUCCUCAUCACUAUGACUCCUGAUUCCAUUUUGAAAGAUGAUAUUAAUAGAGCUAAUAAAGCACAACAGGAGAAGAAUAAGAGUGAAAAUCAGAUUGUGGCAAAAGAAUUUGAGCAACAAAUGAAGCCUAAUAAUAAACCAUCUAGUGUUGCUUCUGAAAUUAAAUUGAAAAGUGCAUGUUUAUUUGCCACCAAAUCUGAUAUUGAUGAGCUAGAUUUCAGCAAAUCUGUUUGCUAUGCUUUUUUGUGCAAAGAGGCAUUAUUUUCAUUCGAGGACGAGCCUUCCUCUUUGCCUCCUGCUGUCACUAACAUUUUGCAGGAGUUCGCUGACGUUUUUCCACAAGACGUGCCACUGGGAUUACCGCCUAUUCGAGGGAUUGAGCAUCCGAUUGACUUAAUUCCCGGUGCUUCACUGCCAAACCGUGCACCAUACCGUACCAAUCCAGAGGAGACGAAGGAGAUUAUGCGUCAAGUACAAGAGCUUCUCGACAAAGGUUAUAUACGCGAAUCCCUUAGUCCUUGUGCUGUUCCUAUUAUUCUAGUGCCGAAAAAGGAUGGUACAUCACGUAUGUGUGUUGAUUUCAGAGGCAUUAAUAAUAUUACUAUUCGUUAUCGUCAUCCUAUUCCUAGGCUAGAUGAUAUGCUUGAUGAAUUGAGUGGCUCUACAAUAUUCUCCAAAGUUGAUUUGCGUAGUGGCUACCAUCAAAUUCGUAUGAAAUUGGGAGAUGAAUGGAAAACAGCAUUUAAAACUAAGUUUGGAUUAUAUGAGUGGUUAGUCAUGCCUUUUGGGUUAACUAAUGCACCUAGUACUUUCAUGAGAUUAAUGAACGAAGUUUUACGUGCUUUCAUUGGACGAUUUGUGGUAGUUUACUUUGAUGACAUAUUGAUUUAUAGCAGAUCUUUGGAAGAACAUUUGGAACAUUUACGUGCUGUUUUUAUUGCUCUACGUGAUGCAUGUUUGUUUGGUAACCUUGGGAAGUGCACCUUUUGCACCGACCGAGUAUCUUUUCUUGGCUAUGUUGUUACUCCACAGGGAAUUGAAGUUGACAAAGCCAAGAUUGAAGCUAUUGAGAGUUGGCCGCAGCCCAAAACGGUCACACAAGUGAGGAGUUUUCUUGGCCUCGCUGGAUUCUAUAGGCGUUUUGUGAGAGAUUUCAGCACCAUUGCUGCACCUCUCAACGAGCUUACAAAGAAGGAUGGGCCUUUUGUUUGGGGUACCGCACAGGAAGAAGCCUUCACGGUAUUGAAAGAUAAGUUGACACAUGCUCCUUUACUCCAACUUCCUGAUUUUAAUAAGACUUUUGAGCUUGAAUGUGAUGCUAGUGGAAUUGGAUUAGGAGGUGUGUUAUUACAAGAUGGCAAACCUGUUGCAUACUUUUCUGAAAAAUUGAGUGGGCCUAGUCUGAAUUAUUCUACUUAUGAUAAAGAAUUAUAUGCUCUUGUUCGGACUUUAGAAACAUGGCAACAUUAUUUAUGGCCCAAAGAAUUUGUUAUACAUUCUGAUCAUGAAUCUUUGAAACAUAUUAAAAGUCAAACUAAACUGAAUCGUAGACAUGCUAAAUGGGUUGAAUUCAUUGAGACUUUCCCUUAUGUCAUUAAACACAAGAAGGGAAAAGAAAAUGUUAUUGCUGAUGCAUUGUCUCGUUGCUAUACUAUGCUUUCACAACUUGACUUCAAAAUAUUUGGUUUGGAGACCAUCAAAGAUCAAUAUGUGCAUGAUGCUGAUUUUAAAGAUGUAAUGCAGAAUUGUAAAGAAGGAAGAAUGUGGAACAAGUUUGUCGUUAAUGAUGGAUUUGUGUUUCGUGCUAACAAGCUAUGCAUUCCAGCUAGCUCCAUUCGUCUUUUGUUGUUGCAGGAGGCGCAUGGAGGAGGAUUAAUGGGACACUUUGGCGUGAAGAAGACGGAGGACGUACUUGCUACACAUUUCUUUUGGCCAAAGAUGAGACGGGAUGUUGAGCGUUUUAUUGCUCGAUGCACUACAUGUCAAAAAGCUAAGUCACGACUCAAUCCUCAUGGUUUAUAUAUGCCUUUGCCUGUACCUAGUGUUCCUUGGGAGGAUAUAUCUAUGGACUUUGUUUUAGGUUUACCUCGAACAAAGAAGGGGAGGGAUAGCAUAUUUGUUGUCGUGGAUAGAUUCUCGAAAAUGGCACACUUAAUACCAUGUCAUAAAAGCGAUGAUGCUGUUAAUGUUGCUGAUUUGUUCUUUCGUGAAAUUAUUCGCUUGCAUGGUGUGCCAAAUACUAUUGUUUCAGAUCGUGAUACUAAAUUUCUUAGCCACUUUUGGAGAUGUUUAUGGGCUAAGUUGGGGACUAAACUGCUUUUUAGUACUACUUGUCACCCCCAAACUGAUGGACAAACUGAAGUAGUCAAUAGAACGUUGUCUACUAUGCUUAGGGCUGUUUUGAAGAAUAAUAAGAAAAUGUGGGAGGAAUGCUUGCCUCAUAUUGAAUUUGCUUAUAAUCGUUCAUUGCAUUCUACUACUAAGAUGUGCCCUUUUGAAGUUGUGUAUGGUUUCCUACCUCGUGCACCUAUUGAUUUGUUGCCUCUUCCAUCUUCGGAUUUUGGGGUUAGUCCCACUUUUAACAUUGCAGAUUUGAAGCCUUAUUUGGGUGACGAAGAUGAACUUCCGUCGAGGACGACUUCAUUUCAAGAAGGGGAGGAUGAUGAGGACAUCAAUACAAUUGUUACACCCACAGCCCCUGCUGCUAUACAUACUGGACCAAUUACUAGAGCUCGUGCACGCCAACUAAAUUACCAGGUACUUUCGUUUCUUGGUAAUGAUUCUAAUGUUCAUGAGAAUAUGAUGCUGCCUAAAUUGGAUACAUUUGUUUUGCUUACAAAUGAAGGGCCUAGCUUGGAGAAGGAUGAACAUUGGAGCAAGAACAAGCAUGGAGAAAAGUAUGCAACAGGUUUGCCAUCUUGUAAUAACACACCUCCUAAUCCAAUUCCACUAGCAUCACAUUCAAGCUCAAAAGUCUUAUUAAAAUCAGGAAGUUGGAGUAAAGGAGCAUGUGUCAACUUAUCUUUCAAUACCGUGAAGGCUUCUUCCUGUGCGGUACCCCAAACAAAAGGCACAUCCUUCUUUGUAAGCUCGUUGAGAGGUGCAGCAAUGGUGCUGAAAUCUCUCACAAAACGCCUAUAGAAUCCAGCGAGGCCAAGAAAACUCCUCACUUGUGUGACCGUUUUGGGCUGCGGCCAACUCUCAAUAGCUUCAAUCUUGGCUUUGUCAACUUCAAUUCCCUGUGGAGUAACAACAUAGCCAAGAAAAGAUACUCGGUCGGUGCAAAAGGUGCACUUCCCAAGGUUACCAAACAAACGUGCAUCACGUAGAGCAAUAAAGACAGCACGUAAAUGUUCCAAAUGUUCUUCCAAAGAUCUGCUAUAAAUCAGUAUAUCAUCAAAAUAGACUACCACAAAUCAUCCAAUGAAAGCACGUAAAACUUCAUUCAUUAGUCUCAUGAAAGUACUAGGCGCAUUAGUUAACCCAAAAGGCAUGACUAACCACUCAUAUAAUCCAAACUUAGUUUUAAAUGUUGUUUUCCAUUAAUCUCCCAAUUUCAUACGAAUUUGAUGGUAGCCACUACGCAAAUCAACUUUGGAGAAUAUUGUAGAGCCACUCAAUUCAUCAAGCAUAUCAUCUAGCCUAGGAAUAGGAUGACGAUAACGAAUAGUAAUAUUAUUAAUGCCUCUACAAUCAACACACAUACGUGAUGUACCAUCCUUUUUCGGCACUAGAAUAAUAGGAACAGCACAAGGACUAAGGGAUCGCGUAUAUAACCUUUGUCGAGAAGCUCUUGUACUUGACGCAUAAUCUCCUUCGUCUCCUCUGGAUUGGUACGGUAUGGUGCACGGUUUGGCAGUGAAGCACCGGGAAUUAAGUCAAUCUGAUGCUCAAUCCCUCGAAUAGGCGGUAAUCCCGGUGGCACGUCUUGUGGAAAAACGUCAGCGAACUCCUGCAAAAUGUUAGUGACAGCAGGAGGCAAAGAGGAAGGCACGUCCUCGAAUGAAAAUAAUGCCUCUUUGCACACAAAAGCAUAGCAAACAGAUUUGCUGAAAUCUAGCUCAUCAAUAUCAGAUUUGGUGGCAAAUAAACAUGCACUUUUCAAUUUAAUUUCAGAAGCAACACUAGAUGGUUUAUUAUUAGGCUUCAUUUGUUGCUCAAAUUCUUUUGCCACAAUCUGAUUAAUAUCAUCUUUCAAAAUGGAAUCAGGAGUCAUAGGAAGCAAAGUAAUAUUUUUAUCCUUAUGAACAAGAGUAUAGUGAUUGUUUCUACCAUGGUGUACAGAAAUUUUAUCAAAUUGCCAUGGUCUACCAAGUAAUAAGGAACAUGCUUGCAUAGGUACCACAUCACAAUCAACAUAAUCAGCAUAUGUAGAGAUACUAAAAUGCACACGAACAGUACGUGUUACCUUAACCUUGCCGCUGUUGUUGAACCAUUGGAUGUAGUAAGGAUGUGGAUGUGGUCUUGUGGUGAGAGAAAGCUUCUCCACCAUCUCCAUGCUAGCCAAGUUGUUGCAGCUCCCUCCGUCUAUUAUGACACGCUCAGAACGUUCCUUCACAACUCCCUUGGUAUGGAACAAAUUGUGCCUCUGAUUUUGCUCAGCUUGUGUGACCUGCACACUCAAAACACGUUGAGCAACUAAACAUUCAUACCUGUCAGCGUCUUCAGGAGCCAUGUAUUGCGUCUCAUGAUCAGAAUCAUCUCCACCAUGUUCUUCACGUGUAAUAAGAGCCAAUGUCUCCUCAUCAUAGUCACUAGCGGACUCAUAUCCACCAUCCGCGGUAGCAAUCAUCACACGCGGAGAUUUGCAUUCCCUUGCAUAAUGACCUCCUCCCUUACAACGACGACAAAUAAUAUCACUUGUGUGCCCUGUUGAUGCCAUGGAAGAAGAAGAACGCUGUGCAGGCCCCGCAGGUGCGCUCUUGGCAGAUAAUGGUGGUUGUGCCUGUUUUCUUGUAUCACGGCUGGAGGUGGCACCGGAUAGAGGUGCUGGUGCAGUUGAAGUAGAAGAUGCACGUGGUGUCCAUGAUGAAGGUCGGCCUGCAGAAAAGUUAGUUCGCCCCAAUGCUUGUCGAUCCUGCACUUCACGUUCAGCUUUACAAGCAAGAUGGAGUAAACGAGUGAUAUUAGUAUACUCCUUAUAGUCUAGAAUGGUCUGAAUCUCUCUAUUUAAUCCACCCAGAAAACGUGCAAGCAUAGCUUCAUUCUCCUCAACAAUACCACAUCUAAUCAUGCCAGUUUGUAAUUCCUGAUAAUAUUCUUCUACAGAAUUUUUCCCUUGUCUUAAACGCUGCAAUUUUUGAAGCAAUUCACGUUGAUAAUAUGGUGGAACCCAACGCGUACGCAUAGCAGUUUUCAAAGCAGCCCAAGUAGUUGGAAUAGAAUAUAAUCUACAAUGUUCAGACCACCAUACACAUGCAAAACUAGUGAAAGCACAAACAGCAGCAGCAACUCGUCUCUCCUCAGGAUAUUGUAAACAUGUAAAUCGUUGUUCAGUUUUCUAACUCCCAAGUAAGAUAUAUAUCAGGAACAUAUCUACCCUCAAAUGGUGGAAUAUUCAAUUUCAGUUUAGGAAUAUGGACAUCAUCUCGUACCUGAGGUGGUGGUGCAGGCCUACCAUUAUGAAUAUAUACCUGAGGUCGACCUGCUGGUGGUGGUGCUGGUGGCUGCUCGUAGAUCUGAUUUUGAUCAACCUCAUCCUCAUAAUCGCCCGCUUACUCAUCAUCCUCCUGGGUACCAGCAGCAGCAGUAGGAGGAGCCAACGAAGCACCAACAGCAGUAGCAGCGGCACCAGAAUUUUGUCCUGGCUCAAUAGGAACACGCUGUGCUCGUCCAUACUGAUUCGGAAGGGGGCGUAGUUGUUGUUGUUGCAGAGGUGCGACAGGUGCAGCCGGUGGUGGAAGACGCGCAAGCAGUUCAUUAAAUCUGUUAUCGAGCUUUGUUUCGAACGUCUUCUCAAGGCCAGUGAUCUUCUCCAUGGCCUCUUCAAAAUUGUUCAGCACAUCUUGUACCUGUUCAGUCAUCAUUUGCUGAAACUUAUCAUGAAGCUCCUUGUUCGAUAAGUUCUCCCAGUCAAUCUCGUCGGCUUGUGAUCCUGGCAUGGUUAGCAGCAAUAGAAACACACAAGAAUAUGAUCCUACAGACUACUAAGAAGUGGUGGUGGUGUAUCACAAAUCCGUCAAGCAAAUCUCAAAUUCUUACCAGUUCUUACCCAGCAGCAGGCGGUGAUCGGCAACCGUUGUAGUCAAAAACUCUCAAAGCUUGGAUAGAGCGAUUACCAGGGAGAGUCAAAACACACGACGUAGAUGUAUGUGGAGCUGGGAAGGCUUAUACUAUGGUAGCAAAAAGGGUCAGCAAUAAUCAAUUCAGAGAUGCAAAGUUGAAUAAACGCUCAACGACGGUACUGUGCUGGUCCUAGGCUAGACUGUGCUAGAGACGCGAGCCUAGAACACCAACAAAAUCACGGCGCGGCACGUAAACAAGGGAAAAGCACACUCUGAAAUUUUUCUUUUCGCUCUCUUUUUUUUUGCGCUCUUUUUUUUUGCGCUGCUUUUUUUUGCGAAAAAGCACUAUAAUGGCGAGUGUCUCAAAACUCUUCCUAGGUCAAACUGACAGGAUGGGCACGAAUUUUUUUUUUCGACUGCCCGGACCCAAAAACUGGAAACGGGUCAAAAAAAACUUCCUAUAAUGGCACCUGUCUCAAAACACUCAGAAACACCUAAAAAUAGGAUAGCCAGAUUUUUUUUCGAAAAAUGCGUUUUCGAAAAAUUUUGGACCUAAACGGAGCGUGGUUUCCCCACUCUUUUUUUUCCGAAACCUACUCCGGCAAGGAAACACGAAUCGGAAACUAGAUGGAUCUCGAAAACAACCCUAAUAAGCAAGGAACUCGGAUUGGUGGUGGAUAUAUGGUGGUGGUAUAUGGCAGCGGUGGUGGUAGCGGUGGUAAUAUAUGGAUAUGGAUCGGUGGUGGUAUAUGGACACGGAUUGGUGGUGGUAUAUGGAUACGGAUUCGGAGUGGUGGUGGUAGAUGGCAGGGGCGAUGAUGAUGGUGCGGCGGCGGCGUGACAACUUAUGACCAGAACUCGAAACUCUAAAAGACUAGACUCUAAGACCAGCAACUAGACCGACGAUGCAACCGCAAAUUCAACAAAGCAAAACCCUAAAAAGAUUAUGCAAAGGCUCAGAUUGGUUCGGAUAUGAUGAACUAACCCUAAUUUUUUUUGUGGCUUUUUCGUGGACUGUAGGUAUGAGGAACACACUCGAUCUAAACUACGAAAAACUGUAAAAUCUCACCGAGCAACCUGGAAAUCUGAUACCACUUGAUAGAGGCAAAGGUGUCCCGUCUUUCGAUGAGAUGAUGGAUAUCGCUUUGGUGGAAGUCGACUUUGACGAUCCGACUACGAACGUGCGAGGACGUCGCGCCUUAGCAAUCGCUAAACCAACUCCGAGAGGUUAUUGACCACGCCGGAGCACGAUCAACCUGACCACGAGGGUCUGUUUCCUGCGAGCAAACGAAGAACAAGCAAGAAACUAAGAUUGCAAUCUGGAUAUUGCGAAUAUAAGAUGAAAGCUUUAUUGAUCAAGGUGGGGUUCUGUGACGCCUUUGUCUGGUCGUUGAACACAAACGAAGUACGCGAAGUUGCAGCUAUGGCGAACUUUUAAUCUAAACAAAACCCCAAAGUCUAAACGAUGCCCUAAGGGCUGUAUAUAUGCAGGAAGAGGGGGGAAUUUCAUGGCCCUUGGUGGAGGGGUCCGAAAUCAACCCUAUCUCUUGUUUCCCCACACAUACGGACUCUAAAAAUAGCCUAUACUUAUGUAUUUCGAAAUUACAUGGGCCUGGCCCAAUAAUAAGGUGACGCAGCACCUAAAAUAGCCUCGUGACAGAAUUUAUGAAGUGGCAUCUUGUAUAUUUCGUCCAAGGCUUCAUGCACCCAUUAUGGUGGCUUCAAAGUCCUGAAAUCAUCACUUGUAACUCCGUUCUUGUUCCCCUUGCGCAUGCCAUCAUCUCCAUGCUUGUUUUUGCUCCAAUGUUCAUCCUUCUCCAAGCUAGGCCCUUCAUUUGUAAGCAAAACAAAUGUAUCCAAUUUAGGCAGCAUCAUAUUCUCAUGAACAUUAGAAUCAUUACCAAGAAACGAAAGUACCUGGUAAUUUAGUUGGCGUGCACGAGCUCUAGUAAUUGGUCCAGUAUAUAUAGCAUCAUGGACUGUGGGUGUAACAAUUGUAUUGAUGUCCUCAUCAUAAAAAAUAUAUUUGCUUCCCAUAAUUUUGAUGAACAUAAAAAGGUUAAGGUUGCGGUUGGUUCUUUCACUGGUUAUGCUUUGGUUUGGUGGAGUGAAUAUUGUCGGUUACACCCUGAUUAUAUACCUACUACUUGGGAUGAUUUGAAACUUGCCAUGCGACAUACUUUCGUCCCUGCUUAUUAUACUCGUGACAUGAUUAAGAAGUUGCAACACUUAAAACAAGGUAGUGAAACUGUAACAAAAUAUUAUGAUGAUUUACAAACUACCUUGUUGCAUUCCUCUUUAGAAGAAAGUGAAGAUGAUUUUAUGGAUAGAUUUUGGGGAGGAUUAAACCGUGAUAUUCAAGAGAUACUAAUUCAUGAAGAGUGUUAUCCUAUGGACCAUUUGUUUCAUCUUGCUUGCAAAGCUGAACAGGAAAUAAAACGACGUGUUGGCCACGAGGAGAACAAGCGCACGGUGCACAUUCCAAGAGUUGAUAUGAUUGUUCCUUCAACUACUAGGCAUACUAUGACAACCACAUCCGUCGUUGUGAAGACUACAUCACCUCCACCAUGUGACACAUCGCCCCCGAGAGUGGCUACAUCAUCUGAGUUGAUCAUAAGAGGUAAUGACAAAGGUACUGAUCUUCCAUCUCUACAUGAGAAUGAUGAAUGCCUUGUCAAUUUGAAUGCACCAUCUGAUGAGCUACCCACUACUUUGAUCACACCACCUAUUUUAGAGGACUACGUUGAUAAUUUGACUUUGCCAUGUGAUCAAACAACUGAAAUACCAACAAUUUUGAGUGCACCCAUUGAAUUAACUAUUGAUGCAAAAGAACCAAUGUUUAAUCAUUUUGAUAUGACCUCUAAUCUUGGUGAUGAUUCUGUGUUGAAUGACUUAUUGCAUGUUUGCUUAUUUAAGCAUGUUGUAGCAUGUAAAUUUGAUGCAAGUAAGGUUUAUUCACCAAUGUUGGGAUGGUUUAAUGAUAAACAUUGUCAAUCUUUUGAAAUGAAUAAGAGCUUCACUUAUAUGUGCAAACUGAGUUGCAAUAUUUUCAUGCCUUCUACUUCUUGUGCUAAUUUUUUGGCUUUAGAUUUUAUGAACUAUGCAAGUUACUCAUCUAUUCAUGUGUCAUAUAUGCAAAAAUCAAGGGAAGUAAAAAUGGAUGACAUAUACAUAUACAACAUGUACACCUUGUCUCUUUUGGUAGCCACAUUUCAGAUUAAGCAACGCCGAGGACGGCUUUAUUUUCAAGAAGGGGAGGAUGAUGAGGACAUGACUACCUUGGAUAUGACCAAAAAUAUUGCAUAUAUGCAUAUUUGUCAGGUGAUUUCUAGUGCAAACUAUUCAAUAAUCUAUUUAUGUUAUCCAGAACAAAAAUACUUCACACACUUUUGUGUUUUGUCUAAUUGCAGGUGUAUGGGACAUUUGUACAAUCCACAUAUGAAGAUAAGGAAGAAAGAGAUGUUUAUUUGCUGUCCAAAAAGUUCUCUCACGUCACUUUUGGCCCAAGAGAAGAUAGAGUCCAAGUCUCUCACGUUUUGGAUUCAGAUUCGGACUGCACAGACAUACCUGACUCAAAACGCACACAAGUUUUUCAUACGGACUCCGAAUUGGGUGAUUCUUUUUUUGUUGGAAACUAGAUUUCGUGCACUUUCCAACCCAAUUAGAAUCACCUUCAAAUUCGUCCGGAGCGUUUAGUUGUGGACGAAACAAUCUGAUGCUGCAGCAGAAUCCGAGUCAAACUACAAGUCCAAAGGUGUUACAUCACCUCCACUUGGGCCCAUGAGCCUUGUACGACCUAGGGUUAGUUUUAGGCUGCCUUGGGACGUCCUCCCACCUCCUUGGCCGCCACCCCUUGCUCCUAUAUAAGUAGAUCCAUCUAGUAGCUUUUUCCUUGGGUUUUGUUUAGAUUAAAAGUUCGCCAUAGCUGCAACUUCGCGUACUUCGUUUGUGUUCAACGACCAGACAAAGGCGUCACAGAACCCCACCUUGAUCAAUAAAGCUUUCAUCUUAUAUUCGCAAUAUCCAGAUUGCAAUCUCAGUUUCUUGCUUGUUCUUCGUUUGCUCGCAGGAAACAGACCCUCGUGGUCAGGUUGAUCGUGCUCCGGCGUGGUCAAUAACCUCUCGGAGUUGGUUUAGCGAUUGCUAAGGCGCGACGUCCUCGCACGUUCGUAGUCGGAUCGUCAAAGUCGACUUCCACCAAAGCGAAAUCCACCAUCUCAUCGAAAGACGGGACACCUUUGCCUCUAUCACUUGGACUCUAUCUUCUCUUGGGCCAAAAGUGACGUGAGAGAACUUUUUGGACAGCAAAUAAACAUCUCUUUCUUCCUUAUCUUCAUAUGUGGAUUGUACAAAUGUCCCAUACACCUGCAAUUAGACAAAACACAAAAGUGUGUGAAGUAUUUUUGUUCUGGAUAACAUAAAUAGAUUAUUGAAUAGUUUGCACUAGAAAUCACCUGACAAAUAUGCAUAUAUGCAAUAUUUUUGGUCAUAUCCAAGGUAGUCAUGUCCUCAUCAUCCUCCCCUUCUUGAAAAUAAAGCCGUCCUCGGCGUUGCUUAAUCUGAAAUGUGGCUAACAAAAGAGACAAGGUGUACAUGUUGUAUAUGUAUAUGUCAUCCAUUUUUACUUCCCUUGAUUUUUGCAUAUAUGACACAUGAAUAGAUGAGUAACUUGCAUAGUUCAUAAAAUCAAAAGCCAAAAAAUUAGCACAAGAAGUAGAAGGCAUGAAAAUAUUGCAACUCAGUUUGCACAUAUAAGUGAAGCUCUUAUUCAUUUCAAAGGAUUGACAAUGUUCAUCAUUAAACCAUCCCAACAUUGGUGAAUAAACCUUACUUGCAUCAAAUUUACAUGCUACAACAUGCUUAAAUAAGCAAACAUGCAAUAAGUCAUUCAACACAGAAUCAUCACCAAGAUUAGAGGUCAUAUCAAAAUGAUUAAACAUUGGUUCUUUUGCAUCAAUAGUUAAUUCAAUGGGUGCACUCAAAAUUGUUGGUAUUUCAGUUGUUUGAUCACAUGGCAAAGUCAAAUUAUCAACGUAGUCCUCUAAAAUAGGUGGUGUGAUCAAAGUAGUGGGUAGCUCAUCAGAUGGUGCAUUCAAAUUGACAAGGCAUUCAUCAUUCUCAUGUAGAGAUGGAAGAUCAGUACCUUUGUCAUUACCUCUUAUGAUCAACUCAGAUGAUGUAGCCACUCUCGGGGGCGAUGUGUCACAUGGUGGAGGUGAUGUAGUCCUGACAACAACGGAUGUGGUUGUCAUAGUAUGCCUAGUAGUUGAAGGAACAAUCAUAUCAACUCUUGGAAUGUGCACCGUGCGCUUGUUCUCCUCGUGGCCAACACGUCGUUUUAUUUCCUGUUCAGCUUUGCAAGCAAGAUGAAACAAAUUGAUAGAGGCAAAGGUGUCCCGUCUUUCGAUGAGAAGGUGGAUUUCGCUUUGGUGGAAGUCGACUUUGACGAUCCGACUACGAACGUGCGAGGACGUCGCGCCUUAGCAAUCGCUAAACCAACUCCGAGAGGUUAUUGACCACGCCGGGGCACGAUCAACCUGACCACGAGGGUCUGUUUCCUGCGAGCAAACGAAGAACAAGCAAGAAACUAAGAUUGCAAUCUGGAUAUUGCGAAUAUAAGAUGAAAGCUUUAUUGAUCAAGGUGGGGUUCUGUGACGCCUUUGUCUGGUCGUUGAACACAAACGAAGUACGCGAAGUUGCAGCUAUGGCGAACUUUUAAUCUAAACAAAACCCAAAGUCUAAACGAUGCCCUAAGGGCUGUAUAUAUGGAGGAAGAGGGGGGAAUUUCGUGGCCCUUGGUGGAGGGGUCCGAAAUCAACCCUAUCUCUUGUUUCCCCACACAUACGGACUCUAAAAAUAGCCUAUACUUAUGUAUUUCGAAAUUACAUGGGCCUGGCCCAAUAAUAAGGUGAUGCAGCACCUAAAAUAGCCUCGGGACGAAAUUUAUGAAGUGGCAUCUUGUAUAUUUCGUCCAAGGCUUCAUGCACCCAUUAUGGUGGCUUCAAAGUCCUGAAAUCAUCACUUGUAACUCCAUUCUUGUUCUUGCUCCAAUGUUCAUCCUUCUCCAAGCUAGGCCCUUCAUUUGUAAGCAAAACAAAUGUAUCCAAUUUAGGCAGCAUCAUAUUCUCAUGAACAUUAGAAUCAUUACCAAGAAACGAAAGUACCUGGUAAUUUAGUUGGCGUGCACGAGCUCUAGUAAUUGGUCCAGUAUGUAUAGCAGCAGGGGCUGUGGGUGUAACAAUUGUAUUGAUGUCCUCAUCAUCCUCCCCUUCUUGAAAUGAAGUCGUCCUCGACGGAAGUUCAUCUUCCUCACCCAAAUAAGGCUUCAAAUCUGCAAUGUUAAAAGUGGGACUAACCCCAAAAUCUGCAGGCAGCUCAAGUUUAUAUGCAUUAUCAUUUAUUUUCUCCAACACCUUAAAGGGACCAUCAGCACGUGGCAUUAACUUUGAUUUGCGCAAAUCAGGAAAUCUAUCCUUACGCAAAUGUAACCAAACAAGAUCUCCAGGUGCAAACACAACAUGUUUUCUACCCUUAUCUCCAGCAAGUUUAUAUUUAGCAUUCAUACGCUCAAUGUUUUCCUUAGUUAACUCAUGCAUUUUUAAAAUCAAUUCAGCACGUUGUUUAGCAUCAAAAUUAACCUUCUCCGAAGAUGGAAGAGGCAACAAAUCAAUAGGUGCACGAGGUAGGAAACCAUACACAACUUCAAAAGGGCACAUCUUAGUAGUAGAAUGCAAUGAACGAUUAUAAGCAAAUUCAAUAUGAGGCAAGCAUUCCUCCCACAUUUUCUUAUUAUUCUUCAAAACAGCCCUAAGCAUAGUAGACAACGUUCUAUUGACUACUUCAUUUUGUCCAUCAGUUUGGGGGUGACAAGUAGUACUAAAAAGCAGUUUAGUCCCCAACUUAGCCCAUAAACAUCUCCAAAAGUGGCUAAGAAAUUUAGUAUCACGAUCUGAAACAAUAGUAUUUGGCACACCAUGCAAGCGAAUAAUUUCACGAAAGAACAAAUCAGCAACAUUAACAACAUCAUCGCUUUUAUGACAUGGUAUAAAGUGUGCCAUUUUCGAGAAUCUAUCCACGACAACAAAUAUACUAUCCCUCCCCUUCUUUGUUCGAGGUAAACCUAAAACAAAGUCCAUAGAUAUAUCCUCCCAAGGAACACUAGGUAUAGGCAAAGGCAUAUAUAAACCAUGAGGAUUGAGUCGUGACUUAGCUUUUUGACAUGUAGUGCAGCGAGCAAUAAAACGCUCAACAUCCCGUCUCAUCUUUGGCCAAAAGAAAUGUGUAGCAAGUACGUCCUCCGUCUUCUUCACGCCAAAGUGUCCCAUUAAUCCUCCUCCAUGCGCCUCCUGCAACAACAAAAGAUGAACGGAGCUAGCUGGAAUGCAUAGCUUGUUAGCACGAAACACAAAUCCAUCGUUAACAACAAACUUGUUCCACAUUCUUCCUUCUUUACAAUUCUGCAUUACAUCUUUAAAAUCAGCAUCAUGCACAUAUUGAUCUUUGAUGGUCUCCAAACCAAAUAUUUUGAAGUCAAGUUGUGAAAGCAUAGUAUAGCGACGAGACAAUGCAUCAGCAAUAACAUUUUCUUUUCCCUUCUCGUGUUUAAUGACAUAAGGGAAAGUCUCAAUGAAUUCAACCCAUUUAGCAUGUCUACGAUUCAGUUUAGCUUGACUUUUAAUAUGUUUCAAAGAUUCAUGAUCAGAAUGUAUAACAAAUUCUUUGGGCCAUAAAUAAUGUUGCCAUGUUUCUAAAGUCCGAACAAGAGCAUAUAAUUCUUUAUCAUAAGUAGAAUAAUUCAGACUAGGCCCACUCAAUUUUUCAGAAAAGUAUGCAACAGGUUUGCCAUCUUGUAAUAACACACCUCCUAAUCCAAUUCCACUAGCAUCACAUUCAAGCUCAAAAGUCUUAUUAAAAUCAGGAAGUUGGAGUAAAGGAGCAUGUGUCAACUUAUCUUUCAAUACCGUGAAGGCUUCUUCCUGUGCGGUACCCCAAAGAAAAGGCACAUCUUUCUUUGUAAGCUCAUUGAGAGGUGCAGCAAUGGUGCUGAAAUCUCUCACAAAAUGCCUAUAGAAUCCAGCGAGGCCAAGAAAACUCCUCACUUGUGUGACCGUUUUGGGUUGCGGCCAACUCUCAAUAGCUUCAAUCUUGUCUUUAUCAACUUCUGAUGAGGACAUCAAUACAAUUGUUACACCCACAGCCCCUGCUGCUAUACAUACUGGACCAAUUACUAGAGCUCGUGCACGCCAACUAAAUUACCAGGUACUUUCGUUUCUUGGUAAUGAUUCUAAUGUUCAUGAGAAUAUGAUGCUGCCUAAAUUGGAUACAUUUGUUUUGCUUACAAAUGAAGGGCCUAGCUUGGAGAAGGAUGAACAUUGGAGCAAGAACAAGCAUGGAGAUGAUGGCAUGCGCAAGGGGAACAAGAACGGAGUUACAAGUGAUGAUUUCAGGACUUUGAAGCCACCAUAAUGGGUGCAUGAAGCCUUGGACGAAAUAUACAAGAUGCCACUUCAUAAAUUUCGUCCCGAGGCUAUUUUAGGUGCUGCGUCACCUUAUUAUUGGGCCAGGCCCAUGUAAUUUCGAAAUACAUAAGUAUAGGCUAUUUUUUGAGUCCGUAUGUGUGGGGAAACAAGAGAUAGGGUUGAUUUCGGACCCCUCCACCAAGGGCCACGAAAUUCCCCCCUCUUCCUCCAUAUAUACAGCCCUUAGGGCAUCGUUUAGACUUUGGGUUUUGUUUAGAUUAAAAGUUCGCCAUAGCUGCAACUUCGCGUACUUCGUUUGUGUUCAACGACCAGACAAAGGCGUCACAGAACCCCACCUUGAUCAAUAAAGCUUUCAUCUUAUAUUCGCAAUAUCCAGAUUGCAAUCUUAGUUUCUUGCUUGUUCUUCGUUUGCUCGCAGGAAACAGACCCUCGUGGUCAGGUUGAUCGUGCCCCGGCGUGGUCAAUAACCUCUCGGAGUUGGUUUAGCGAUUGCUAAGGCGCGACGUCCUCGCACGUUCGUAGUCGGAUCGUCAAAGUCGACUUCCACCAAAGCGAAAUCCACCUUCUCAUCGAAAGACGGGACACCUUUGCCUCUAUCAAUUUGUUUCAUCUUGCUUGCAAAGCUGAACAGGAAAUAAAACGACGUGUUGGCCACGAGGAGAACAAGCGCACGGUGCACAUUCCAAGAGUUGAUAUGAUUGUUCCUUCAACUACUAGGCAUACUAUGACAACCACAUCCGUUGUUGUCAGGACUACAUCACCUCCACCAUGUGACACAUCGCCCCCGAGAGUGGCUACAUCAUCUGAGUUGAUCAUAAGAGGUAAUGACAAAGGUACUGAUCUUCCAUCUCUACAUGAGAAUGAUGAAUGCCUUGUCAAUUUGAAUGCACCAUCUGAUGAGCUACCCACUACUUUGAUCACACCACCUAUUUUAGAGGACUACGUUGAUAAUUUGACUUUGCCAUGUGAUCAAACAACUGAAAUACCAACAAUUUUGAGUGCACCCAUUGAAUUAACUAUUGAUGCAAAAGAACCAAUGUUUAAUCAUUUUGAUAUGACCUCUAAUCUUGGUGAUGAUUCUGUGUUGAAUGACUUAUUGCAUGUUUGCUUAUUUAAGCAUGUUGUAGCAUGUAAAUUUGAUGCAAGUAAGGUUUAUUCACCAAUGUUGGGAUGGUUUAAUGAUAAACAUUGUCAAUCUUUUGAAAUGAAUAAGAGCUUCACUUAUAUGUGCAAACUGAGUUGCAAUAUUUUCAUGCCUUCUACUUCUUGUGCUAAUUUUUUGGCUUUAGAUUUUAUGAACUAUGCAAGUUACUCAUCUAUUCAUGUGUCAUAUAUGCAAAAAUCAAGGAAAGUAAAAAUGGAUGACAUAUACAUAUACAACAUGUACACCUUGUCUCUUUUGUUAACCACAUUUCAGAUUAAGCAACGCCCAGGACGGCUUUAUUUUCAAGAAGGGGAGGAUGAUGAGGACAUGACUACCUUGGAUAUGACCAAAAAUAUUGCAUAUAUGCAUAUUUGUCAGGUGAUUUCUAGUGCAAACUAUUCAAUAAUCUAUUUAUGUUAUCCAGAACAAAAAUACUUCACACACUUUUGUGUUUUGUCUAAUUGCAGGUGUAUGGGACAUUUGUACAAUCCACAUAUGAAGAUAAGGAAGAAAGAGAUGUUUAUUUGCUGUCCAAAAAGUUCUCUCACGUCACUUUUGGCCCAAGAGAAGAUAGAGUCCAAGUCUCUCACGUUCUGGAUUCAGAUUCGGACUGCACAGACACACCUGACUCAAAACGCACACAAGUUUUUCAUACGGACUCCGAAUUGGGUGAUUCUUUUUUUGUUGGAAACUAGAUUUCGUGCACUUUCCAACCCAAUUGGAAUCACCUUCAAAUUCGUCCGGAGCGUUGAGUUGUGGACGAAACAAUCUGAUGCUGCAGAAGAAUCCGAGUCAAACUACAAGUCCAAAGGUGUUACAUCACCUCCACUUGGGCCCAUUGGCCUUGUACGACCUAGAUUUAGUUUUAGGCUGCCUUGGGACGUCCUCCCACCUCCUUGGCCGCCACCCCUUGCUCCUAUAUAAGUAGAUCCAUCUAGUAGCUUUUCCUUGGGAUUUGUUUAGUUAAAAGUUAGCCAUUGCAACUUCGUGUACUUCGUUUGUGUCCAACGACCAGACCAAGACCGCUUACGGAUCCCCACCAUUAUCAAUACUUCAUAUAUAUUCGCAAUAUUCAGAUUGCUUUAUCAUAUUCUUGCUCGUUCUUCGAUUGCUUGCAGGAAUAGACCUUCGUGGUCAGGUUGAUCGUGCUCCAGCAUGGUCAAUAACCUCUCGGAGUUGGUUUAGCGAUUGCUAAGGCGCAACGUCGUGCACGUUUGUAGUCGGAUCGUCAAAGUCGUCUCCACCAAAUCGAUAGUUAUCAUCUCGUCGAAAGAUCGGGACACCCUCGCCUCUAUCACAUCCCCAAGCUUAAUUCCUACUCGUCCUCGAGUAGGUAAAUGAUAAAAGAAAGAAUUUAUGAAGUGUGAAUGCUAGAAGGUGCACAAGUUUGAUCAAUGAUAAUUUCAAUCACCUUUUCUAGCAUGAUAAUAUGUCAUAACAGUAGUUCAUCUCAUAAAACUUCUCACGAUAAAGUAACAAGCAAUUCACAUGUCAAAGCAUAGACCAUAAACUUUCUUAAAAAGUAGCAAACUUUAUUCUCAGUCAUUCAAACAAUUGCAAUUCAUCUUAUUUUCAAGAAUAACAAACUCCACAUACUCAACUAUCAUAUAGUCUUCUACAAUUGCUAACACUCACGCAAUACUAAUGGUUAUGAAGUUUUAAUCAGACACAGAGAAAGAUUGUGAUAGAGGCAAAGGUGUCCCGUCUUUCGAUGAGAUGAUGGAUAUCGCUUUGGUGGAAGUCGACUUUGACGAUCCGACUACGAACGUGCGAGGACGUCGCGCCUUAGCAAUCGCUAAACCAACUCCGAGAGGUUAUUGACCACGCCGGAGCACGAUCAACCUGACCACGAGGGUCUGUUUCCUGCGAGCAAACGAAGAACAAGCAAGAAACUGAGAUUGCAAUCUGGAUAUUGCGAAUAUAAGAUGAAAGCUUUAUUGAUCAAGGUGGGGUUCUGUGACGCCUUUGUCUGGUCGUUGAACACAAACGAAGUACGCGAAGUUGCAGCUAUGGCGAACUUUUAAUCUAAACAAAACCCAAAGUCUAAACGAUGCCCUAAGGGCUGUAUAUAUGGAGGAAGAGGGGGGAAUUUCGUGGCCCUUGAUGGAGGGGUCCGAAAUCAACCCUAUCUCUUGUUUCUCCACACAUACGGACUCUAAAAAUAGCCUAUACUUAUGUAUUUCGAAAUUACAUGGGCCUGGCCCAAUAAUAAGGUGACGCAGCACCUAAAAUAGCCUCGGGACGAAAUUUAUGAAGUGGCAUCUUGUAUAUUUUGUCCAAGGCUUCAUGCACCCAUUAUGGUGGCUUCAAAGUCCUGAAAUCAUCACUUGUAACUCCGUUCUUGUUUCCCUUGCGCAUGCCAUCAUCUCCAUGCUUGUUCUUGCUCCAAUGUUCAUCCUUCUCCAAGCUAGGCCCUUCAUUUGUAAGCAAAACAAAUGUAUCCAAUUUAGGCAGCAUCAUAUUCUCAUGAACAUUAGAAUCAUUACCAAGAAACGAAAGUACCUGGUAAUUUAGUUGGCGUGCACGAGCUCUAGUAAUUGGUCCAGUAUGUAUAGCAGCAGGGGCUGUGGGUGUAACAAUUGUAUUGAUGUCCUCAUCAUCCUCCCCUUCUUGAAAUGAAGUCGUCCUCGACGGAUGUUCAUCUUCCUCACCCAAAUAAGGCUUCAAAUCUGCAAUGUUAAAAGUGGGACUAACCCCAAAAUCUGCAGGCAGCUCAAGUUUAUAUGCAUUAUCAUUUAUUUUCUCUAACACCUUAAAGGGACCAUCAGCCCGUGGCAUUAACUUUGAUUUGCGCAAAUCAGGAAAUCUAUCCUUACGCAAAUGUAACCAAAGAAGAUCUCCAGGUGCAAACACAACAUGUUUUCUACCCUUAUCUCCAGCAAGUUUAUAUUUAGCAUUCAUGCGCUCAAUGUUUUCCUUAGUUAACUCAUGCAUUUUUAAAAUCAAUUCAGCACGUUGUUUAGCAUCAAAAUUAACCUUCUCCGAAGAUGGAAGAGGCAACAAAUCAAUAGGUGCACGAGGUAGGAAACCAUACACAACUUCAAAAGGGCACAUCUUACUAGUAGAAUGCAAUGAACGAUUAUAAGCAAAUUCAAUAUGAGGCAAGCAUUCCUCCCACAUUUUCUUAUUAUUGUUCAAAACAGCCCUAAGCAUAGUAGACAACGUUCUAUUGACUACUUCAGUUUGUCCAUCAGUUUGGGGGUGACAAGUAGUACUAAAAAGCAGUUUAGUCCCCAACUUAGCCCAUAAACAUCUCCAAAAGUGGCUAAGAAAUUUAGUAUCACGAUCUGAAACAAUAGUAUUUGGCACACCAUGCAAGCGAAUAAUUUCACGAAAGAACAAAUCAGCAACAUUAACAGCAUCAUCGCUUUUAUGACAUGGUAUAAAGUGUGCCAUUUUCGAGAAUCUAUCCACGACAACAAAUAUGCUAUCCCUCCCCUUCUUUGUUCGAGGUAAACCUAAAACAAAGUCCAUAGAUAUAUCCUCCCAAGGAACACUAGGUACAGGCAAAGGCAUAUAUAAACCAUGAGGAUUGAGUCGUGACUUAGCUUUUUGACAUGUAGUGCAUCGAGCAAUAAGACGCUCAACAUCCCGUCUCAUCUUUGGCCAAAAGAAAUGUGUAGCAAGUACGUCCUCCGUCUUCUUCACGCCAAAGUGUCCCAUUAAUCCUCCUCCAUGCGCCUCCUGCAACAACAAAAGAUGAACGGAGCUAGCUGGAAUGCAUAGCUUGUUAGCACGAAACACAAAUCCAUCGUUAACGACAAACUUGUUCCACAUUCUUCCUUCUUUACAAUUCUGCAUUACAUCUUUAAAAUCCGCAUCAUGCACAUAUUGAUCUUUGAUGGUCUCCAAACCAAAUAUUUUGAAGUCAAGUUGUGAAAGCAUAGUAUAGCGACGAGACAAUGCAUCAGCAAUAACAUUUUCUUUUCCCUUCUUGUGUUUAAUGACAUAAGGGAAAGUCUCAAUGAAUUCAACCCAUUUAGCAUGUCUACGAUUCAGUUUAGCUUGACUUUUAAUAUGUUUCAAAGAUUCAUGAUCAGAAUGUAUAACAAAUUCUUUGGGCCAUAAAUAAUGUUGCCAUGUUUCUAAAGUCCGAACAAGAGCAUAUAAUUCUUUAUCAUAAGUAGAAUAAUUCAGACUAGGCCCACUCAAGUUUUCAGAAAAGUAUGCAACGGGUUUGCCAUCUUGUAAUAACACACCUCCUAAUCCAAUUCCACUAGCAUCACAUUCAAGCUCAAAAGUCUUAUUAAAAUCAGGAAGUUGGAGUAAAGGAGCAUGUGUCAACUUAUCUUUCAAUACGGAGAAGGCUUCUUCCUGUGCGGUACCCCAAAGAAAAGGCACAUCUUUCUUUGUAAGCUCAUUGAGAGGUGCAGCAAUGGUGCUGAAAUCUCUCACAAAACGCCUAUAGAAUCCAGCGAGGCCAAGAAAACUCCUCACGUGUGUGACCGUUCUGGGCUGCGGCCAACUCUCAAUAGCUUCAAUCUUGGCUUUAUCAACUUCAAUUCCCUGUGGAGUAACAACAUAGCCAAGAAAAGAUACUCGGUCGGUGCAAAAGGUGCACUUCCCAAGGUUACCAAACAAACGUGCAUCACGUAGAGCAAUAAAAACAGCACGUAAAUGUUCCAAAUGUUCUUCCAAAGAUCUGCUAUAAAUCAAUAUGUCAUCAAAGUAAACUACCACAAAUCGUCCAAUGAAAGCACGUAAAACUUCGUUCAUUAAUCUCAUGAAAGUACUAGGUGCAUUAGUUAACCCAAAAGGCAUGACUAACCACUCAUAUAAUCCAAACUUAGUUUUAAAUGCUGUUUUCCAUUCAUCUCCCAAUUUCAUACGAAUUUGAUGGUAGCCACUACGCAAAUCAACUUUGGAGAAUAUUGUAGAGCCACUCAAUUCAUCAAGCAUAUCAUCUAGCCUAGGAAUAGGAUGACGAUAACGAAUAGUAAUAUUAUUAAUGCCUCUACAAUCAACACAAAAGCAUAGCAAACAGAUUUGCUGAAAUCUAGCUCAUCAAUAUCAGAUUUGGUGGCAAAUAAACAUGCACUUUUCAAUUUAAUUUCAGAAGCAACACUAGAUGGUUUAUUAUUAGGCUUCAUUUGUUGCUCAAAUUCUUUUGCCACAAUCUGAUUUUCACUCUUAUUCUUCUCCUGUUGUGCUUUAUUAGCUCUAUUAAUAUCAUCUUUCAAAAUGGAAUCAGGAGUCAUAGGAAGCAAAGUAAUAUUUUUAUCCUUAUGAACAAGAGUAUAGUGAUUGUUUCUACCAUGGUGUACAGAAUUUUUAUCAAAUUGCCAUGGUCUACCAAGUAAUAAGGAACAUGCUUGCAUAGGUACCACAUCACAAUCAACAUAAUCAGCAUAUGUAGAGAUACUAAAAUGCACACGAACAGUACGUGUUACCUUAACCUUGCCGCUGUUGUUGAAGCAUUGGAUGUAGUAAGGAUGUGGAUGUGGUCUUGUGGUGAGAGAAAGCUUCUCCACCAUCUCCAUGCUAGCCAAGUUGUUGCAGCUCCCUCCGUCUAUUAUGACGCGCACAGAACGUUCCUUCACAACUCCCUUGGUAUGGAACAAAUUGUGCCUCUGAUUUUGCUCAGCUUGUGUGACCUGCACACUCAAAACACGUUGAGCAACUAAACAUUCAUACCUGUCAGCGUCUUCAGGAGCCAUUUAUUGCGUCUCAUGAUCAGAAUCAUCUCCACCAUGUUCUUCACGUGUAAUAAGAGCCAAAGUCUCCUCAUCAUAGUCACUAGCGGACUCAUAUCCACCAUCCGCGGUAGCAAUCAUCACACGCGGAGAUUUGCAUUCUCUCGCAUAAUGACCUCCUCCCUUACAACGACGACAAAUAAUAUCACUUGUGUGCCCUGUUGAUGCUAUGGAAGAAGAAGAACGCUGUGUAGGCCCCGCAGGUGCGCUCUUGGCAGAUAAUGGUGGUUGUGCCUGUUUUCUUGUAUCACGGCUGGAGGUGGCACCUGAUGGAGGUGCUGGUGCAGUUGAAGUAGAAGAUGCACGUGGUGUCCAUGAUGAAGGUCGGCCUGCAGAAAAGUUAGUUCGCCCCAAUGCUUGUCGAUCCUGCACUUCACGUUCAGCUUUACAAGCAAGAUGGAAUAAAGGAGUGAUAUUAGUAUACUCCUUAUAGUCUAGAAUGGUCUGAAUCUCUCUAUUUAAUCCACCCAGAAAACGUGCAAGCAUAGCUUCAUUCUCCUCAACAAUACCACAUCUAAUCAUGCCAGUUUGUAAUUCCUGAUAAUAUUCUUCUACAGAAUUUUUUCCUUGUCUUAAACGCUGCAAUUUUUGAAGCAAUUCACGUUGAUAAUAUGGUGGAACCCAACGCGUACGCAUAGCAGUUGUCAAAGCAGCCCAAGUAGUUGGAAUAGGAUAUAAUCUACAAUGUUCAGACCACCAUACACAUGCAAAACUAGUGAAAGCACAAACAGCAGCAGCAACUCGUCUCUCCUCAGGAUAUUGUAAACAUGUAAAUCGUUGUUCAGUUUCUAACUCCCAAGUAAGAUAUAUAUCAGGAACAUAUCUACCCUCAAAUGGUGGAAUAUUCAAUUUCAGUUUAGGAAUAUGGACAUCAUCUCGUACCUGAGGUGGUGGUGCAGGCCUACCAUUACGAAUAUAUACCUGAGGUCGACCUGCUGGUGGUGGUGCUGGUGGCUGCUCGUAGAUCUGAUUUUGAUCAACCCCAUCCUCAUAAUCGCCCGCAUACUCAUCAUCCUCCUGGGUACCAGCAACAGCAGUAGCAGGAGCCACAGAAGUAUCAACAGCAGCACCAACAGUUUGGCCAAACGCAAGAGGAACACGGCUCGCUCGGCGAAGGUCUAUUUCGCGACGUGGAGGAAGUCGUUGUUGUUGUUGUUGUUGGAGAGGUGCGUUAGGUGCAGCGGGUGGUGGUGGUGGAAGACGCGCGAGCAAUUCAUUAAAUCUGUUAUCGAGCUUUGUUUCGAACUUCUUCUCAAGGCCAGUGAUCUUCUCCAUGGCCUCUUCAAAAUUGUUCAGCACAUCUUGCACCUGUUCAGUCAUCAUGUGCUGAAACUUAUCAUGAAGCUCCUUGUUCGAUAAAUUCUCCCAGUCAAUCUCGUCGGCUUGUGAUCCUGGCAUGGUUAGCAGCAAUAGAAACACACAAGAAUAUGAUCCUACAGACUACGAACAAGUGGUGGUGGUGGGUGUCACAAAUCCGUCAAGCAAAACUCAAAUUCUUACCAGUUCUUACCCAGCAACAGGCGGUGAUCGGCAACCGUUGUAGUCAAAACUCUCAAAGCUUGGAUAGAGCGAUUACCAGGGAGAGUCAAACGCACGACGUAGAUGUAUGUGGAGCUGGGAAGGCUUAUACUAUGGUAGCAAAAAGGGUCAGCAAUAAUCAAUUCAGAGAUGCAAAGUUGAAUAAACGCUCAACGACGGUACUGUGCUGGUCCUAGGCUAGACUGUGCUAGAGACGCGAGCCUAGAACACCAACAAAAUCACGGCGCGGCACGUAAACAAGGGAAAAGCACACUCUGAAUUUUUUUUUCGCUCUUUUUUUUUUGGGAAAAAUCACUAUAAUGGCGAGUGUCUCAAAACUCUUCCUAGCUCAAACUGACAGGAUGGGCACGAAAUUUUUCGACCAAAUUUUUUUUUUCGACUGCCCGGACCCAAAAACUGGAAACGGGUCAAAAAAAACUUCCUAUAAUGGCACCUGUCUCAAAACACUCAGAAACACCUAAAAAUAGGAUAGCCAGAAAUUUUUUCGAAAAAUGCGUUUUCGAAAAAUUUUGGGCCUAAACGGAGCGUGGCUACCCGACUCCACAUACAUUUUCGCUUUUUUUUUUCCGAAACCUACUCCGGCAAGGAAACAUGAAUCGGAAUCUAGAUGGAUCCCGAAAACAAACCUAAUAAGCAAGGAACUCAGAUUGGUGGUGGAUAUAUGGUGGUGGUAUAUGGCAGCGGUGGUGGUAGCGGUGGUAGUAUAUGGAUAUGGAUCGGUGGUGGUAUAUGGGCACGGAUUGGUGGUGGUAUAUGGAUACGGAUUCGGAGCGGUGGUGGUAGAUGGCAGGGGCGAUGAUGAUGGUGCGGCGGCGGCGUGACAACUUAUGACCAGAACUCGAAACUCUAAAAGACUAGACUCUAAGACCAGCAACUAGACCGACGAUGCAACCGCAAAUUCAACAAAGCAAAACCCUAAAAAGAUUAUGCAAAGGCUCAGAUUGGUUCGGAUAUGAUGAACUAACCCUAAUUUUUUUUGUGGCUUUUUCGUGGACUGUAGGUAUGAAGAACAGACUCGAUCUAAACUACGAAAAACUGUAAAAUCUCAUCGAGCAACCUGGAAAUCUGAUACCACUUGAUAGAGGCAAAGGUGUCCCGUCUUUCGAUGAGAUGAUGGAUAUCGCUUUGGUGGAAGUCGACUUUGACGAUCCGACUACGAACGUGCGAGGACGUCGCGCCUUAGCAAUCGCUAAACCAACUCCGAGAGGUUAUUGACCACGCCGGAGCACGAUCAACCUGACCACGAGGGUCUGUUUCCUGCGAGCAAACGAAGAACAAGCAAGAAACUGAGAUUGCAAUCUGGAUAUUGCGAAUAUAAGAUGAAAGCUUUAUUGAUCAAGGUGGGGUUCUGUGACGCCUUUGUCUGGUCGUUGAACACAAACGAAGUACGCGAAGUUGCAACUAUGGCGAACUUUUAAUCUAAACAAAACCCAAAGUCUAAACGAUGCCCUAAGGGCUGUAUAUAUGGAGGAAGAGGGGGGGAAUUUCGUGGCCCUUGGUGGAGGGGUCCGAAAUCAACCCUAUCUCUUGUUUCCCCACACAUACGGACUCUAAAAAUAGCCUAUACUUAUGUAUUUCGAAAUUACAUGGGCCUGGCCCAAUAAUAAGGUGACGCAGCACCUAAAAUAGCCUCGGGACGAAAUUUAUGAAGUGGCAUCUUGUAUAUUUCGUCCAAGGCUUCAUGCACCCAUUAUGGUGGCUUCAAAGUCCUGAAAUCAUCACUUGUAACUCCGUUCUUGUUUCCCUUGCGCAUGCCAUUAUCUCCAUGCUUGUUCUUGCUCCAAUGUUCAUCCUUCUCCAAGCUAGGCCCUUCAUUUGUAAGCAAAACAAAUGUAUCCAAUUUAGGCAGCAUCAUAUUCUCAUGAACAUUAGAAUCAUUACCAAGAAACGAAAGUACCUGGUAAUUUAGUUGGCGUGCACGAGCUCUAGUAAUUGGUCCAGUAUGUAUAGCAGCAGGGGCUGUGGGUGUAACAAUUGUAUUGAUGUCCUCAUCAAAACGCCUAUAGAAUCCAGCGAGGCCAAGAAAACUCCUCACUUGUGUGACCGUUUUGGGCUGCGGCCAACUCUCAAUAGCUUCAAUCUUGGCUUUAUCAACUUCAAUUCCCUGUGGAGUAACAACAUAGCCAAGAAAAGAUACUCGGUCGGUGCAAAAGGUGCACUUCCCAAGGUUACCAAACAAACGUGCAUCACGUAGAGCAAUAAAAACAGCACGUAAAUGUUCCAAAUGUUCUUCCAAAGAUCUGCUAUAAAUCAAUAUGUCAUCAAAGUAAACUACCACAAAUCGUCCAAUGAAAGCACGUAAAACUUCGUUCAUUAAUCUCAUGAAAGUACUAGGUGCAUUAGUUAACCCAAAAGGCAUGACUAACCACUCAUAUAAUCCAAACUUAGUUUUAAAUGCUGUUUUCCAUUCAUCUCCCAAUUUCAUACGAAUUUGAUGGUAGCCACUACGCAAAUCAACUUUGGAGAAAAUUGUAGAACCACUCAAUUCAUCAAGCAUAUCAUCUAGCCUAGGAAUAGGAUGACGAUAACGAAUAGUAAUAUUAUUAAUGCCUCUACAAUCAACACACAUACGUGAUGUACCAUCCUUUUUCGGCACUAGAAUAAUAGGAACAGCACAAGGACUAAGGGAUUCGCGUAUAUAACCUUUGUCGAGAAGCUCUUGUACUUGACGCAUAAUCUCCUUCGUCUCCUCUGGAUUGGUACGGUAUGGUGCACGGUUUGGCAGUGAAGCACCGGGAAUUAAGUCAAUCUGAUGCUCAAUCCCUCGAAUAGGCGGUAAUCCCGGUGGCCCGUCUUGUGGAAAAACGUCAGCGAACUCCUGCAAAAUGUUAGUGACAGCAGGAGGCAAAGAGGAAGGCACGUCCUCGAAUGAAAAUAAUGCCUCUUUGCACACAAAAGCAUAGCAAACAGAUUUGCUGAAAUCUAGCUCAUCAAUAUCAGAUUUGGUGGCAAAUAAACAUGCACUUUUCAAUUUAAUUUCAGAAGCAACACUAGAUGGUUUAUUAUUAGGCUUCAUUUGUUGCUCAAAUUCUUUUGCCACAAUCUGAUUUUCACUCUUAUUCUUCUCCUGUUGUGCUUUAUUAGCUCUAUUAAUAUCAUCUUUCAAAAUGGAAUCAGGACUCAUAGGAAGCAAAGUAAUAUUUUUAUCCUUAUGAACAAGAGUAUAGUGAUUGUUUCUACCAUGGUGUACAGAAUUUUUAUCAAAUUGCCAUGGUCUACCAAGUAAUAAGGAACAUGCUUGCAUAGGUACCACAUCACAAUCAACAUAAUCAGCAUAUGUAGAGAUACUAAAAUGCACACGAACAGUACGUGUUACCUUAACCUUGCCGCUAUUGUUGAACCAUUGGAUGUAGUAAGGAUGUGGAUGUGGUCUUGUGGUGAGAGAAAGCUUCUCCACCAUCUCCAUGCUAGCCAAGUUGUUGCAGCUCCCUCCGUCUAUGAUGACGCGCACAGAACGUUCCUUCACAACUCCCUUGGUAUGGAACAAAUUGUGCCUCUGAUUUUGCUCAGCUUGUGUGACCUGCACACUCAAAACACGUUGAGCAACUAAACAUUCAUACCUGUCAGCGUCUUCAGGAGCCAUGUAUUGCGUCUCAUGAUCAGAAUCAUCUCCACCAUUUUCUUCACGUGUAAUAAGAGCCAAUGUGAUAGAGGCUAAGGUGUCCCGUCUUUCGAUGAGAUGGUGGAUUUCGCUUUGGUGGAAGUUGACUUUGACGAUCCGACUACGAACGUGCGAGGACGUCGCGCCUUAGCAAUCGCUAAACCAACUCCGAGAGGUUAUUGACCACGCCGGAGCACGAUCAACCUGACCACGAGGGUCUGUUUCCUGCGAGCAAACGAAGAACAAGCAAGAAACUAAGAUUGCAAUCUGGAUAUUGCGAAUAUAAGAUGAAAGCUUUAUUGAUCAAGGUGGGGUUCUGUGACGCCUUUGUCUGGUCGUUGAACACAAACGAAGUACGCGAAGUUGCAGCUAUGGCGAACUUUUAAUCUAAACAAAACCCAAAGUCUAAACGAUGCCCUAAGGGCUGUAUAUAUGGAGGAAGAGGGGGGAAUUUCGUGGCCCUUGGUGGAGGAGUCCGAAAUCAACCCUAUCUCUUGUUUCCCCACACAUACGGACUCUAAAAAUAGCCUAUACUUAUGUAUUUCGAAAUUACAUGGGCCUGGCCCAAUAAUAAGGUGACGCGGCACCUAAAAUAGCCUCGGGACGAAAUUUAUGAAGUGGCAUCUUGUAUAUUUCGUCCAAGGCUUCAUGCACCCAUUAUGGUGGCUUCAAAGUCCUGAAAUCAUCACUUGUAACUCCGUUCUUGUUCCCCUUGCGCAUGCCAUCAUCUCCAUGCUUGUUCUUGCUCCAAUGUUCAUCCUUCUCCAAGCUAGGCCCUUCAUUUGUAAGCAAAACAAAUGUAUCCAAUUUAGGCAGCAUCAUAUUCUCAUGAACAUUAGAAUUAUUACCAAGAAACGAAAGUACCUGGUAAUUUAGUUGGCGUGCACGAGCUCUAGUAAUUGCUCCAGUAUGUAUAGCAGCAGGGGCUGUGGGUGUCACAAUUGUAUUGAUGUCCUCAUCAGAUUGGGGCUUAUAAUGUUGCCUCCAAACGUAUUCACUUUUGGGUGAUGUCAACAAUAAUAGUUCAUGCUAACUUACAUCCAAUUGGAUAUAUAUAUCAGGAUCACCCCAACACAAAGUGCUUGCCAAAGGAUAAAAUGAAAAAGGGAAAGGUGAAGAUCACCUUGACUCUUGCAUAAAGUAAAAGACAUAAAGUAAAAGAUAGGCCCUUCGCAGAGGGAAGCAGAGGUUGUCAUGCACUUUUAGGGUUGGAUACACAAAAUCUUAAUGCGAAAGAACGUCACUUUAUAUUGCCCCUUGUAUAUGGACCUUUAUUAUGCAGUCCGUCACUUUUAUUGCUUCCAUAACAAGUUCGUACAAAUCUUAUUUUCUCCGCACUAAUAAGCCAUGCAUAUUUAGAGAGCAAUUUUUAUUGCUUGCACCGAUGACAACUUACUUGAAGGAUCUUACUCAAUCCAUAGGUAGGUAUGGUGGACUCUCAUGGCAAAACUGGGUUUAAGGAUAUUUGGAAGCACACGUAGUAUCUCUACUUGGUGCAAUGAAUUUUGGCUAGCAUGAGGGGGAAAGGCAAGCUCAACAUGUUUGAAUGAUCCAUGACAAUAUACUUUAACUGAGAUGUCGGAAAACAUAAACCAUUACGUUGUCUUCCUUGUCCAACAUCAACUCUUUAGCAUGUCAUACUUAAUGAGUGCUCCCAACUAUAAAAGAUGUCUAUAAUAGUAUAUUUAUAUAUGAAAUCUCUCUUCCUUCAAUAUUCUUUCAUGAAAUUAUCCAAAUGACCAAUACAAUGCUUGCUAACCUCCAAUAAAUUUACAACCUCUACUUCUUAGACGUGAAGUCAUUACUCCCCAUGGGAUAAGAAAAUGAGGCAUAUAUAAUUUCAGAUUCAUGACAGUCAACUCAUUCCACAAUUUACUCAUAGGAUAUAAGUGAAGCACACGAGUAAAUGACAAACUACUCCAAAAAGAUAUAAGCGAAGAUCAAUGAGUAGCUAAAUAAUUAUGUAGCUAUAUGAAGACUCUCUCCCAUUAAAGAAUUUCAGAUCUUGGUAUUGUAUUCAAACAGCAAGCAACGCAAAAUAAAAUGACAUUGCAAGGAUAGCACAACUCAUGUGAAGAAGCAAAAACUUAGGCUCAACCGAUACUAACCGAUAGUUGUUGAAGAAGAAAGGUGGGAUGCCUACCGGGGCAUCCCCAAGCUUAGAUGCUUGAGACUUCUUGAAAUAUUAUCUUGGGGUGCCUUGGGCAUCCCCAAGCUUGAACUUUUGUGUCUCCUUAAUUCCUCUUAUAUCAUGGUUUCUCUUCUUUUUAUCGAAAGCUUCAUUCACAACAAACUCAACAAGAACUCGUGAGAUAGGUUAGUAUAAACCAAUAUAAAACCUUAUAAUUUUCUACUGUAACAAAUCACUAAAAUUAUUAUUCAACAUUGCAUACUAAAUGCCUCUGCAUAUUUAAUACUCCUAUCCUCAAAUAGAAUCAUUAAACAAGCAAACAUAUGCAAACAAUGCAAACAUAACAACAAUCUGUCAAAAUAGUACAGUCUCUAAACAAUGGAAGAUUCAUCAUACUUCCCUAACUCCAAAAAUUAUGAAAUAAAAUCCCCACUGUAAUAAAUUUAUCAGAGCUCAUUAUGCAAAAAGUUUCAACAUUAUAUCAUUCUCUGACUUUUCUAGGGAACUUUUGCAACAGCGGUAAACUUUCUGCUUUCAAACAGCAACAUGCAUAUUAGCAAAAUAAGCAUGGCAAAGGCUAUCCUUGACUUUUUAUUGAAAAUAAAUAUGCAAAACAUUAUUCUAACUAACAGCAAACAAAAACUAACAAAAGGAAAUGAUGCUCCAAGCAAAACACAUAUCAUGUGGUGAAUAAAAAUAUAGCUCUAAGUAAAGUUACCGAUGAACGAAGACGAAAGAGGGGAUGCCUUCUGGGGCAUCCCCAAGCUUAGGCUUUGGCUAUUCUUGAAUAUUAUCUUGGGGUGCCUUGGGCACCCCCAAGCUUAGGCUCUUGCCACUCCUCAUUCCAUAGUCCAUCAAAUCCUUACCCAAAACUUGAAAACCCCACAACACAAAAGUCAACAGAAAACUCGUAAGCUCCAUAAUGAACUCAUUAUAAAUUCAUAUUGGUCUAAUAUAUACAGUAUUCCAACUUAUCUAUGGUUCAUACCCUCCGAUACUACUCAUAGAUUCAUCAAAAUAAGUAAACAACACAUAGAAAACAGAAUCUGUCAAAAACAGAACAGUCUGUAGUAAUCUGUAUCAAACAUAUACUUCUGGAACUUCAAAAAUCCUACCAAAUUAGGAAGUCCUAAGAAAUUUUUGUACCAAUCCAGAGCAAUAGGAAUCAGAUCAAGAUCACGUUUCUGUGAAUUAAAAAAAACUAAUUUACUGGGUGAAAAAGUUUCUGAUUUUCAGCAGGAUCAACACAACUAUCACCGUAAGCUAUCCUAAAGGUCUUACUUGGCACUUUAUUGAAAAUCUAUAAAACAUGAUUACUACAGUAGCAUAAUCAUGUGAACGCACAAAAACAGUAAGCGUAAAUAUUGGCUUGUCUCCCAACAAGCGCUUUUCUUUAAUGCCUUUUUAGCUAGGCAUGAUGAUGGCAAUGAUGCUCACAUAAAAGAUAAGAAUCGAAACAUAAUGGGAGCAUCAUGAAAGAUAUGACUAGCACAUUCAAGUCUAAACCACUUCCUAUGCAUAGAGAUUUUGUGAGAAAACAACUUAUGGGAACAAUAAUCAACUAGCAUAGGAAGGCAAAACAAGCAUAGCUUCAAGAUUUGAAGCACAUAGAGAGGAAACUUGAUAUUAUUGCAAUUUCUACAAGCAUAUAUUCCCCCCUCAUAAUAAUAUUCAGUAGCAUCAUGAAUGAAUUCAACAAUAUAACCAGCACCUAAAGCAUUCUUUUCAUGAUCUACAAGCAUAGAAUUUUUACUACUCUCCACAUAAGCAAAAUUCUUCUCAUUCGGAAUAGUGGAAGUAGCAUAAAAUACUUGAACACUAAAAAUGGUUUCCACAUUAAAAGAGUAAUGUUUAGAAAAGGGUAAUCAUAAUCAUGACAAGAUUUGUAAAUAUAAUCAUCACUACUUUUUAUAGCAUAAGUUUCAUCACAAUAAUCAUCAUAAGUAGCAACUUCGUUCUCAUCAUAAUCGAUUGAAACCUCUCCCAAGAUAGUGGAAUCACUAAAUAAAGUUGACACUCUUCCAAAUCCACUUUCAUAUUCAUCACAAUAAAAUUCAACAUCCUCCAAAAUAGUGGGAUCACUACUUCCUAAAGUUGACACUCCUCCAAAACCCACAUUCAUCCAUAUAAUCAUCAUAGGUAGGAGGCAAGCUAUCAUCAUAACAACUUUGCAUAUCAAAACUUGGGAUGCUAAAAAUAUCAUCUUCAUUAAACAUAGCAUCCCCAAGCUUGGGACAAACAUUAAUUCCAGCAAAUAUAUUCUCAAAUAUUUCAUCCUCAUCAAACAUAGCUUCCCCAAGCUUGGGCCCUUUCAUAUCAUAAGCAUAAUCACUCUCACCACUAAAAAUAUUGAUAGCACCAAUAGUGUAGCAAUUAUCAUCAUCACAAUGAGUAGUAGGAGCAACAUAAUUUGGGAGGGAUACCUUUCUACCUUUCUUGCUCCUUCUUUUCUUUUUCUUCUUCACAUUAUGUGUGGGUUCAACCUUCCUCUUUGAGCUCCUUAUUGAUGAGAUUGGUUGAAUAGAAAGCUCCUCCUUGUUACCUGAAUCAUCAUAAGAAAUAAAAGGAGGAGAUUGGGAAGUCUCUUCCCUUUCAUUAGUAUUCUCAUCAUCUUCUAUUUGCUUUCUUUUCUUUAUGUAAUUGGCAAUAUAAGGAUUUUCAAUGCAAUUCUCCACACAAAACACAUAAAUAUCCUCUAGAUCAAAAUCAAGAAAUCUAUCAAGAUCAAAUUUUGGAAUACCCUCAGUUAUACGUUUCAUUUCUUCAUACCCCAAAAGAAGACUAAGCUCUUUAUGAUGCCCAAGGGUAAUCAAGCUAUCACAAUUUUUGGACACGAUUCGAUCGUAAAACAAUUUGCAUUGGAGAUUUAAAUGACCAUGUUCAUUGCAAAGUUCACAAGGAGCGCAAAAAAUAUUGAAUCUUUUAGCACACUCAUCAAGACUUUCUUGCAAACCUUUAGUUUUUAAAUACUUAUGGCUCUUGCAAUAUCUAUUUUCUCUAUUUGGUGUGUCCAUGCAAAUCCAAUCUACUACAUAAAAAUCAACAUGCUUAUAGGAGACAUUUUCAUCAUAACUAGUGCAAUCAUCAUUAGUACUAUGGAUAUUCAAAGAGUUCAUACUAACAACAUUGCAAUCAUGCUCAUCAUUCAAAGAUUUAGUACCAAGCAUUUUAAUGCAUUCUUCUUCUAGCACUUGAGCACAAUUUUCCUUUCCAUCAAACUCACGAAAGAUAUUAAAAAGACGAAGCGUACGAGAGAAACUCAAAUCCAUUUUUUUGUAGAUUUCUUUUAUAAACUAAACCAGUGAUAAAACAAGAAACAAAAAGAUUCGAUUGCAAGAUCUAAAGAUAUACCUUCAAGCACUCACCUCCCCGGCAACGGUGCCAGAAAAGAGCUUGAUGUCUACUACACAACCUUCUUCUUGUAGACGUUGUUGGGCCUGCAAGUGCACAGGUUUGUAGGACAGUAGCAAAUUUCCCUUAAGUGGAUGACCUAAGGUUUAUCAAUCCGUGGGAGGCGUAGGAUGAAGAUGGUCUCUCUCAAACGACCCUGCAACCAAAUAACAAAGAGUCUCUUGUGUCCCCAACACACCCAAUACAAUGGUAAAUUGUAUAGGUGCACUAGUUCGGCGAAGAGAUGGUGAUACAAGUGCAAUACGGAUAGUAGAUAAAGGUAUUUGUAAUCUGAAAAUAUAAAAAUAGCAAGGUAACUAAUGAUAAAAGUGAGCGUAAACGAUAUUGCAAUGAUAGGAAACAAGGCCUAGGGUUCAUACUUUCACUAGUGCAAGUUCUGUCAACAAUAAUAACAUAGAUAGAUCAUAUAACAAUCCCUCAACAUGCAACAAAGAGUCACUCCAAAGCCACUAAUAGCGGAGAAAAAACGUAGAGAUUAUGGUAGGGUAUGAAACCACCUCAAAGUUAUUCUUUCGGAUCGAUCUAUGAAAGAGUUCGUACUAGAAUAACACCUUAAGACACAAAUCAACCAAAACCAUAAUGUCACCUAGAUACUCCAUUGUCACUUCAAGUAUCCGUGGGCAUGAUUAUACGAUAUGCAUCACACAAUCUCAGAUUUAUCCAACCAACACAAAGUACUUCAAAGAGUGCCCCAAAGUUUCUAUCGGAGAGUCAAGAACGUGUGCCAACCCCUAUGCAUAGGUUCAUGGGCGGAACCAGCAAGUUGGCCACCAAAACAUACAUCAAGAGGAACAUGAUAUCCCAUUGUCACCACAGAUAAGCACGGCAAGACAUACGUCAAGUGUUCUCAUAAAAGACUCAAUCCGAUAAGAUAACUUCAAAGGGGAAACUCAAUUCCUCACAAGAGAGUAGAGGGGGAGAAACAUCAUAAGAUCCAACUACAAUAGCAAAGCUCGGGAUACAUCAAGAUCAUGCCAUAGAGGGAACACGAGAGAGAGAGAGAGAGAUCAAACACAUAGCUACUGGUACAUACCCUCAGCCCCGAGGGUGAACUACUCCCUCCUCGUCAUGAAGAGCGCUGAGAUGAUGAAGAUGGCCACCUGUGAUGGAUUCCCCCUCCGGCAGGGUGCCGGAACGGGCUCCCGAGAGGUUUUUGGUGGCUACAGAGGCUUGCGGCGGCGGAACUCCUGAUCUAUCUUUUUUUAUGGUUUUAGGGUACGUAGGCAUAUAUAGGCGAAAGAAGUCGACCGAGAGGUGCUCGAGGGGCCCACGAGACAGGGGGCGCGCCCUACAGGGGGGGGGGCUCCUAUCUCGUGGCUGCCUCGAGGAUCUUCUAACGUGGACUCCAAGUCUCCAGGAUCAUAUUCUUCCAAAAAUCACGUUGCCAAAGGUUUCAUUCCGUUUGGACUCCGUUUGAUAUUCCUUUUCUUCGAAAUACUGAAACAGGCAAUAAAACAGCAAUAUGGGCUGGGCCACCGGUUAAUUGGUUAGUCCCAAAAGUAAUAUAAAAGUGUAUAAUAAAGCCCAUAAUUACUCAAAACACAUAGUAAUAUAGCAUGAAUGCUUCAUAAAUUAUAGAUACGUUGGAGACGUAUCAACCAUCUCGCCAGAUUUCCGCGUGCAUCCCCACAAAAAAUUCAGGCGCAGCCCGCCUUGAGGUAGGGCCUCAUGAGUCCCGCGCUCACUCAUGGGUGCCCAUAUAGACCUCCUCUAGUCCUGCUGUGCAAGCCACGUGCCAGGACGGGGCUGCACAUGCCCUGGAGUCUCCCCUCAGAGGGAGCUCCCACCCACGCACCAGUAGAAGCCCCAUGCUCCGUGCUGGCGGACGACACGGUCGAGGAGCAGCUAUGCCCAUGCAUGAGUGGAAGCGUCCUCCUCCGGCUGAUGAUAAAUAACUAGGGCCACCCUAGCAGUGCUACCUCUUGAGCUUGCGUUGGUUUUCCCUUGAAGAGGAAAGGGUGAUGCAGCAAAGUAGCGUAAGUAUUUCCCUCAGUUUUGAGAACCAAGGUAUCAAUCCAGUAGGAGACAAUGCACAAGUCACCGAAUACCUGCACAACCAAUCAACAACUUGCACCCAACGCUAUAAAGGGGUUGUCAAUCCCUUCACAGUCAGAUGCAAAAGUGAGAUCUAAUAGAGAUAGAUAAAUGGUAAAGUAAAUAUUUUUGGUAUUUUUGGUUUAUAUAUCGGAAACUAGUAAGAUGUAAACAAGAUUAAAUAAUGUGGAAAAGGGAUUCAAUAUAAUGGAAAAGAGACUCGAGGGCCAUAGAUUUCACUAGUGGCUUCUCUCAAGAUAGCAAAUAUUACGGUGGGUGAACAAAUUACUGCCGAGCAAUUGAUAGAAAAGCGAAUAGUUAUGAUGAUAUCUAAGGCAAUGAUCAUGAACAUAGGCAUCACGUCUGUGUCAAGUAGACUGACUCCUGCCUGCAUCUACUACUAUUACUUCACAAGUUGUCACGUCCCCAGUUCAGGCCUUGCUUGUCUCUGCAUAAGCAUCCAUGCAUCAUGUUUAAAUUUAAAGAAACUUGAAAUGGGGAUUGUUUAAACCCUAGCACCAAAUGAAUCCAACUAGGGUCAAAAUAAAAUCUUUUUCGUUGAACUCAAAAAGCCCUCUAAAAAUGUUCAACAUUUCUGGUUUGAGGUGGAAGCAUCUACCGGAAACGGUUUAUAUUUUUGCAGGACAUAUUGGGCUCUGAAUUAAAUCAUACUCUAUUUGCAUUUGGGCAUUUAAAUGCUAUACAAUAUUUUAAAUGCUCAAAUAAUCAUAAACUAAAAUGUUUACAAUUGGUUAUAUUCCAAACAGUGGCAUUGAACCGUUUCAUGAGUUUUGGUAAUGCCCUGACAUUUUUAAUAAAGCCCUAAAGACUACAGAAUAAUAGAAAAACAGAAAAAAUAAAAGAGAGAGAGAGAGAGAUUUUUACCUGGGCCACUUACCUUGGCGCAGCCCACCUGGCAGGCCCAGCACUGUGCUGGCCCAUGCCAGGCAGCUGCUUCCUCUCGCCAGGCAGGCAAAGAGGUGAGCGCCGGCGUGCCCGAGCUCGCCACGCCGUCACCUGCUUGCCGACGAAGCCCCUGGACGCAUGGACGACUCCCGCGUGCCGUCCCGAUUCCGCUGACCGCUUCGCUCACUCUCCCCCACGGCCCUCUCUCCUCUGCUCCCUCUCUCUCGCCCGGACCAAACGCGUCCGUCGCCACCGACGAGCAUCGCCGUGGCCACAACCACUGCCUCGCCUCGUCGUUGCGCCCAGAGGCUCCGCCUCGACCCCCUCUUCCUCUCCACCGAGCCACGAGGUCCCGGACGCGCUGCAACCCCGACACCACCGUCGUUUCCCCCCUCGGGCUCCGACCACCACCGCCGUCGAUUCGCUGCAUGCAGGACGCCCCUGAGCCCGCCGAGCUUCUCUCCGACCUCGCAGUGAGCUCCUGAUCCGAGCCCCUCUCUUUCCCCUCGCGUUUGCGAGCUCUAGGCCAUAGCUCCAUCGCGGCCGAACUCCGGCCGCCGCUGACCUUGUCGCCGCUGCCGCUACAGACGCUGCAGCUUGCGCCCGAGCGCGUCAUCGUCCUCACCUCGCUCCUAGGAGCCGAACGCACCUAGUAGCUCGUCCGUAGCCGCACCGUAGCCCCUUAGCCGCUCGAGGCCGAGCUCCGGCCGCCGCCUCGCUCGCCGCAGUUGCUGCUACCGGCCACCCCAGCCACAGCUGCAGCCACCGCUGGACGCGCCGCGUAGCAACCGUUCCAACAAGACCUGCCGCGCGUCCUCCCGACGCCGAAAUUGGCCGGACGGGCAUCGCCGCCGCGCUCCGGUUAUCGCCGGAGUUAAUCCGGUGACAAGGUAGGAUAGUUAGUGCUAAAGACCCCUCUAAUCAACCCCUUAAGCCACUGCCACGUGGGCCCAUGCGCCUGUUUAGUUUAGAUUAAAUUUCCUGUUUAGUUUAGAUUAACCCAGUGGGACCCACGCUCAGCCUUGACCGCGCUGACAUGGCUGUUGACUGGCCCCACAUGUCAUGUUGACUUCGCUGACGUGGGCGUUGACCGGACCCACCUGUCAGUGUCACUAACUAGCCCCAGUCACUGACCAGUGGACCCCACUGGUCAGGUUUGACCUGGUCGACGCCUGUUGACCGCUGACGUCACCCUGACGUAGUGCUGACGCAUUAAUUCAAUUACUGGAAUUGUUCUUAUACAGGAAAUUCCAGAAAAUAGCACAAACUUCUAAAAUUCAUAGGAAAUCAACCGUAACUCCAAAUUAAAUAAGUUAUAUAUGAAAAAUGAUCAGAAAAAUCCAAUCUAUCCAUCUACACUGGUUUCAUGCAUGUUAGAACACAUUAACCUUGCUGUUUAGGUGAAAUAAGUUAAUGCACUAUUAUGACCUCUUAAAAUGGGUUUGCAUUUGAAUCUUUGGUUCAAAUGGACUCAUCUCAAUCUGUUCUAGCUUGCAUUAACCCAAAACACAUUCAUAUUGCCAUGUCAUAGCAUGCAUCAUAUUGUGCAUUGCAUUGAUCGUGUUUCUUCUCUGUUUGCCGGUGUUGUUCCCCCUCGGUAGAUGUUGUACCGACAUUGUGAUCAUUGACACUGAUGAAGUCUCAAUGCUAUCUUUAGAAGUGCCAGGCAAGCAAAACCCCCUUGUUCAUUCCGAUACAAUCCUACUCUCUCGCUCCUGCUCUCUUUUAUUGCAUUAGGACAACAACGAUUCAUUUGUUAAUUGCUGUGGUAGCUGAACCCCUUUAUCCUUUGCAUGACCUGUCAUUGCCACAGUAAAUAGAUGAAACCCACUAGCAUGAGUAGGAGUUGUUUGAGCCCUGUUGUGCCUACUCAUUCAUGCUUGUUUGUCAUGCCUGCUACUGCUUAGAGUUGAGUCAGGUCUGAUUCAUCGGGGAUGAAUCAGAGGUGUGUGAACAUGUCCUACUGUGUGUGAGCUAAGUGGUGAACACAAUUUGGUAAAGGUAGCGGUGAGAGGCCAUGUAGGAGUACAUGGUGGGUUGUCUCAUUGAAGCCGUCCUUAGGAACUGAGUUCUGUGUUUGUGAUCCAUGAUUCAGCUACUACCAUGCAUUGGGCCCUGAAAUAUGACCCCGCUCGACUUCUUAUUCACCCUUGUCCUCUGUCCAGGAGUUGCAAGUAGUUUCUGGUGUUUGUAGUAUGCUGGAGGCUGUGCGCAGCGCUGACCGGAGGGGUGGGCUGUGAUGCGGUAGGCACGUGGCCGGGUAUACCGGGAGCCCGUUUGGUGUCACGGAACCCUAUUCACAUCGUUUGGGGCUGUGAGAAAAACCUCGGCCGGAUCUCCUCACGGAUGGAACCUGAAUAGGCGAUAAACCUGCACUAGAGACUUGAGUGUUUAGGUAGGUCGUGGUCUACACCCACGUCGGCUUUCGCUUGAAGUCUGCCGAGCACAUGUCGUGUGCAGACGCUAAGUGGUGGAAACAUGUAUGAAGAAGUACACCCCUACAGGGUUAACAUCAUCUAUUCGAAUAGCCGUGUCCGCGGUAAAGGACUUCUGGGUUGCCUAUAACAGUUCAUAGACAAGUGAAAGUGGAUACUUUAAAAUGCGCAAGAUAAGCGUGAGUGCUAUGGAUGGCGUUCUCGUAGGGAGACGGGAGUGGAUCCAUAGUGGUGUAUUGGUUGGUUAAUGUGUGGACUCGUGUGCGCCACCUCAGAAGAGUUACUUGCAGUCGUAGUUCAGGAUAGCCACCGAGUCAAAGCUGGCUUGCUGCAGUUAGACCCCACCAUCCCCUUUGUUGAUAAUGAUGCAUAUGUAGCUAGAUCUGAUGUAAUUCUUGCUGGGUACAUUUGUACUCACGUUUGCCUAUUUUAUGUUUUUGCAGAGAGACUUCAGUCUCGCUAGUAGUUCCGCGUGGACUUCGACGUUUAGCUUGUUACCUCAGCUACGAUCUUGUGCCCUCGGCAUGAUCUGGUAGAUAGUCAGGCUUUUCAGCCUUUUUCAUUUGUAGUCGUCUGUACUCAAACAUGUUAAGCUUCCGCUUGUGCUUUGAAUUGUAUGCUCUGAAUGCUGGACCGAGAGACCCAUGUUUGUAAUAUCUCGCUCCUUGGAGCCUAUUGAAUAAAAUAAUUGAGUUGUAGGGUCAUGUUGUGAUGCCAUGUUGUAUUUGCACAUAUCGAGCAUAUUGUGUGUAUGUUAUUGAAAUGCUUGGUAUGUGUGGGAUCUGAUUCUUAGUAGCCUCUCUUACCGGGAAAUGUCUCCUAGUGUUUCCACUGAGCCUUGGUAGCUUGCUACUGCUCCGGAACACUCAGGCUGGCCGGCAUGUGUCCUUCUUCGUUCCUGUGUCUGUCCCUUCGGGGAAAUGUCACGUGAUGAAUACCAGAGUCCUGUUAGCCCGCUACAGCCCGGUUCACCAGAGUCCUGCUAGCCCAGUGCUACAGCCCGGAUUCACUCGCUGAUGACCGACACGUUCGAUGCUGGCUCAUGGAUGCCUGUCCCUGUAAGUCUGUGCCACUUUGGGUUUACGACUAGCCAUGUCAGCCCGGGCUCCUUAUCAUAUGGAUGCUAGCGACACUAUCAUAUACGUGUGCCAAAAGGCGUAAACGGUCCCGGGCAAAGGUAAGGCGACACCCGUGGGAAUACCGUGCGUGAGGCCGCAAAGUGAUAUGAGGUGUUACAUGCUAGAUCGAUGUGGCAUUGAGUCAGGGUCCUGACAGCUUUGUAUCAGAGCCUGACUGCCUGUAGGAUUACCAAGCCAAACUGGUCGAAGUUGUGUCUAGAAAUGCUUUAGUUAUGUAAGGGAAUUGAUUGUGGGAUGGAACGUAAGGCUCUUUUUACUCCUUAUACCUCAUGGCCUUCUGAUCUGAGUCAACCUCUUCUCUUCUACGGGGAUUAAGAACUAGGCCUUCUCAUCUAUCUAUCAGGAUGACGUGUUACUAAUCCAUAGACUUAUAGGAUUGUUGGUUUCAAGCCCCAGUUCAGUUCCUACUACUUCCGUGUGUUGUUAGUUGAUCUCAGAACCUUGUUAUUGUGAUGUUGAGUGGUCAUGCCACUAUUUUGCAGGAUGUCUUAAAUCAUUUUGAGCAUUUACAGUCGUUAUGCUGUCCGAGUCAUCCCAGGUUUCUAAACAAUCUGAUGCACUUGCAAAUCCUUUUCCUCUGGUUUUUAAGUUCCUUUGGGCCAGGUUAAUCACACUAAUUGCUGAGCUGAGGUAUUCUAUUGCCUCGACAUAUAUGUUGGAAUUAUUAUUAUGACCCUAGGUGUCCUAGGGGAUCAUCUAGUAAUCUAGCCAUGAUUUGUGCCCCAGUGUGAUGAUUCUGGCCAUCAUUCUCGAAAGCAUCCCGUGAUGCCACUUAGUAUGUAGGUAUUCUACUUCUGGGUUUGAACCCAAGAUUCACCCUACUUACUUCAUGUUGAUAGUGUUUGCUAGUUCCUUUAGGUUAUUAGUAACCUUUGCAUUAGUCCUCGAGGUCCGUGGUAUUUCCUUCUUCCAAAUACUAUGAACCACUUAUGGCAGAAGUUUGUUGGAUCAAAAGAUCACAACAGGAGUGCUCUUGAUGAGUUCUCCAUUCUAUAUUGUGAAUCUGCCAGUUCUACCUUCUGCAUGGGUUAUCCGGAAGAAAUAUGUUGAACUCAUUCGACAUUCUAAUCCAUGCAUCCACAACUCAGAAAGAUAUAUGUUCCUUUGAGUUGUCCCUCUUCAGUUGUAUUCCGAUCUUCGUCUAUCAAUUGAUAGUCAGGAGUAAUUGUGCAUUCGUCUUAUCGAUGCUUAUUAUUCUUGUGGUCCAUCAAGCCAUUCUAUUCUGGAAUGACUAGGAGAAACAAACUCCAGUACCUUGUCCAUUUCCAGGAUUGGGUCAAAGCAGUCGUACUCCGCAGAUCAAAUUGCUAAUCUAGCUUUUGCUCUAUUCUACCUUGGAGUAUUACCAUCUUUAUAUCAAGAAUGUCAUGGGAAUUGCACACCCUCCUAUGAAUUCUUGAUACAGUGAUACUUCUCGCCCUCAUUAGUCAUUUCUCGGCUCCCAUGUUGUUGCAACUGGAAUGUCGACAGGUGAACUUUGAUGUGUGAGAUCAAUACUCAGAGCAACUCGUUGCUUGGUAGUAAAUGGACAAUAUUCUCAUUCUUAGCGUGUUGGUUAUUGAAUCAUCAUUCUAAGAUAGAUUGUGCUACCUAGUCCUUAUUUCUGGUGCACUCUUCGAUCAAUGAGUCAGGAUUAUUCAAUCCUUGCUUAUUUGAUCAUAUCGUCUUGCCUUAAAAAGCAAGAUUGUUCCCGAUCUUAGUAACAUAUCGGUGGUUCGUGAUUUUCCGUAUAUCUUCUCGGAAGUAGAACCAGGUUGUCACCUGACCGCUAUGUUGAGUUCGUGGUCAAGUAGGUUUCUUAUAAACCACCCCUUCUCCAAGAAUCUGUGUUGGGUACCCUGAGCUAGUGGGUUAAGCUAAACAACAACUUGGAGAGUUGGAAGAUAAAAGCUUUCCUGGCUUAGUUCAUUUUAAGGGAUAUCUUUGUGUGUGUGUUGAAGAAAGAUAAUAUCUUCAUUGAUUGAUCCUCAUGAUCAGUUGGUGGACCUUUUGUCCUGCCAAGACCUUGAUUUGAGUAUGGGCUAUCCUCAAAUCAAGUCAGAACCAAUGAUGUUCGUAAUGUUGUCUUACUCGUGAAUUUUCCUCGAGCAUACACCAUUAAAUCUUUUGGGUCUGACCAAUACUAGAACCUUGUUCACAUAGUUAUGGAAUUCCAUCUCCAUGGGAAUCUGGAUGAAUUGUUGUUGAGCCCAUCGACAACAUCCUUGUCUUCUCCAUAGUUUUGUUGAACAUUAAGCUAGUGUUGGAAACUUUUAAAGCAUUUGUUCAUGCUAGCUCAUGAAGCAUAUGUUCAGAUGUAAGAAGUGACUUCCUCUAGUUCAUGUGCAUUUAAUGCAAGUUGCCGCCGUGGAUUCGAGAAAGUCAAUGUUGCUUCCUUUGGAAUCAUCCCAAAUCGGUCAUGCAUACGUGCAAAGUAUUUUGUGGUUCGGAGACUUGCAACCUUCAUUCUAUAUGUAUUCCUAGCGCACCAAGCCACUGAUUGAUUUGUUCAAGGAGAAGAAGUCUCUUCUUAAGAGCAAGACUUAUGCAAGGACUUCGAUAUCCUCGAUGAUGGUUCCCCCUCUGAACUCGGUAGUGUUUAGUUAUAAGACUACUACUUGGUCAUGCUUGCCUGAGGCAGCGUGUUCGCAUGUUUGUAGCAGAACCGGCUCGUGUUUUGGAGCUUGCUAUCGUAGUUCAUUCCCCGAGAAUCUCGCAACGUCAUCUCGUCGAUUUGUGUUGCAAACUUUCAUUUUUCUUUCUAGACUUGAUGGGUCUGGACUAUUCUAACACCAGCCAGAUCUAAAUCUUAGGCAGAUAUGAUGGUUGGAACGUUUCCUAAGAACUAUAAUAUUGGUCUCUCUGUAACCGGUAAAGUGGAUGUCGUGGCCAACACACCCAACCGGAAGACCUGUUAUUGUAGUAUCUUGAUUGAGAAAGUUGGCCACCUCCCCCUAAGGACUUCGUAGGAUUUACCCCCUAGUUGUGCCUUAUGGAUUUUUGUGUUUCCGAAGUCCGACCUUUUACUUGAUGUUCUAGAUACUAAACCAUUUCAAUGAAUGGGUUAUGCUAGCACAUCAAGGAGAGCAUUAGAAGCGGAGUGCUAAAUGCCUCUCGGUCAAUCAUCCAGAUUUUGUUCCCUUGGCCCCGCCAAGGUGAAAUCUGAGAAGGUGUUAUCUUCCUUUGCAUCUGCAUCUUCCACCGGUAUUCGUCAUGGUAGUAUGUUGUGUUGCCAGGAUCCUUGACACGGAUAUUGGUAAAACCUUGAUGAUUAUGGAAAUGCUCAAUCUCUUGAAAGCAUGCACAAGCAUUAGGUGCUAUCAUAGUUACUAACCGAGAUUGUUCCCAGUUUUCCUCGGUUAUGCUAUAACUUUUCAAACAGUGGACUCACUCUCUACUGUUGAGCUUCUCCCCAGUUACUAAAAUCAUCCCUUGUGUUGUUUUCAACAAGGUAAUCCACAUCAUCCAUUCUAAUCCGGUUAUGCAUUCUAUCGAACCCCUCCAAACGUUCGCUCAAGAAUUGCCUUAGGUUGGUAUAAAGAGUUUCAAUGAUCGUUGAAUCAAAGGUAAUUCUUUUUGCCACUUAAGGGGGAUAUAUUCUAUGAGUCACCUCCUCUAAGAUGUCUCGUUAUGGUAUCAAGGCAAUUCAACUCCUCGCUACAUUGACAACCGUUCAACACCCUCUUAAAGGUGGAAUUGUAGUCUACCUGGUAAACCUCCGUCAUCUGUUCCACUCCAUUCCUCUAGAGGUGUGCUUCGUCUCUUAGCUCGAGAGAUGUUGCUAUGUCUCAUUCCGUGAGUUAAUCCUGAGUUGUUCGACCUUCGAGAAGAUCGAUCCUUCUAGAGUUUUCUUUCUCCUCUCGUUGUCAUGUCGGUUGGAGUUCUCGGAGCAAGACAUCAAGAUAAUGAUGGUGAUCGAAUCAACGUUCAUUUGAAGUGCAACCUGGAUCAUGAAGAUUGUGUUAGUUUGCGCUCCCCUUUCAUCUUACCCUACGCUUGAAUCUCGGGACGAGAUUCUUGUUUAGUGGGGGUGAGUUGUCACGUCCCAAGUUCAGGCCUUGCUUGUCUCUGCAUAAGCAUCCAUGCAUCAUGUUUAAAUUUAAAGAAACUUGAAAUGGGGAUUGUUUAAACCCUAGCACCAAAUGAAUCCAACUAGGGUCAAAAUAAAAUCUUUUUCAUUGAACUCAAAAUGCCCUCUAAAAAUGUUCAACAUUUCUGGUUUGAGGUGGAAGCAUCUACCAGAAAUGGUUUAUAUUUUUGCAGGACAUAUUGGGCUCUGAAUUAAAUCAUACUCUAUUUGCAUUUGGGCAUUUAAAUGCUAUACAAUAUUUUAAAUGCUCAAAUAAUCAUAAACUAAAAUGUUUAUUGUUGCUUAUAUUCCAAAUAGUGGCAUUGAACAGUUUCAUGAUUUUUGGUAAUGCCCUGACAUUUUUAAUAAAGCCCUAAAGACUACAGAAUAAUAGAAAAACAGAAACAAUAAAAGCGAGAGAGAGAGAGAUUUUUACCUGGGCCACUUACCUGGCCGCAGCCCACCUGGCAGGCCCAGCACUGUGCUGGCCCAUGCCAGGCAGCUGCUUCCUCUCGCCAGGCAGGCAGAGAGGCGAGCACCGGCGUGCCCGAGCUCGCCACGCCGUCACCUGCUUGCCGACGAAGCCCCUGGACGCAUGGACGACUCCCGCGUGCCGUCCCGAUUCCGCUGACCGCUUCGCUCACUCUCCCCCACGGCCCUCUCUCCUCUGCUCCCUCUCUCUCGCCCAGACCAAACGCGUCCGUCGCCACCGACGAGCAUCGCCGUGGCCACAACCACUGCCUACCCUCGUCGUUGCGCCCAUAGGCUCCGCCUCAACCCCCUCUUCCUCUCCACCGAGCCACGAGGUCCCGGACGCGCUGCAACCCCAACACCACCGUCGUUUCCCCCCUCGGGCUCCAACCACCACCGACGUCGAUUCGCCGCACGCAGGACGCCCCCGAGCCCGCCGAGCUUCUCUCCGACCUCGCAGUGAGCUCCUGAUCCGAACCCCUCUCUUUCCCCUCGCGUUUGUGAGAUCUAGGCCAUAGCUCCGUCGCGGCCGAACUCCGGCCGCCGCUGACCUUGUCGCCGCUACCGCUACGGACGCUGCAACUUGCGCCCGAGCGCGUCAUCGUCCUCACCUCGCUCCUAGGAGCCGAACGCACCUAGUAGCUCGUCCGUAGCCGCACCGCAGCCCCCUAGCCGCUCAAGGCCGAGCUCCGGCCGCCGCCUCACUCGCCGCAGUUGCCGCUACCGGCCACCCCAGCCACAGCUGCAGCCACCGCUUGACGCGCCGCGUCGCGGCCGUUCCAACAAGACCUGCCACGCGUCCUCCUGACGCCAGAAUUGGCCGGACGGGCAUCGCCGCCGCGCUCUGGUUAUCGCCGCCGCGCUCCGGUUAUCGCUGGAGUUAAUCCGGUGACAAGGUAGGUUAGUUAGUGCAAAUGACCCCUCUAAUCAACCCCUUAAGCCACUGCCACGUGGGCCCAUGCGCCUGUUUAGUUUAGAUUAAUUUUCCUGUUUAGUUUAGAUUAACCCAGUGGGACCCAAGCGUCAGCCUUGACCGUGCUGACAUGGCUGUUGACUGGCCCCACAUGUCAUGUUGACUUCGCUGACGUGGGCGUUGACCGGACCCACCUGUCAGUGUCACUAACUAGCCCCAGUCACUGACCAGUGGACCCCACUAGUCAGGUUUGACCUAGUCGACGCCUGUUGACCGCUGACGUCACCCUGACGCAGUGCUGACGCAUUAAUUCAAUUACUGGAAUUGUUCUUAUACAGGAAAUUCCAAAAAAUAGCACAAACUUCUAAAAUUCAGAGGAAAUCAAUCGUAACUCCAAAUUAAAUAAGUUAUAUAUGAAAAAUGAUCAGAAAAAUCCAUUCUAUCCAUCUGCACUGGUUUCAUGCAUGUUAGAACACAUUAACCUUGCUGUUUAGGUGAAACAAGUUAAUGCACUAUUAUGACCUCUUAAAAUGGGUUUGCAUUUGAAUCUUUGGUUCAAAUGGACUUGAUAGAGGCAAAGGUGUCCCGUCUUUCGAUGAGAUGAUGGAUAUCGCUUUGGUGGAAGUCGACUUUGACGAUCCGACUACGAACGUGCGAGGACGUCGCGCCUUAGCAAUCGCUAAACCAACUCCGAGAGGUUAUUGACCACGCCGGAGCACGAUCAACCUGACCACGAGGGUCUGUUUCCUGCGAGCAAACGAAGAACAAGCAAGAAACUGAGAUUGCAAUCUGGAUAUUGCGAAUAUAAGAUGAAAGCUUUAUUGAUCAAGGUGGGGUUCUGUGACGCCUUCGUCUGGUCGUUGAACACAAACGAAGUACGCGAAGUUGCAGCUAUGGCGAACUUUUAAUCUAAACAAAACCCAAAGUCUAAACGAUGCCCUAAGGGCUGUAUAUAUNNNNNNNNNNNNNNNNNNNNNNNNNNNNNNNNNNNNNNNNNNNNNNNNNNNNNNNNNNNNNNNNNNNNNNNNNNNNNNNNNNNNNNNNNNNNNNNNNNNNNNNNNNNNNNNNNNNNNNNNNNNNNNNNNNNNNNNNNNNNNNNNNNNNNNNNNNNNNNNNNNNNNNNNNNNNNNNNNNNNNNNNNNNNNNNNNNNNNNNNNNNNNNNNNNNNNNNNNNNNNNNNNNNNNNNNNNNNNNNNNNNNNNNNNNNNNNNNNNNNNNNNNNNNNNNNNNNNNNNNNNNNNNNNNNNNNNNNNNNNNNNNNNNNNNNNNNNNNNNNNNNNNNNNNNNNNNNNNNNNNNNNNNNNNNNNNNNNNNNNNNNNNNNNNNNNNNNNNNNNNNNNNNNNNNNNNNNNNNNNNNNNNNNNNNNNNNNNNNNNNNNNNNNNNNNNNNNNNNNNNNNNNNNNNNNNNNNNNNNNNNNNNNNNNNNNNNNNNNNNNNNNNNNNNNNNNNNNNNNNNNNNNNNNNNNNNNNNNNNNNNNNNNNNNNNNNNNNNNNNNNNNNNNNNNNNNNNNNNNNNNNNNNNNNNNNNNNNNNNNNNNNNNNNNNNNNNNNNNNNNNNNNNNNNNNNNNNNNNNNNNNNNNNNNNNNNNNNNNNNNNNNNNNNNNNNNNNNNNNNNNNNNNNNNNNNNNNNNNNNNNNNNNGAACGUGCGAGGACGUCGCGCCUUAGCAAUCGCUAAACCAACUCCGAGAGGUUAUUGACCACGCCGGAGCACGAUCAACCUGACUACGAGGGUCUGUUUCCUGCGAGCAAACGAAGAACAAGCAAGAAACUAAGAUUGCAAUCUGGAUAUUGCGAAUAUAAGAUGAAAGCUUUAUUGAUCAAGGUGGGGUUCUGUGACGCCUUUGUCUGGUCGAUGAACACAAACGAAGUACGCGAAGUUGCAGCUAUGGUGAACUUUUAAUCUAAACAAAACCCAAAGUCUAAACGAUGCCCUAAGGGCUGUAUAUAUGGAGGAAGAGGGGGGAAUUUCGUGGCCCUUGGUGGAGGGGUCCGAAAUCAACCCUAUCUCUUGUUUCCCCACACAUACGGACUCUAGAAAUAGCCUACUUAUGUAUUUCGAAAUUACAUGGGCCUGGCCCAAUAAUAAGGUGACGCAGCACCUAAAAUAGCCUCAGGACGAAAUUUAUGAAGUGGCAUCUUGUAUAUUUCGUCCAAGGCUUCAUGCACCCAUUAUGGUGGCUUCAAAGUCCUGAUAUCACCACUUGUAACUCCGUUCUUGUUCCCCUUGCGCAUGCCAUCAUCUCCAUGCUUGUUCUUGCUCCAAUGUUCAUCCUUCUCCAAGCUAGGCCCUUCAUUUGUAAGCAACACAAAUGUAUCCAAUUUAGGCAGCAUCAUAUUCUCAUGAACAUUAGAAUCAUUACCAAGAAACGAAAGUACCUGGUAAUUUAGUUGGCGUGCACGAGCUCUAGUAAUUGGUCCAGUAUGUAUAGCAGCAGGGGCUGUGGGUGUAACAAUUGUAUUGAUGUCCUCAUCAUCCUCCCCUUUUUGAAAUGAAGUCGUCCUCGACGGAAGUUCAUCUUCCUCACCCAAAUAAGGCUUCAAAUCGGCAAUGUUAAAAGUGGGACUAACCCCAAAAUCUGCAGGCAGCUCAAGUUUAUAUGCAUUAUCAUUUAUUUUCUCUAACACCUUAAAGGGACCAUCAGCACGUGGCAUUAGCUUUGAUUUGCGCAAAUCAGGAAAUCUAUCCUUACGCAAAUGUAACCAAACAAGAUCUCCAGGUGCAAACACAACAUGUUUUCUACCCUUAUCUCCACCAAGUUUAUAUUUGGCAUUCAUACGCUCAAUGUUUUCCUUAGUUAACUCAUGCAUUUUUAAAAUCAAUUCAGCACGUUGUUUAGCAUCAAAAUUAACCUUCUCCGAAGAUGGAAGAGGCAACAAAUCAAUAGGUGCACGAGGUAGGAAACCAUACACAACUUCAAAAGGGCACAUCUUAGUAGUAGAAUGCAAUGAACGAUUAUAAGCAAAUUCAAUAUGAGCAAGCAUUCCUCCCACAUUUUCCUAUUACUCUUCAAAACAGCCCUAAGCAUAGUAGACAAUGUUCUAUUGACUACUUCAGUUUGGCCAUUAGUUUGGGGGUGACAAGUAGUACUAAAAAGCAGUUUAGUCCCCAACUUAGCCCAUAAACAUCUCCAUAAGUGGCUAAGAAAUUUAGUAUCACGAUCUGAAACAAUAGUAUUUGGCACACCAUGCAAGCGAAUAAUUUCACGAAAGAACAAAUCAGCAACAUUAACAGCAUCAUCGCUUUUAUGACAUGGUAUAAAGUGUGCCAUUUUCGAGAAUCUAUCCACGACAACAAAUAUGCUAUCCCUCCCCUUCUUUGUUCGAGGUAAACCUAAAACAAAGUCCAUAGAUAUAUCCUCCCAAGGAACACUAAGUACAGGCAAAGGCAUAUAUAAACCAUGAGGAUUGAGUCGUGACUUAGCUUUUUGACAUGUAGUGCAUCGAGCAAUAAAACGCUCAACAUCCCGUCUCAUCUUUGGCCAAAAGAAAUGUGUAGCAAGUACAUCCUCCGUCUUCUUCACGCCAAAGUGUCCCAUUAAUCCUCCUCCAUGCGCCUCCUGCAACAACAAAAGACGAACGGAGCUAACUGGAAUGCAUAGCUUGUUAGCACGAAACACAAAUCCAUCGUUAACGACAAACUUGUUCCACAUUCUUCCUUCUUUACAAUUCUGCAUUACAUCUCUAAAAUCAGCAUCAUGCACAUAUUGAUCUUUGAUGGUCUCCAAACCAAAUAUUUUGAAGUCAAGUUGUGAAAGCAUAGUAUAGCGACGAGACAAUGCAUCAGCAAUAACAUUUUCUUUUCCCUUCUUGUGUUUAAUGACAUAAGGGAAAGUCUCAAUGAAUUCAACCCAUUUAGCAUGUCUACGAUUCAGUUUAGCUUGACUUUUAAUAUGUUUCAAAGAUUCAUGAUCAGAAUGUAUAACAAAUUCUUUGGGCCAUAAAUAAUGUUGCCAUGUUUCUAAAGUCCGAACAAGAGCAUAUAAUUCUUUAUCAUAAGUAGAAUAAUUCAGACUAGGCCCACUCAAUUUUUCAGAAAAAUAUGCAACAGGUUUGCCAUCUUGUAAUAACACACCUCCUAAUCCAAUUCCACUAGCAUCACAUUCAAGCUCAAAAGUCUUAUUAAAAUUAGGAAGUUGGAGUAAAGGAGCAUGUGUCAACUUAUCUUUCAAUACCGAGAAGGCUUCUUCCUGUGCGGUACCCCAAAGAAAAGGCACAUCUUUCUUUGUAAGCUCAUUGAGAGGUGCAGCAAUGGUGCUGAAAUCUCUCACAAAACGCCUAUAGAAUCCAGCGAGGCCAAGAAAACUCCUCACGUGUGUGACCGUUUUGGGCUGCGGCCAACUCUCAAUAGCUUCAAUCUUGGCUUUAUCAACUUCAAUUCCCUGUGGAGUAACAACAUAGCCAAGAAGAGAUACUCAGUCGGUGCAAAAGGUGCACUUCCCAAGGUUACCAAACAAACGUGCAUCAUGUAAAGCAAUAAAAACAGCACGUAAAUGUUCCAAAUGUUCUUCCAAAGAUCUGCUAUAAAUCAAUAUGUCAUCAAAGUAAACUACCACAAAUCGUCCAAUGAAAGCACGUAAAACUUCGUUCAUUAAUCUCAUGAAAGUACUAGGUGCAUUAGUUAACCCAAAAGGCAUUACUAACCACUCAUAUAAUCCAAACUUAGUUUUAAAUGCUGUUUUCCAUUCAUCUCCCAAUUUCAUACGAAUUUGAUGGUAGCCACUACGCAAAUCAACUUUGGAGAAUAUUGUAGAGCCACUCAAUUCAUCAAGCAUAUCAUCUAGCCUAGGAAUAGGAUGACGAUAACGAAUAGUAAUAUUAUUAAUGCCUCUACAAUCAACACACAUACGUGAUGUACCAUCCUUUUUCGGCACUAGAAUAAUAGGAACAACACAAGGACUAAGGGAUUCUCGUAUAUAACCUUUGUCGAGAAGCUCUUGUACUUGACGCAUAAUCUCCUUCGUCUCCUCUGGAUUGGUACGGUAUGGUGCACGGUUUGGCAGUGAAGCACCGGGAAUUAAGUCAAUCUGAUGCUCAAUCCCUCGAAUAGGCGGUAAUCCCGGUGGCACGUCUUGUGGAAAGACGUCAGCGAACUCCUGCAAAAUGUUAGUGACAGCAGGAGGCAAAGAGGAAGGCACGUCCUCGAAUGAAAAUAAUGCCUCUUUGCACACAAAAGCAUAGCAAACAGAUUUGCUGAAAUCUAGCUCAUCAAUAUCAGAUUUGGUGGCAAAUAAACAUGCACUUUUCAAUUUAAUUUCAGAAGCAACACUAGAUGGUUUAUUAUUAGGAUUCAUUUGUUGCUCAAAUUCUAUUGCCACAAUCUGAUUUUCACUCUUAUUCUUCUCCUGUUUUGCUUUAUUAGCUCUAUUAAUAUCAUCUUUCAAAAUGGAAUCAGGAGUCAUAGGAAGCAAAGUAUAGUGAUUGUUUCUACCAUGGUGUACAGAAUUUUUAUCAAAUUGCCAUGGUCUACCAAGUAAUAAGGAACAUGCUUGCAUAGGUACCACAUCACAAUCAACAUAAUCAGCAUAUGUAGAGAUACUAAAAUGCACACGAACAGUACGUGUUACCUUAACCUUGCCACUGUUGUUGAACCAUUGGAUGUAGUAAGGAUGUGGAUGUGGUCUUGUGGUGAGAGAAAGCUUCUCCACCAUCUCCAUGCUAGCCAAGUUGUUGCAGCUCCCUCCGUCUAUUAUGACGCGCACAGAAUGUUCCUUCACAACUCCCUUGGUAUGGAACAAAUUGUGCCUCUGAUUUUGCUCAGCUUGUGUGACCUGCACACUCAAAACACGUUGAGCAACUAAACAUUCAUACCUGUCAGCGUCUUCAGGAGCCAUGUAUUGCGUCUCAUGAUCAGAAUCAUCUCCACCAUGUUCUUCACGUGUAAUAAGAGCCAAUGUCUCCUCAUCAUAGUCACUAGCGGACUCAUAUCCACCAUCCGCGGUAGCAAUCAUCACACGCGGAGAUUUGCAUUCCCUCGCAUAAUGACCUCCUCCCUUACAACGACGACAAAUAAUAUCACUUGUGUGCCCUGUUGAUGCCAUGGAAGAAGAAGAACGCUGUGCAGGCCCCGCAGGUGCGCUCUUGGCAGAUAAUGGUGGUUGUGCCUGUUUUCUUGUAUCACGGCUGGAGGUGGCACCGGAUGGAGGUGCUGGUGCUGAUAGAGGCAAAGGUGUCCCGUCUUUCGAUGAGAUGAUGGAUAUCGCUUUGGUGGAAGUCGACUUUCACGAUCCGACUACGAACGUGCGAGGACGUCGCGCCUUAGCAAUCGCUAAACCAACUCCGAGAGGUUAUUGACCACGCCGGAGCACGAUCAACCUGACCACGAGGGUCUGUUUCCUGCGAGCAAACGAAGAACAAGCAAGAAACUAAGAUUGCAAUCUGGAUAUUGCGAAUAUAAGAUGAAAGCUUUAUUGAUCAAGGUGGGGUUCUGUGACGCCUUUGUCUGGUCGUUGAACACAAACGAAGUACGCGAAGUUGCAGCUAUGGCGAACUUUUAAUCUAAACAAAACCCACAGUCUAAACGAUGCCCUAAGGGCUGUAUAUAUGGAGGAAGAGGGGGGGAAUUUCGUGGCCCUUGGUGGAGGGGUCCGAAAUCAACCCUAUCUCUUGUUUCCCCACACAUACGGACUCUAAAAAUAGCCUAUACUUAUGUAUUUCGAAAUUACAUGGGCCUGGCCCAAUAAUAAGGUGACGCAGCACCUAAAAUAGCCUCGGGACAAAAUUUAUGAAGUGGCAUCUUGUAUAUUUCGUCCAAGGCUUCAUGCACACAUUAUGGUGGCUUCAAAGUCCUGAAAUCAUCACUUGUAACUCCGUUCUUGUUCCCCUUGCGCAUGCCAUCAUCUCCAUGCUUGUUCUUGCUCCAAUGUUCAUCCUUCUCCAAGCUAGGCCCUUCAUUUGUAAGCAAAACAAAUGUAUCCAAUUUAGGCAGCAUCAUAUUCUCAUGAACAUUAGAAUCAUUACCAAGAAACGAAAGUACCUGAUAAUUUAGUUGGCGUGCACGAGCUCUAGUAAUUGGUCCAGUAUGUAUAGCAGCAGGGGCUGUGGGUGUAACAAUUGUAUUGAUGUCCUCAUCAUCCUCCCCUUCUUGAAAUGAAGUCGUCCUCGACGGAAGUUCAUCUUCCUCACCCACAUAAUGCUUCAAAUCUGCAAUGUUAAAAGUGGGACUAACCCCAAAAUCUGCAGGCAACUCAAGUUUAUAUGCAUUAUCAUUUAUUUUCUCUAACACCUUAAAGGGACCAUCAGCACGUGGCAUUAGCUUUGAUUUGCGCAAAUCAGGAAAUCUAUUCUGCAUUACAUCUUUAAAAUCAGCAUCAUGCACAUAUUGAUCUUUGAUGGUCUCCAAACCAAAUAUUUUGAAGUCAAGUUGUGAAAGCAUAGUAUAGCGACGAGACAAUGCAUCAGCAAUAACAUUUUCUUUUCCCUUCUUGUGUUUAAUGACAUAAGGGAAAGUCUCAAUGAAUUCAACCCAUUUAGCAUGUCUACGAUUCAGUUUAGCUUGACUUUUAAUAUGUUUCAAAGAUUCAUGAUCAGAAUGUAUAACAAACUCUUUGGGCCAUAAAUAAUGUUGCCAUGUUUCUAAAGUCCGAACAAGAGCAUAUAAUUCUUUAUCAUAAGUAGAAUAAUUCAGACUAGGCCCACUCAAUUUUUCAGAAAAGUAUGCAACAGGUUUGCCAUCUUGUAAUAACACACCUCCUAAUCCAAUUCCACUAGCAUCACAUUCAAGCUCAAAAGUCUUAUUAAAAUCAGGAAGUUGGAGUAAAGGAGCAUGUGUCAACUUAUCUUUCAAUAGCGUGAAGGCUUCUUCCUGUGCGGUACCCCAAAGAAAAGGCACAUCUUUCUUUGUAAGCUCAUUGAGAGGUGCAGCAAUGGUGCUGAAAUCUCUCACAAAACGCCUAUAGAAUCCAGCGAGGCCAAGAAAACUCCUCACUUGUGUGACCGUUUUGGGCUGCGGCCAACUCUCAAUAGCUUCAAUCUUGGCUUUAUCAACUUCAAUUCCCUUUGGAGUAACAACAUAGCCAAGAAAAGAUACUCGGUCGGUGCAAAAAGUGCACUUCCCAAGGUUACCAAACAAACGUGCAUCACGUAGAGCAAUAAAAACAGCACGUAAAUGUUCCAAAUGUUCUUCCAAAGAUCUGCUAUAAAUCAAUAUGUCAUCAAAGUAAACUACCACAAAUCGUCCAAUGAAAGCACGUAAAACUUCGUUCAUUAAUCUCAUGAAAGUACUAGGUGCAUUAGUUAACCCAAAAGGCAUGACUAACCACUCAUAUAAUCCAAACUUAGUUUUAAAUGCUGUUUUCCAUUCAUCUCCCAAUUUCAUACGAAUUUGAUGGUAGCCACUACGCAAAUCAACUUUGGAGAAUAUUGUAGAGCCACUCAAUUCAUCAAGCAUAACAUCUAGCCUAGGAAUAGGAUGACGAUAACGAAUAGUAAUAUUAUUAAUGCCUCUACAAUCAACACACAUACGUGAUGUACCAUCCUUUUUCGGCACUAGAAUAAUAGGAACAGCACAAGGACUAAGGGAUUCGCGUAUAUAACCUUUGUCGAGAAGCUCUUGUACUUGACGCAUAAUCUCCUUCGUCUCCUCUGGAUUGGUACGGUAUGGUGCACGGUUUGGCAGUGAAGCACCGGGAAUUAAGUCAAUCUGAUGCUCAAUCCCUCGAAUAGGCGGUAAUCCCGGUGGCACGUCUUGUGGAAAGACGUCAGCAAACUCCUGCAAAAUGUUAUUGACAGCAGGAGGCAAAGAGGAAGGCACGUCCUCGAAUGAAAAUAAUGCCUCUUUGCACACAAAAGCAUAGCAAACAGAUUUGCUGAAAUCUAGCUCAUCAAUAUCAGAUUUGGUGGCAAAUAAACAUGCACUUUUCAAUUUAAUUUCAGAAGCAACACUAGAUGGUUUAUUAUUAGGCUUCAUUUGUUGCUCAAAUUCUUUUGCCACAAUCUGAUUUUCACUCUUAUUCGUCUCCUGUUUUGCUUUAUUAGCUCUAUUAAUAUCAUCUUUCAAAAUGGAAUCAGGAGUCAUAGGAAGCAAAGUAAUAUUUUUAUCCUUAUGAACAAGAGUAUAGUGAUUGUUUCUACCAUGGUGUACAGAAUUUUUAUCAAAUUGCCAUGGUCUACCAAGUAAUAAGGAACAUGCUUGCAUAGGUACCACAUCACAAUCAACAUAAUCAGCAUAUGUAGAGAUACUAAAAUGCACACGAAGAGUACGUGUUACCUUAACCUUGCCGCUGUUGUUGAACCAUUGGAUGUAGUAAGGAUGUGGAUGUGGUCUUGUGGUGAGAGAAAGCUUCUCCACCAUCUCCAUGCUAGCCAAGUUGUUGCAGCUCCCUCCGUCUAUGAUGACGCGCACAGAACGUUCCUUCACAACUCCCUUGGUAUGGAACAAAUUGUGCCUCUGAUUUUGCUCAGCUUGUGUGAUCUGCACACUCAAAACACGUUGAGCAACUAAACAUUCAUACCUGUCAGCGUCUUCAGGAGCCAUGUAUUGCGUCUCAUGAUCAGAAUCAUCUCCACCAUGUUCUUCACGUGUAAUAAGAGCCAAAGUCUCCUCAUCAUAGUCACUAGCAGACUCAUAUCCACCAUCCGCGGUAGCAAUCAUCACACGCGGAGAUUUGCAUUCCCUCGCAUAAUGACCUCCUCCCUUACAACGACGACAAAUAAUAUCACUUGUGUGCCCUGUUGAUGCCAUGGAAGAAGACGAACGCUGUGCAGGCCCCGCAGGUGCGCUCUUGGCAGAUAAUGGUGGUUGUGCCUGUUUUCUUGUAUCACGGCUGGAGGUGGCACCGGAUGGAGGUGCUGGUGCAGUUGAAGUAGAAGAUGCACGCGGUGUCCAUGAUGAAGGUCGGCCUGCAGAAAAGUUAGUUCGCCCCAAUGCUUGUCGAUCCUGCACUUCACGUUCAGCUUUACAAGCAAGAUGGAAUAAACGAGUGAUAUUAGUAUAGUCCUUAUAGUCUAGAAUGGUCUGAAUCUCUCUAUUUAAUCCACCCAGAAAAUGUGCAAGCAUAGCUUCAUUCUCCUCAACAAUACCACAUCUAAUCAUGCCAGUUUGUAAUUCCUGAUAAUAUUCUUCUACAGAAUUUUUCCCUUGUCUUAAACGCUGCAAUUUUUGAAGCAAUUCACGUUGAUAAUAUGGUGGAACCCAACGCGUACGCAUAGCAGUUUUCAAAGCAGCCCAAGUAGUUGGAAUAGGAUAUAAUCUACAAUGCUCAGACCACCAUACACAUGCAAAACUAGUGAAAGCACAAACAGCAGCAGCAACUCGUCUCUCCUCAGGAUAUUGUAAACAUGUAAAUUGUUGUUCAGUUUCUAACUCCCAAGUAAGAUAUAUAUCAGGAACAUAUCUACCCUCAAAUGGUGGAAUAUUCAAUUUCAGUUUAGGAAUAUGGACAUCAUCUCGUACCUGAGGUGGUGGUGCAGGCCUACCAUUACGAAUAUAUACCUGAGGUCGACCUGGUGGUGGUGGUGCUGGUGGCUGCACGUAGUUCGGAUUUUGAUCAACCUCAUCCUCAUAAUCUCCCACAUAAUCAUCAUCCUCCUGGGUACCAGCAGCAGCAGUAGCAGGAGCCAAAGAAGCACCAACAGCAGUAGCAGCGGCACCAGAAUUUUGUCCUGGCUCAAUAGGAACACGCUGUGCUCGUCCAUACUGAUUCGGAAGGGGGCGUAGUUGUUGUUGUUGCAGAUGUGCGACAGGUGCAGCCGGUGGUGGAAGACGCGCAAGCAGUUCAUUAAAUCUGUUAUCGAGCUUUGUUUCGAACGUCUUCUCAAGGCCAGUAAUCUUCUCCAUGGCCUCUUCAAAAUUGUUCAGCACAUCUUGCACCUGUUCAGUCAUCAUUUGCUGAAACUUAUCAUGAAGCUCCUUGUUCGAUAAGUUCUCCCAGUCAAUCUCGUCGGCUUGUGAUCCUGGCAUGGUUAGCAGCAAUAGAAACACACAAGAAUAUGAUCCUACAGACUACUAAGAAGUGGUGGUGGUGUAUCACAAAUCCGUCAAGCAAAUCUCAAAUUCUUACCAGUUCUUACCCAACAGCAGGCGGUGAUCGGCAACCGUUGUAGUCAAAAACUCUCAAAGCUUGGAUAGAGCGAUUACCAGGGAGAGUCAAACACACGACGUAGAUGUAUGUGGAGCUGGGAAGGCUUAUAGUAUGGUAGCAAAAAGGGUCAGCAAUGAUCAAUUCAGAGAUGCAAAGUUGAAUAAACGCUCAACGACGGUACUGUACUGGUCCUAGGCUAGACUGUGCUAGAGACGCGAGCCUAGAACACCAACAAAAUCACGGCGCGACACGUAAACAAGGGAAAAGCACACUCUAAUUUUUUUUUCGCUCUUUUUUUUGCGCUCUUUCUUUUGCGCUGCUUUUUUUUUGCGAAAAAUCACUAUAAUGGCGAGUGUCUCAAAACUCUUCGUAGGUCAAACUGACAGGAUGGGCACGAAUUUUUUUUUUUCGACCAAUUUUUUUUUUCGACUGCCCAGACCCAAAAACUGGAAACGGGUCAAAAAAAACUUCCUAUAAUGGCACCUGUCUCAAAACACUCAGAAACACCUAAAAUUAGGAUAGCCAGAAUUUUUUUCGAAAAAUGCGUUUUCGAAAAAUUUUGGGCCUAAACGGAGCAUGGUUUCCCGACUCUUUUUUUUUUCCGAAACCUACUCCGGCAAGGAAACACGAAUCGGAAACUAGAUGGAUCUCGAAAACAAUCCUAAUAAGCAAGGAACUCGGAUUGGUGGUGGAUAUAUGGUGAUGAGGACAUGACUACCUUGGAUAUGACCAAAAAUAUUGCAUAUAUGCAUAUUUGUCAGGUGAUUUCUAGUGCAAACUAUUCAAUAAUCUAUUUAUGUUAUCCAGAACAAAAAUACUUCACACACUUUUGUGUUUUGUCUAAUUGCAGGUGUAUGGGACAUUUGUACAAUCCAAAUAUGAAGAUAAGGAAGAAAGAUAUGUUUAUUUGCUGUCCAAAAAGUUCUCUCACGUCACUUUUGGCCCAAGAGAAGAUAGAGUCCAAGUCUCUCACGUUCUGGAUUCAGAUUCGGACUGCACAGACACACCUAACUCAAAACGCACACACGUUUUUCAUACGGACUCCGAAUUGGGUGAUUCUUUUUUUUGUUGGAAACUAGAUUUCGUGCACUUUCCAACCCAAUUGGAAUCACCUUCAAAUUCGUCCGGAGCGUUGAGUUGUGGACAAAACAAUCUGAUGCUGCAGCAGAAUCCGAGUCAAACUACAAGUCCAAAGGUGUUACAUCACCUCCACUUGGGCCCAUUGGCCUUGUACGACCUAGAUUUAGUUUUAGGCUGCCUUGGGACGUCCUUCCACCUCCUUGGCCAGCACCCCUUGCUCCUAUAUAAGUAGAUCCAUCUAGUAGUUUUUCCUUGGGAUUUGUUUAGUUAAAAGUUAGCCACUGCAACUUCGUGUACUUCGUUUGUGUCCAACGACCAGACCAAGACCGCUUACGGAUCCCCACCAUUAUCAAUACCUCAUAUAUAUUUGCAAUAUUCAGAUUGCUUUAUCAUAUUCUUGCUCGUUCUUCGAUUGCUUGCAGAAAUAGACCUUCGUGGUCAGGCUGACCGUGCUUCCGGCAUCGUCAGUAACCUCAGGAGAUUGGUUUAGCGAUUGCUAAGGCGCAACGUCGUGCACGUUUGUAGUCGGAUCGUCAAAGUCGUCUCCACCAAAUCGAUACUUAUCAUCUCAUCGAAAGAUCGGGACACCCUCGCCUCUAUCAAGUGGUAUCAGUUUUCAGGUUGCUCGGUGAGAAUUUCCAGUUUUCCUAGAUUAGAUUUAUUUUCUUACCUAUUGUCCAAGAAAAAGCCACAAAAAAGAGUUAGAUCUAUUCAUCCUUGGUCCAAGCCAGUCUGAGCCUUUGCAAUUUUCUUUUCAUUGCUUGCAUAGUUGAAUUAUCGGUUGCAUCGUCGUGUCGAGUUGCUGGUCUUAGUGUCUAAUUCGUUUAGAGUUUCGAGUUCUGUUCACAUUAGUCACGCCACCGCUGCAUCAUUAUCUCUUCCGCUGUCCACCACCCAUCCAUCAAUUUCCACCACGUGCUACCCACCAUUCAUUGUCAUAAUCAUAGUUGAGAUCAUUCACAUCUUCACUUGAUUCAAUCUGCAUCUUAUCUAGUUUGUCUUGGAAAGAGGGAGAAAAAGAAGAUAAAGAAAAAAAAGAGAGAAAAAAGGAAAGAAAAAAAAAGAAAAAGAGGGAGAAGAAAAAGAAAAAAAAGGCGUGAGAAAAAAAGAGAGAAGAAAAAAAAAUUGGAUCUAUCUAGAAUCAAUCUGUACCUGAAUUCGGAUUGGAAUCUGUUUUGCGCUCUGUUCAGUAAAACGGGUGUAUCUUCCUCAUACGAAGUCAGUUUUGGCUCCGUGAGUACUCAAAUUGAAGAUAGCGACGAGCCACAUCUAAAUAGUUGCAGAAGCUAGUUCAAUAUUUGACACCUCAAAAUCGGCUUCUAAAUAGGUCUUUUUGCCCUCCGAAGUUCGUGAACAGAACUUGUUCCAAUUUUUCAGGCCAGUUUUAGAAUUCUUUGACUCCUCAUAUCAACUCGGAAUUGAGUGAUUCUUUUUGCAUUGGAAAACUUGAGUUAGUAGCAUUCUUUGAAAGAAUUUAUCAGAAAAUUGUCUCAAACUUUUCAAGAGGAAAGUUGGAGAGAGAGUUGUUGUAUAUCCUGCUUGGCAGUUGUUUUUCAUCAUUAUCUUCACUGCCGUUGUGAUCUUCACUUAUAUCUUGCUGUCAAGAGCUACUUAGUAUCCUUCAUUGAUGCUAGUUGUGCUACGCCGUGACCUCAUUAGUGUUUUAGGCUCGCGUCUCUAGUCCGGUCUAGCCUAGGACCAGCACAGUACCGUCGUUGAGCGUUUAUUCAACAUUGCAUCUUUGAAUUGAUUAUUGCUAAUCUUUUGCUACCAUAUAUAGCCAACCCAGCUCCACAUAUUUCUACACCGUGUAUACGUACGCUCCCCUGGCAAUCGCUUUACUCAAUAUUCGGAGUUACUUGACACCGCUGGUUGCCGAUCACCGCCUGCUGCAUGGUAAGAACGUGUAAGACAUUGAUAUUUGCUUUACUGUGAGCGUUUUACCACCACAUCCUAGUAGUUAUAGGAACAUUAUUUUUGGGUUUUGUUUCUUGUUCUACUAAUCAUGACAGGAUCCAGAGUCAAUUCAUGGGCUUCGUCGAUCGCGGGAGAUGUGCCACCACCUUUGCAAAUACCACAACCGUCACGAGAGGUGCACAAACAUCCAAAUGCACAUGAUCAGGUUAAUGUAUCUAUACCACCAUUUAAUGGCCGUUUUAAACCUGCUUUAUAUAUUGAAUGGGAGUUCGACAUAAAAAAUAUAUUUGCUUCCCAUAAUUUCGAUGAACAUAAAAAGGUUAAGGUUGCGGUUGGUUCUUUCACUGGUUAUGCUUUGGUUUGGUGGAGUGAAUAUUGUCGGUUACACCCUGAUUAUAUACCUACUACUUGGGAUGAUUUGAAACUUGCCAUGUGAUAGAGGCAAAGGUGUCCCGUCUUUCGAUGAGAUGGUGGAUUUCGUUUUGGUGGAAGUCGACUUUGACGAUCCGACUACGAACGUGUGAGGACGUCGCGCCUUAGCAAUCGCUAAACCAACUCCGAGAGGUUAUUGACCACGCCGGAGCACGAUCAACCUGACCACGAGGGUCUGUUUCCUGCGAGCAAACGAAGAACAAGCAAGAAACUAAGAUUGCAAUCUGGAUAUUGCGAAUAUAAGAUGAAAGCUUUAUUGAUCAAGGUGGGGUUCUGUGACGCCUUUGUCUGGUCGUUGAACACAAACGAAGUACGCGAAGUUGCAGCUAUGGCGAACUUUUAAUCUAAACAAAACCCAAAGUCUAAACGAUGCCCUAAGGGCUGUAUAUAUGGAGGAAGAGGGGGGAAUUUCGUGGCCCUCGGUGGAGGGGUCCGAAAUCAACCCUAUCUCUUGUUUCCCCACACAUACGGACUCUAAAAAUAGCCUAUACUUAUGUAUUUCGAAAUUACAUGGGCCUGGCCCAAUAAUAAGGUGACGCAGCACCUAAAAUAGCCUCGGGACGAAAUUUAUGAAGUGGCAUCUUGUAUAUUUCGUCCAAGGCUUCAUGCACCCAUUAUGGUGGCUUCAAAGUCCUGGAAUCAUCACUUGUAACUCCGUUCUUGUUCCCCUUGCGCAUGCCAUCAUCUCCAUGCUUGUUCUUGCUCCAAUGUUCAUCCUUCUCCAAGGUAGGCCCUUCAUUUGUAAGCAAAACAAAUGUAUCCAAUUUAGGCAGCAUCAUAUUCUCAUGAACAUUAGAAUCAUUACCAAGAAACGAAAGUACCUGGUAAUUUAGUUGGCGUGCACGAGCUCUAGUAAUUGGUCCAGUAUGUAUAGCAGCAGGGGCUGUGGGUGUAACAAUUGUAUUGAUGUCCUCAUCAGAAUUGAUUAUUGCUAAUCUUUUGCUACCAUAUAUAGCCAACCCAGCUCCACAUAUUUCUACACCGUGUAUACGUACGCUCCCCUGGCAAUCGCUUUACUCAAUAUUCGGAGUUACUUGACACCGCUGGUUGCCGAUCACCGCCUGCUGCAUGGUAAGAACUUGUAAGACAUUGAUAUUUGCUUUACUGUGAGCGUUUUACCACCACAUCCUAGUAGUUAUAGGAACAUUAUUUUUGGGUUUUGUUUCUUGUUCUACUAAUCAUGACAGGAUCCAGAGUCAAUUCAUGGGCUUUGUCGAUCGCGGGAGACGUGCCACCACCUUUGCAAAUACCACAACCGUCACGAGAGGUGCACAAACAUCCAAAUGCACAUGAUCAGGUUAAUGUAUCUAUACCACCAUUUAAUGGCUGUUUUAAACCUGCUUUAUAUAUUGAAUGGGAGUUCGACAUAAAAAAUAUAUUUGCUUCCCACAAUUUCAAUGAACAUAAAAAGGUUAAGGUUGCGGUUGGUUCUUUCACUGGUUAUGCUUUGGUUUGGUGGAGUGAAUAUUGUCGGUUACACCCUGAUUAUAUACCUACUACUUGGGAUGAUUUGAAACUUGCCAUGCGACAUACUUUCGUCCCUGCUUAUUAUACUCGUGACAUGAUUAAGAAGUUGCAACACGUAAAACAAGGUAGUGAAACUGUAACAAAAUAUUAUGAUGAUUUACAAACUACCUUGUUGCAUUCCUCUUUAGAAGAAAGUGAAGAUGAUUUUAUGGAUAGAUUUUGGGGAGGAUUAAACCGUGAUAUUCAAGAGAUACUAAUUCAUGAAGAGUGUUAUCCGAUGGACCAUUUGUUUCAUCUUGCUUGCAAAGCUGAACAGGAAAUAAAACGACGUGUUGGCCACGAGGAGAACAAGCGCACGGUGCACAUUCCAAGAGUUGAUAUGAUUGUUCCUUCAACUACUAGGCAUACUAUGACAACCACAUCCGUUGUUGUCAGGACUACAUCACCUCCACCAUGUGACACAUCGCCCCCGAGAGUGGCUACAUCAUCUGAGUUGAUCAUAAGAGGUAAUGACAAAGGUACUGAUCUUCCAUCUCUACAUGAGAAUGAUGAAUGCCUUGUCAAUUUGAAUGCACCAUCUGAUGAGCUACCCACUACUUUGAUCACACCACCUAUUUUAGAGGACUACGUUGAUAAUUUGACUUUGCCAUGUGAUCAAACAACUGAAAUACCAACAAUUUUGAGUGCACCCAUUGAAUUAACUAUUGAUGCAAAAGAAUCAAUGUUUAAUCAUUUUGAUAUGACCUCUAAUCUUGGUGAUGAUUCUGUGUUGAAUGACUUAUUGCAUGUUUGCUUAUUUAAGCAUGUUGUAGCAUGUAAAUUUGAUGCAAGUAAGGUUUAUUCACCAAUGUUUGGAUGGUUUAAUGAUGAACAUUAUCAAUCUUUUGAAAUGAAUAAGAGCUUCACUUAUAUGUGCAAACUGAGUUGCAAUAUUUUCAUGCCUUCUACUUCUUGUGCUAAUUUUUUGGCCUUAGAUUUUAUGAAUUAUGCAAGUUACUCAUCUAUUCAUGUGUCAUAUAUGCAAAAAUCAAGGGAAGUAAAAAUGGAUGACAUAUACAUAUUGAUAGAGGCAAAGGUGUCCCGUCUUUUGAUGAGAUGGUGGAUUUCGCUUUGGUGGAAGUCGACUUUGACGAUCCGACUACGAACGUGCGAGGACGUCGCGCCUUAGCAAUCGCUAAACCAACUCCGAGAGGUUAUUGACCACGCCGGAGCACGAUCAACCUGACCACGAGGGUCUGUUUCCUGCGAGCAAACGAAGAACAAGCAAGAAACUGAGAUUGCAAUCUGGAUAUUGCGAAUAUAAGAUGAAAGCUUUAUUGAUCAAGGUGGGGUUCUGUGACGCCUUUGUCUGGUCGUUGAACACAAACGAAGUACGCGAAGUUGCAGCUAUGGCGAACUUUUAAUCUAAACAAAACCCAAAGUCUAAACGAUGCCCUAAGGGCUGUAUAUAUGGAGGAAGAGGGGGGAAUUUCGUGGCCCUUGGUGGAGGGGUCCGAAAUCAACCCUAUCUCUUGUUUCCCCACACAUACGGACUCUAAAAAUAGCCUAUACUUAUGUAUUUCGAAAUUACAUGGGCCUGGCCCAAUAAUAAGGUGACGCAGCACCUAAAAUAGCCUCGGAACGAAAUUUAUGAAGUGGCAUCUUGUAUAUUUCGUCCAAGGCUUCAUGCACCCAUUAUGGUGUCUUCAAAGUCCUGAAAUCAUCACUUGUAACUCCGUUCUUGUUUCCCUUGCGCAUGCCAUCAUCUCCAUGCUUGUUCUUGCUCCAAUGUUCAUCCUUCUCCAAGCUAGGCCCUUCAUUUGUAAGCAAAACAAAUGUAUCCAAUUUAGGCAGCAUCAUAUUCUCAUGAACAUUAGAAUCAUUACCAAGAAACGAAAGUACCUGGUAAUUUAGUUGGCGUGCACGAGCUCUAGUAAUUGGUCCAGUAUGUAUAGCAGCAGGGGCUGUGGGUGUAACAAUUGUAUUGAUGUCCUCAUCACAUAUACAACAUGUACACCUUGUCUCUUUUGUUAGCCACAUUUCAGAUUAAGCAACGCCGAGGACGGCUUUAUUAUCAAGAAGGGGAGGAUGAUGAGGACAUGACUACCUUGGAUAUGACCAAAAAUAUUGCAUAUAUGCAUAUUUGUCAGGUGAUUUCUAGUGCAAACUAUUCAAUAAUCUAUUUAUGUUAUCCAGAACAAAAAUACUUCACACACUUUUGUGUUUUGUCUAAUUGCAGGUGUAUGGGACAUUUGUACAAUCCAAAUAUGAAGAUAAGGAAGAAAGAGAUGUUUAUUUGCUGUCCAAAAAGUUCUCUCACGUCACUUUUGGCCCAAGAGAAGAUAGAGUCCAAGUCUCUCACGUUCUGGAUUCAGAUUCGGACUGCACAGACACACCUAACUCAAAACGCACACACGUUUUUCAUACGGACUCCGAAUUGGGUGAUUCUUUUUUUUGUUGGAAACUAGAUUUCGUGCACUUUCCAACCCAAUUGGAAUCACCUUCAAAUUCGUCCGGAGCGUUGAGUUGUGGACGAAACAAUCUGAUGCUGCAGCAGAAUCCGAGUCAAACUACAAGUCCAAAGGUGUUACAUCACCUCCACUUGGGCCCAUUGGCCUUGUACGACCUAGAUUUAGUUUUAGGCUGCCUUGGGACGUCCUCCCACCUCCUUGGCCGGCACCCCUUGCUCCUAUAUAAGUAGAUCCAUCUAGUAGCUUUUCCUUGGGAUUUGUUUAGUUAAAAGUUAGCCACUGCAACUUCGUGUACUUCGUUUGUGUCCAACGACCAGACCAAGACCGCUUACGGAUCCCCACCAUUAUCAAUACCUCAUAUAUAUUUGCAAUAUUCAGAUUGCUUUAUCAUAUUCUUGCUCGUUCUUCGAUUGCUUGCAGAAAUAGACCUUCGUGGUCAGGCUGACCGUGCUUCCGGCAUCGUCAGUAACCUCAGGAGAUUGGUUUAGCGAUUGCUAAGGCGCAACGUCGUGCACGUUUGUAGUCGGAUCGUCAAAGUCGUCUCCACCAAAUCGAUACUUAUCAUCUCAUCGAAAGAUCGGGACACCCUCGCCUCUAUCAUAUGGUGGUGGUAUAUGGCAGCGGUGGUGGUAGCGGUGGUAGUAUAUGGAUAUGGAUCGGUGGUGGUAUAUGGACACGGAUUGGUGGUGGUAUAUGGAUACGGAUUCGGAGCGGUGGUGGUAGAUGGCAGGGCGAUGAUGAUGGUGCGGCGGCGGCGUGACAACUUAUGACCAGAACUCGAAACUCUAAAAGACUAGACUCUAAGACCAGCAACUAGACACGACGAUGCAACCGCAAAUUCAACAAAGCAAAACCCUAAAAAGAUUAUGCAAAGGCUCAGAUUGGUUCGGAUAUGAUGAACUAACCCUAAUUUUUUUUGUGGCUUUCUCGUGGACUGUAGGUAUGAAGAAUAGACUCGAUCUAAACUACGAAAAACUGUAAAAUCUCACCGAGCAACCUGGAAAUCUGAUACCACUUGAUAGAGGCAAAGGUGUCCCGUCUUUCGAUGAGAUGAUGGAUAUCGCUUUGGUGGAAGUCGACUUUGACGAUCCGACUACGAACGUGCGAGGACGUCGCGCCUUAGCAAUCGCUAAACCAACUCCGAGAGGUUAUUGACCACGCUGGAGCACCAUCAACCUGACCACGAGGGUCUGUUUCCUGCGAGCAAACGAAGAACAAGCAAGAAACUGAGAUUGCAAUCUGGAUAUUGCGAAUAUAAGAUGAAAGCUUUAUUGAUCAAGGUGGGGUUCUGUGACGCCUUUGUCUGGUCGUUGAACACAAACGAAGUACGCGAAGUUGCAGCUAUGGCGAACUUUUAAUCUAACAAAAUCGAAAGUCUAAACGAUGCCCUAAGGGCUGUAUAUAUGGAGGAAGAGGGGGGGGGGGAAUUUCGUGGCCCUUGGUGGAGGGGUCCGAAAUCAACCCUAUCUCUUGUUUCCCCACACAUACGGACUCUAAAAAUAGCCUAUACUUAUGUAUUUCGAAAUUACAUGGGCCUGGCCCAAUAAUAAGGUGACGCGGCACCUAAAAUAGCCUCGGGACGAAAUUUAUGAAGUGGCAUCUUGUAUAUUUCGUCCAAGGCUUCAUGCACCCAUUAUGGUGGCUUCAAAGUCCUGAAAUCAUCACUUGUAACUCCAUUCUUGUUCCCCUUGCGCAUGCCAUCAUCUCCAUGCUUGUUCUUGCUCCAAUGUUCAUCCUUCUCCAAGCUAGGCCCUUCAUUUGUAAGCAAAAUAAAUGUAUCCAAUUUAGGCAGCAUCAUAUUCUCAUGAACAUUAGAAUCAUUACCAAGAAACGAAAGUACCUGGUAAUUUAGUUGGCGUGCGCGAGCUCUAGUAAUUGUCCAGUAUGUAUAGCAGCAGGGCCUGUGGGUGUAACAAUGGUAUUGAUGUCCUCAUCAGGACUCAUCUCAAUCUGUUCUAGCUUGCAUUAACCCAAAACACAUUCAUAUUGCCAUGUCAUAGCAUGCAUCAUAUUGUGCAUUGCAUUGAUCAUGUUUCUUCUCUGUUUGCCGGUGUUGUUCCCCCUCGGUAGACGUUGUACCGACGUUGUGAUCAUUGACACUGAUGAAGACUCAAUGCUAUCUUCAGAAGUGCCAGGCAAGCAAAACCCCCUUGUUCAUUCCAAUACAAUCCUACUCUCUCGCUCCUGCUCUCUUUUAUUGCAUUAGGACAACAACGAUUCAUUUGUUACUUGCUGCGGUAGCUGAACCCCUUUAUCCUUUGCAUGACCUGUCAUUGCCACAGUAAAUAGAUGAAACCCACUAGCAUGAGUAGGAGUUGUUUGAGCCCUGUUGUGCCUACUCAUUCAUGCUUGUUUGUCAUGCCUGCUACUGCUUAGAGUUGAGUCAGGUCUGAUUCAUCGGGGAUGAAUCAGAGGUGUGUGAACAUGUCCUACUGUGUGUGAGCUAAGUGGUGAACACAAUUUGGUAAAGGUAGCGGUGAGAGGCCAUGUAGGAGUACAUGGUGGGUUGUCUCAUUGAAGCCGUCCUUAGGAACUGAGUUCUGUGUUUGUGAUCCAUGAUUCAGCUACUACCAUGCAUUGGGCCCUGAAAUAUGACCCCGCUCGACUUCUUAUUCACCCUUGUCCUCUGUCCAGGAGUUGCAAGUAGUUUCUGGUGUUUGUAGUAUGCUGGAGGCCGUGCGCAGCGCUGACCGGAGGGGUGGGCUGUGAUGCGGUAGGCACGUGGCCGGGUAUACCAAGCGCCCGUUUGGUGUCAUGAAACCCUGUUCACAUCGUUUGGGGCUGUGAGCGAAACCUCGGCCGGAUCUCCUCACGGAUGGAACCCGAAUAGGCGAUAAACCUGGAGUAGAGACUUGAGUGUUUAGGUAGGUCGUGGUCUACACCCACGUCGGCUUUCGCUUGAAGUCUGCCGAGCACAUGUCGUGUGCAGACGCUAAGUGGUGGAAACAUGUAUGAAGAAGUACACCCCUGUAGGGUUAACAUCAUCUAUUCGAAUAGCCGUGUCCGUGGUAAAGGACUUCUGGGUUGCCUAUAACAGUUCAUAGACAAGUGAAAGUGGAUACUUUAAAAUGCGCAAGAUAAGCGUGAGUGCUAUGGAUGGCGUUCUCGUAGGGGGACGUGAGUGGAUCCAUUGUGGUGUAUUGGUUGGUGAAUGUGUGGACUCGUGUGUGCCACCUCAGAAGAGUUACUUGCAGUCGUAGUUCAGGAUAGCCACCGAGUCAAAGCUGGCUUGCUGAAGUUAAACCCCACCAUCCCCUUUGUUGAUAAUGAUGCAUAUGUAGCUAGAUCUGAUGUAAGUCUUGCUGGGUACAUUUGUACUCACGUUUGCCUAUUUUAUGUUUUUGCAGAGAGACUUCAGUCUCGCUAGUAGUUCCACGUGGACUUCGACGUUUAGCUUGUUACCUCAGCUACGAUCUUGUGCCCUCGGCAGGAUCUGGUAGAUAGUCAGGCUUUUCAGCCUUUUUCAUUUGUAGACGUCUGUACUCAGACAUGUUAAGCUUCCGCUUGUGCUUUGAAUUGUAUGCUCUGAAUGCUGGACCGAGAGACCCAUGUUUGUAAUAUCUCGCUCCUUGGAGCCUAUUGAAUAAAAUAAUUGAGUUGUAGGGUCAUGUUGUGAUGCCAUGUUGUAUUUGCACAUAUCGAGCAUAUUGUGUGUAUGUUAUUGAAAUGCUUGGUAUGUGUGGGAUCUGACUAUCUAGUUGUUUAUUCUUAGUAGCCUCUCUUACCGGGAAAUGUCUCCUAGUGUUUCCACUGAGCCUUGGUAGCUUGCUACUGCUCCGGAACACUCAGGCUGGCCGGCAUGUGUCCUUCUUCGUUCUUGUGUCUGUACCUUCGGGGAAAUGUCACGCGAUGAAUACCGGAGUCCUGUUAGCCCGCUACAGCCCGGUUCACCGGAGUCCUGCUAGCCCAGUGCUACAGCCCGGAUUCACUCGCUGAUGACCGACACGUUCGAUGCUGGGUCAUGGAUGCCUGUCCCUAUAAGUCUGUGCCACUUUGGGUUUACGACUAGCCAUGUCAGCCCGGGCUCCUUAUCAUAUGGAUGCUAGCGACACUAUCAUAUACAUGUGCCAAAAGGCGCAAACGGUCCCGGGCAAAGGUAAGGCGACACCCGUGGGAAUACCGUGCGUGAGGCCGCAAAGUGAUAUGAGGUGUUACAUGCUAGAUCGAUGUGGCAUUAAGUCGGGCUCCUGACACACAUCGACCGCUAUCCAUCAUGCAUCUAGAGUAUUAAGUUCAUGAAGAACGAAGUAACGCAUUAAUUAAGAUGACAUGAUGUAGAGGAAAUAAAUCAAGCAAUAUGAUGGAAACCCCAUCUUUUUAUCCUCGAUGGCAACAAUACAAUAUGUGCCUUGUUGCCCCUACUGUCACUGGGAAAGGACACCGCAAGAUUGAACCCAAAGCUAAGCACUUCUCCCAUUGCAAGAAAGAUCAAUCUAGUAGGCCAAACUAAACCGAUAAUUCAAAGAGACUUGCAAAGAUAUCAAAUCAUGCAUAUAAGAAUUCAGAGAAGAACCAAAUAAUAUUCAUAGAUAAUCUUGAUCAUAAAUGAUAGAGGCGAGGGUCCCGAUCUUUCGAUGAGAUGAUAACUAUCGAUUUGGUGGAGACGACUUUGACAAUCCGACUACAAACGUGCACGACAUUGCGCCUUAGCAAUCGCUAAACCAAUCUCCUGAGGUUACUGACGAUGCUGGAAGCACGGUCAGCCUGACCACGAAGGUCUAUUCCUGCAAGCAAUCGAAGAACAAGCAAGAAUAUGAUAAAGCAAUCUGAAUAUCGCAAAUAUAUAUGAAGUAUUGAUAAUGGUGGGGAUCCGGAAGCGGUCUUGGUCUGGUCGUUGGACACAAACGAAGUACACGAAGUUGCAAUGGCUAACUUUUAACUAAACAAAUCCCAAGGAAAAGCUACUAGAUGGAUCUACUUAUAUAGGAGCAAGGGGUGGCGGCCAAGGAGGUGGGAGGACGUCCCAAGGCAGCCUAAAACUAAAUCUAGGUCGUACAAGGCCAAUGGGCCCAAGUGGAGGUGAUGUAACACCUUUGGACUUGUAGUUUGACUCGGAUUCUGCUGCAGCAUCAGAUUGUUUCGUCCACAACUCAACGCUCCGGACGAAUUUGAAGGUGAUUCCAAUUGGGUUGGAAAGUGCACGAAAUCUAGUUUCCAACAAAAAAAGAAUCACCCAAUUCGGAGUCCGUAUGAAAAACUUGUGUGCGUUUUGAGUCAGGUGUGUCUGUGCAGUCCAAAUCUGAAUGCAGAACGUGAGAGACUUGGACUCUAUCUUCUCUUGGGCCAAAAGUGACGUGAGAGAACUUUUUGGACAGCAAAUAAACAUCUCUUUCUUCCUUAUCUUCAUAUGUGGAUUGUACAAAUGUCCCAUACACCUGCAAUUAGACAAAACACAAAAGUGUGUGAAGUAUUUUUGUUCUGGAUAACAUAAAUAGAUUAUUGAAUAGUUUGCACUAGAAAUCACCUGACAAAUAUGCAUAUAUGCAAUAUUUUUUGGUCAUAUCCAAGGUUGUCAUAGUAUGCCUAGUAGUUGAAGGAACAAUCAUAUCAACUCUUGGAAUGUGCACCGUGCGCUUGUUCUCCUCGUGGCCAACACGUCGUUUUAUUUCCUGUUCAGCUUUGCAAGCAAGAUGAAACAAAUGGUCCAUAGGAUAACACUCUUCAUGAAUUAGUAUCUCUUGAAUAUCACGGUUUAAUCCUCCCCAAAAUCUAUCCAUAAAAUCAUCUUCACUUUCUUCUAAAGAGGAAUGCAACAAGGUAGUUUGUAAAUCAUCAUAAUAUUUUGUUACAGUUUCCCUACCUUGUUUUAAGUGUUGCAACUUCUUAAUCAUGUCACGAGUAUAAUAAGCAGGGACGAAAGUAUGUCGCAUGGCAAGUUUCAAAUCAUCCCAAGUAGUAGGUAUAUAAUCAGGGUGUAACUGACAAUAUUCACUCCACCAAACCAAAGCAUAACCAGUGAAAGAACCAACCGCAACCUUAACCUUUUUAUGUUCAUCAAAAUUAUGGGAAGCAAAUAUAUUUUUUAUGUCGAACUCCCAUUCAAUAUAUAAAGCAGGUUUAAAACGGCCAUUAAAUGGUGGUAUAGAUACAUUAACCUGAUCAUGUGCAUUUGGAUGUUUGUGCACCUCUCGUGACGGUUGUGGUAUUUGCAAAGGUGGUGGCACGUCUCCCGCGAUCGACAAAGCCCAUGAAUUGACUCUGGAUCCUGUCAUGAUUAGUAGAACAAGAAACAAAACCCAAAAAUAAUGUUCCUAUAACUACUAGGAUGUGGUGGUAAAACGCUCACAGUAAAGCAAAUAUCAAUGUCUUACAAGUUCUUACCAUGCAGCAGGCGGUGAUCGGCAACCAGCGGUGUCAAGUAACUCCGAAUAUUGAGUAAAGCGAUUGCCAGGGGAGCGUACGUAUACACGGUGUAGAAAUAUGUGGAGCUGGGUUGGCUAUAUAUGGUAGCAAAAGAUUAGCAAUAAUCAAUUCAAAGAUGCAAUGUUGAAUAAACGCUCAACGACAGUACUGUGCUGGUCCUAGGCUAGACCGGACUAGAGACGCGAGCCUAGAACACUAAUGAGGUCACUGCGUAGCACAACUAGCAUCAAUGAAGGAUACUAAGUAGCUCUUGACAGCAAGAUAUAAGUGAAGAUCACAACAGCAGUGAAGAUAAUGAGGUGAAACAACAGCCAAGCAGGAUAUAUCAACAACUUUGUCUCCAGCUUUCCUCUGAAAAAGUUUGUGCCGAUUUUUUUGUUUUUUUUUUCUUCUCUCUUUUUUUUCCUCACACUUUUUUUUCUUUCUCUCCUUUUUUUUCUCUGACUUUUUUUUCCUUUUUUUUUCUCUCGUUUUUUCUCUCUCUUUUUUCUCCCUCUUUCCAAAACAAACUAGAUAAGAUGCAGAUUGGAUCAAGUGAAGAUGUGAACGAUUUCAACUAUUAUUAUGACAAUGAAUGGUGGGUAGCACGUGGUGGAAAUUGAUGGAUGGGUGGUGGACAGCGGAAGAGAUAAUGAUGCAGCGGUGGCGUGACUAAUGUGAACAGAACUCGAAACUCUAAACGAAUUAGACACUAAGACCAGCAACUCGACACGAUGAUGCAAUCGAUAAUUCAACUAUGCAAUCAAUGAAAAGAAAAUUGCAAAGGCUCAGACUGGCUUGGACCAAGGAUGAAUAGAUCUAACUCUUUUUUGUGGCUUUUUCUUGGACAAUAGGUAAGAAAGUAAAUCUAAUCUAGGAAAACUGGAAAUUCUCACCGAGCAACCUGAAAACUGAUACCACUUGAUAGAGGCGAGGGUCCCGAUCUUUCGAUGAGAUGAUAACUAUCGAUUUGGUGGAGACGACUUUGACAAUCUGACUACAAACGUGCAGGACGUUGCGCCUUAGCAAUCGCUAAACCAAUCUCCUGAGGUUACUGACGAUGCUGGAAGCACGGUCAGCCUGACCACGAAGGUCUAUUCCUGCAAGCAAUCGAAGAACGAGCAAGAAUAUGAUAAAGCAAUCUGAAUAUUGCAAAUAUAUAUGAAGUAUUGAUAAUGGUGGGGAUCCAGAAGCGGUCUUGGUCUGGUCGUUGGACACAAACGAAGUACACGAAGUUGCAAUGGCUAACUUUUAACUAAACAAAUCCCAAGGAAAAGCUACUAGAUGGAUCUACUUAUAUAGGAGCAAGGGGUGGCGGCGAAGGAGGUGGGAGGACGUCCCAAGGCAGCCUAAAACUAAAUCUAGGUCGUACAAGGCCAAUGGGCCCAAGUGGAGGUGAUGUAACACCUUUGGACUUGUAGUUUGACUCGGAUUCUGCUGCAGCAUCAGAUUGUUUCGUCCACAACUCAACACUCCGGACGAAUUUGAAGGUGAUUCCAAUUGGGUUGGAAAGUGCACGAAAUCUAGUUUCCAACAAAAAAAGAAUCACCCAAUUUGGAGUCCUUAUGAAAAACUUGUGUGCAUUUUGAGUCAGGUGUGUCUGUGCAGUCCGAAUCUGAAUCCAGAACGUGAGAGACUUGGACUCUAUCUUCUCUUGGGCCAAAAGUGACGUGAGAGAACUUUUUGGACAGCAAAUAAACAUCUCUUUCUUCCUUAUCUUCAUAUGUGGAUUGUACAAAUGUCCCAUACACCUGCAAUUAGACAAAACACAAAAGUGUGUGAAGUAUUUUUGUUCUGGAUAACAUAAAUAGAUUAUUGAAUAGUUUGCACUAGAAAUCACCUGACAAAUAUGCAUAUAUGCAAUAUUUUUGGUCAUAUCCAAGGUAGUCAUGUCCUCAUCAAUAAAUCCACAAUUCAUCAGAUCUCAGCAAACACACCGCAAAAGAAUAUUACAUCGAAUAGAUCUCCAAGAACAUCGAGGAGAACAUGGUAUUAAGAAUCAAAGAUAGAGAAGAAGACAUCUAGCUAAUAACUAUGGACCCAAAGGUCUAUGGUAAAUUACUCACGCUUCUUCGGAGAGGUAAUGGUGUUGAUGAAGAAGCCCUCUAUGAUCGAAUCACCCUCCGGCAGGACGCCAGAAAAGUUCCCUAGAUGGGAUCUCAUGGGUACAGAAAGUUGCAGCGGUGGAAAAGUGGUUUCUUGGCUCUCCUGGAUGUUUUCAGGGUAUAAGAAUAUAUAUAUGUGAAGGAAGUAGGUCAGGGGAGCUACGAGGGGCCCACGAGGGUGGGGGCGCGCCCUACCCCCUCAGUGCGCCUGUUGGGAAACGUAGUAAUACAAAAAAAUUCCUACGAUCACGCAAGAUCUAUCUAGGAGAUGCAUAGCAACGAGACGGGAAACUGUGUCCACGUACCCUCGUAGACGAAAGUGGAAGAGUUUAGUAAUCGGUUGAUGUAGUCGAACGUCUUCACGAUCCAACCGAUCCAAGUACCGAACGUACGGCACCUCCGUGUUCAGCACAUGUUCAGCACAAUGACGUCCCUCGUGCUCUUGAUCCAGUUGAGGACGAGGGAGAGUUCCGUCAGCACGACGGCGUGGCGAUGGUUAUGAUGAAGUAACCGGCGCAGAGCUUCACCUAAGCACUACGAUGAUACGAUCGAGGUGUUAAACUAUGGAGGGGGGCACCGCACACGGCUAAGAGAUUGUUUGUUGUUCUUUGGGGUGCCCCCUAGCCAUGUAUAUAAAGGAGGGAGAGGAGGAGGCUGGCGGCUAGGAGGGGCGUGCCAUAGGAGGAGUCCAACUAGGAUUCCCAAUCCUAGUUGGACUCCCCUUCCUUUUCCAAGAGGGGAGGAGAGGGAAGGAGGAGGAGAGGGAGAAGGAAAGAGGGGGGCGUUGCCCCCUCCCUAGUCCAAUUCAGACUUGCCAUGGGGGGUGGGGGCGGCCACCCUUGCGGCCUUCCUCUCCUUUCCAAUAAGGCCCAUGAAGGCCCACUACUUCCCCGGGGGGUUCCGGUAACCUCCCGGUACUCCGAAUAAUACCCGAAUCACCCCAGAACCAUUCUGGUGUCCGAAUAUAACCUUCCAAUAUAUCAAUCUUUACCUCUCAACCAUUUCAAGACUCCUCGUCAUGUCUUUGAUCUCAUCCGGGACUCCAAAUAAACUUUGGUCAUCAAAUCACAUAACUCAUAAUACAAAUCGUCAUCGUACGUUAAGCGUGCGGACCCUAUGGGUUCGAGAACUAUGUAGACAUGACAGAGACAUAUCUCCGGUCAAUAACCAAUAGUGGAACCUGGGUGCUCAUAUUGGUUCCUACAUAUUCUAUGAAGAUCUUUAUCGGUCAAACCGCAUAACGACAUACAUCAUUCCCUUUGUCAUCGGUAUGUUACUUGCCCGAGAUUUGAUCGUCAGUAUCAUCAUACCCAGUUCAAUCUCGUUAUCGACAAGUCUCUUUACUUGUCCCAUAAUGCCUCAUCCCGCAACUAACUCAUUAGUCACAUUGCUUGCAAGGCUAAUAGUGAUGAGCAUUACCGAGAGGGCCCAGAGAUACCUCUCUGAUACACGGAGUGACAAAUCCUAAUCUUGAUCUAUGCCAACCCAACAAACACCUUCAGAGACACCUGUAGAGCAUCUUUAUAAUCACCCAGUUACGUUGUGAUGUUUGAUAGCACACAAGGUGUUCCUUCGGUAUUCGGGAGUUACAUAAUCUCAUAGUCAGAGGAACAUGUAUAAGUCAUGAAGAAAGCAGUAGCAAUAAAACUGUAACAAUCAUAAUGCUAAGCUAACGGAUGUGUCUUGUCCAUCACAUCAUUACCUAAUGAUGUGAUCUCGUUCAUCAAAUGACAACACAUGUCUAUGGUUAGGAAACAUAACCAUCUUUGAUAACGAGCUAGUCAAGUAGAGGCAUACAAGGGACACUGUUUUUUCUAUGUAUUCACACAUGUACCAAGUUUUCAGUUAAUACAAUUCUAGCAUGAAUAAUAAACGUUUAUCAUGAUAUAAGGAAAUAUAAAAAACAACUUUAUUAUUUCCUAUAGGGAAUAUUUCCUUCAGUCUCCCACUUGCACUAGAGUUAAUAAUCUAGAUUACAAAGUAAUGAUUCUAACACCCAUGGAGUCUUGGUGAUGAUCAUGUUUUGCUCGUCGAAGAGGUUUAGUCAACGAGUCUGCAACAUUCAGAUCCGUAUGUAUCUUGCAAAUAUCUAUGUCUCCCUCCGUGACUUGAUGGCGGAUGGAAUUGAAGCGUGUCUUGAUUUGUUUGGUUCUCUUGUGAAAUCUAGAUUCCUUUGCCAAAGUAAUUGCUCCAGUAUUGUCACUUUCAUUGGACCCAAUGCACUAGGUAUUACACCUAGAUCGGAUAUGAACUCCUUCAUCCAGACUCCUUCUGAUGAGGACAUGACUACCUUGGAUAUGACAAAAAAUAUUGCAUAUAUGCAUAUUUGUCAGGUGAUUUCUAGUGCAAACUAUUCAAUAAUCUAUUUAUGUUAUCCAGAACAAAAAUACUUCACACACUUUUGUGUUUUGUCUAAUUGCAGGUGUAUGGGACAUUUGUACAAUCCACAUAUGAAGAUAAGGAAGAAAGAGAUGUUUAUUUGCUGUCCAAAAAGUUUUCUCACGUCACUUUUGGCCCAAGAGAAGAUAGAGUCCAAGUCUCUCACGUUCUGGAUUCAGAUUCGGACUGCACAGACACACCUGACUCAAAACGCACACAAGUUUUUCAUACGGACUCCGAAUUGGGUGAUUCUUUUUUUGUUGGAAACUAGAUUUCGUGCACUUUCCAACCCAAUUGGAAUCACCUUCAAAUUCGUCCGGAGCGUUGAGUUGUGGACGAAACAAUCUGAUGCUGCAGCAGAAUCCGAGUCAAACUACAAGUCCAAAGGUGUUACAUCACCUCCACUUGGGCCCAUUGGCCUUGUACGACCUAGAUUUAGUUUUAGGCUGCCUUGGGACGUCCUCCCACCUCCUUGGCCGCCACCCCUUGCUCCUAUAUAAGUAGAUCCAUCUAGUAGCUUUUCCUUGGGAUUUGUUAAGUUAAAAGUUAGCCAUUGCAACUUCGUGUACUUCGUUUGUGUCCAACGACCAGACCAAGACCGCUUCCGGAUCCCCACCAUUAUCAAUACUUCAUAUAUAUUUGCAAUAUUCAGAUUGCUUUAUCAUACUCUUGCUCGUUCUUCGAUUGCUUGCAGGAAUAGACCUUCGUGGUCAGGCUGACCGUGCUUCCAGCAUUGUCAGUAACCUCAGGAGAUUGGUUUAGCGAUUGCUAAGGCGCAACAUCGUGCACGUUUGUAGUCGGAUCGUCAAAGUCUUCUCCACCAAAUCGAUAGUUAUCAUCUCAUCGAAAGAUCGGGACACCCCGCCUCUAUCAAGUGGUAUCAGUUUUCAGGUUGCUCGGUGAGAAUUUCCAGUUUUUCUUAGAUUAGAUUUAUUUUCUUACCUAUUGUCCAAGAAAAAGCCACAAAAAAAAGUUAGAUCUGUUCAUCCUUUAUCCAAGCCAGUCUGAGCCUUUGCAAUUUUCUAUUCAUUGCUUGCAUAGUUGAAUUAUUGGUUGCAUCGUCGUAUCAGUUGCUGGUCUUAGUGUCUAGUUCCUUUAGAGUUUCGAGUUCUGUUCACAUUAGUCACGCCGCCGCUGCAUCAUUAUCCGUUCCGCUGUCCACCAUUCCAUCUAUUAAUUUCCACCACGUGCUAUGCACUGUUCAUUGUCAUAAUCAUAGUUGAGGUCAUUCACAUCUUCACCUGAUCCAAUCUGCAUCUUAUCUAGUUUGUCUUGGAAAGAGGGAGAAAAAAAAAGAUAGAGAAAAAAAAGAGAAAAAAA